UUUGGCUGGCUGCACUCGUGGUCACCACAGGCAUGGCGUGCUCUGGAGGUUUUACUGAGGUUAAACCAUGUCUACUGCGUAGUCCUUCGAAGGGUGGUCUCAACUAUGGUGGUAACUUGGUUAAACAUGCUCUGGUUAAAUAGCUAGUGAGCUCUAAAGUUUACUGCAGUAAACUUUACCAGCCCAAUGUGAUCACCAGGGAGUUACUUGAAGCCAAAGAAGUUGUCUGGGGCGUUUAGGCUAGGAAGGACUACAGUCCUGGGGAGUUUGAGGGUAAAAGGAUCAAGAUUUACUGCAGUUGCUUCACAACUGCAUACUUGGUCCAGAAAUGAAGAUCAUGAUAAUGCACUCACAUGGAGUGUCCACUUGAGCUCAAAUUGGGCAAAGCUUAGUGAUUUGGUCAUAUGAUGAUGCUCACCAAGUAUCAUUCCAUUUGGCAAAGCCAACAUGGUACUUGCUUCGCAAACAUCUCCUCUAGACAGAAACUUGGAAUAAUUAUGGUGGUCAAAUGGCUCAAUGAAAUGAUGCCCAAAUGGGUGGAGAGUGUUUUAUACGUAUAAGAAUGAUCUGGUAAUUUAUCAUGAUUUUUGAAGCAAUAUAAAAUAUACUUGCUUCACAACCUGAAAAUAUUGCCAGAAACAAAGAUUUGCUCCUGUGCUCACAUACAUGAUUGGAUGGGGCUGCAAAUGGGUGAAGGGGGUUAAUAUGAGCACAUUAAGGAGUGUGCAAAAGUACAACUCAUUUGGAUAUCCCUAGCUAGUACUUCCUUCACAAUGGUUUCUGUUUGACAGAAAAAUUGAAAAAUCACUGAGGAAGAUUGGCUAGGCAAAUAAAGUUGAUCUUGUGCAUGAGGGAAUUAUUUGGACAUAUAAACAUGCCCAAGGAGUUGGGGAGCAAUCAAGAAAAUAUAGGUGGUACUUCCUUCACAAAAAACCAAACUAGACAGAAAUGGAGAAUAUUUAUUGGGGAAUUAUUUUUGAACAUGGCAAUGAAAAGUUUUGCCAUAUUUGGUCAAGAUAUGACCCAAACAAUUUAUGGGAAUUAUUUGGGAAUUUUUGGAGUGAUGGAAAUAUAGGUUGCUUCACAACCUAGGGCAAUUUGAGUUAUUCCUUUAAUGAAAAGGAAUAUUCCCAAUGAAAAGAAUAUUGGGAUUUGGGCUAGGAUGGGAAUGCCAGGGUCUAGGGAAGGAUUUGGGAAUGACAAGCCACUCUGGAAGCAAAGAAGAGGUCAUCUUCUUUAGUUUCCAGACCACAAAGCCAUGGAAAAAGAAAACUCACUCAAAAACCUCGGAAAAACAAAAGAAAAAGAAAGGGCCAAAAAUCAGGCUGUCACAAACCUUACCCCCUAAAGAAAUCUCGUCCUCGAGAUUCGGUUGCUCAGGGAACUAGUAUGAAUAUUCUGACUUAAGAAAAUCGUUUCUAGCUCGGGUAUCCUUUUUCCUUUAUUGUUGUUCCCAUUAAAUCUUUAUCUGACUGGCCCUGGGGUAGUUUGCGUUAGUGUAUCCACAUUCUGACAGAUCUUACCUUGCUUGUUCAUGCUUAUAUAGGCUCCAAUUUCUUUUUAGACCUGCUGACUAGGUGAGUGUGUUUUAAUUAUCACGACUGAAAUAUAUGUCCGUCUCACAAAUCCAAAAGUGACUUCCGCUGGGUGUGCCAUCCGGCACUAACAACCUUUCAUGUAAUGAUGAUCAGAAUUUUCUGAUGAAAACUCAAGCUCUGACUCAUUCAAUUGGGUUUCUCUACUAAAUGCAAGUCCUUUGGGUUCCAACGGGGAGUUAAAACAUAACCGUUUCCUGACAGAUUUUGACUCGUCGCAGAAGUUUCUAAAUCAUCUUAACUACUUCCACUGUUGUGAGUGUCAGAUUCAUACCAAAUAUUUGAUUAUCUCCUGAGCGGCCAGCAUAAAGGGUUUGGCCUGUAUGAUAAUAUCUGCAGACUUGACGGAAAAAUAUUGUUCACGACAGGCUAUCCCUGAUGAUUCAUAUAAGUGAGGACUCAGGCUUCCAGACUGUUAUUCCUCAUGCCGAUUACUCAUGAUGCAUCACUGGUCUUGCUCCUUCAUUAUUGUUUUCUUGGUCUGGAUCUUUGGCUAAAAGAGUUGGGUCAUAUUGCUUCUUCGUAUGACCAUAGGUACUAUCAGUGCAAUUUUACGGCAAUUGUAGUUUAUCCUCAUUUUUAUGAUAAGGUAACCUAUUAAAUGGCAGGUUCAACACCUCCCAAGUUCUGAUCGUUGGGAAAUGAUCAUCUGAAACCCUUGCAAGAAAUCGGCAAAUAAAUCAGUAGCCACCAGAACGGUCUUUACGACUCAGAUCUGGGACAUUACUGAAAUAACUCAACCACGGCUCAGGACGGCCGAAAAACAGCUCAGAGCAUGAGACCGGGUCGAUAAGAAGGUGGCAGCUUCCUAAAAUAUCCAGAAAGCGGCUAUAGGGCUACUGUCACAAAAAGAAACUCAAUAGUUGUACGAGACGGCCGAAAAGAAGCUCAGACUCGUGACAGUCAUUGAAGAGAGAAACAAAAAUCGGCAUCCACCCCGGAUAGCUAGAAGCAGCUUAGAUCACACGCGUGGUGCCGUCAUUGGAGAAAAGGGGACAAGGGCUCAUCAGGAUCAUCUUCCAGGUUCGCGGGUACUUGUAUUGAGCUCCUUGAUGUCGUCAAUCCUCAUAAUCCUUUGUCACACUAUGGUGUAUACUGGCUUUCUUCUAUUAACCAUCCUCACGUGGUUGUCAGAUCCUCAUCCGAUUGACUUGUAAGAUCUGGAUGGUAUGCUCAUUGCAUAUAUAUGAGGACCUAACUUCGAGACAGACGUGUAUUCUGACUGAUUCUUGAUUCCAACAAAAAUGUUGCGGAUCUGGUUCUUGGGAUUUACUGCCAUAUGAUGUCAAUUCACAGUGUACUACCUUGUACCAAUGUCUUACUGAGGAAUAUUUGCUGGCUUGUGCUCAAAACUUUCAUCGGAUAGCUUGCUGAAGAAGACUGAAUAUCGUGCUUCAGAAGCUUACCCCCUUAAAGACUUUGGUGGGGAAAGACUGAGUACCUUAUGCGGGAAGCUUUUGCGGUUGCUUACUGAAGAAGGCAGAGUACCUUGCACGAGAAAUCAUCCAUAUAUCAUACUGAGGAAAACAGAUGAAUCUUGCCUUGGGAGCUUCUCUGGUAUCUUGUGAGGGAAAAGUGGGUUGCUUACACCAGAAACUUCUUAUUGUGAUAUGCGGUAUACAACCACCUGAAUAUUUUUGCUAUUGAUUUUUUUUGCAUGAAACGGGGUUUUGCAGGACUAUCCUCCUUUGUGAGUAUGUCAUAUUUUUGCUUGCUUCCAGGUACAUCGAGUUCCAAAAUCAUCCUCAACGAAAAAUUAAACUUGUAUCUGAGCCAUACCUUUGAUAAUAUUCUGUCAACCUUGCACAGAAUUUAUCUUGCUAAUUUAAUCAUUUUGUUGUGAUGAGUGCACGCUAAUGCAAACUUGAUACUGAUGGUCCAUCCAGGAUUUCUUUUGCAUUCAGACGAGGUAUUUCCAAUUUCACUGCAGUCAGCUGAUAAUUCCAGUCUGUUUAGUUGAGUUUCCAAAUAUAUGCAUUUCUUGCUGACUCUUCUAGUCCAGUGUCGGCUGACGAGCAACUUUAAUAGGGGAAAAAUUUGUAACACCAAAGGCCCAAAGAAAGGAACAACAGAAACGACUAAAGCAAAAGCACACAAGCAUUCUACUAAGAUAAUUAAUCAAGCAAUCAUCACAUAUUACUGCUACUCACACAAUAUGCAUGCCUACUUAAGCACACAAAUUCCACGGAAUCUCUGGUACUACGAUCUAGCAUGAUAUGACGAUGUGCACGAGGACGAAUAAAUGUGUGGAAGAAUUGGUGUAAACAGCGCUACACCAAGUGCUAGCUUAGCCAGAUACCAACCUGGACUAGCUCGGAGGCGAGGACGUACUCGGUAAUCAUGUAGUGGGACAUGAAUGUCGCAACCACAUUAUUAUCAAGCGGGCGGAAAAAGAUCCGUACUCGUCCAAGAAAUAGGAUAGCGGGGAAAAUAUGAGGCUGCUGACAUUGCCCUUUCUUGAUAACUAAGAUCAUUAAGGGUUGCCAACACGACAAAAUAAAAGAACGAUCUGGGAUAGAAGCAUGUCCACCAUCGAAAUGAUAGGCGCGACUAAAGGAAAGACAUCGGUGUGAUACCUGAGCACCAUUUUUGCAAACGGUGUAGGGAUCUCUUGGCAUCACUCUGCUGGGACAGAAAUGACACCAAACACCGAAAGAAAAAGGGACUGGGGAAAUGCAAAGGUUGAGCUGUAGUGGAACCAAACCGAUGCCAACUACACUCACUAGAUAAACCGUUAUCACAAAUACUAAGGCUAUAUGCAUGCUAUGCAACAAACAAAUGCAGCAAUCAAGUGCAACAAACCAACUGGGGUUUAGACUACCAUUUUCUAAUGUUCACGUGGCCUAGGGCGUCCUAUAGCCAGACCUGCUCUGAUACCAAGCCUGUGGCACCCCGGCUCAGAGAAAACCGGAACGCCCCGUAUUCCAACCCAGAGAUCAAGGAGAAGUCUUCUGGAAUACGGCACUGCUUAGCAUAGAACAAACCAGCUUUCUGUUAUUACAUGAAUAUGAGUACAAGGUCUCCGAUAUUACAAUGAAUAACAUCGGUACGACGACAUUACGCUAUCCUUAGAUGCUCUAUGCAAGCAGCAGAACAACUCGAACCAGCGGAAUAACUCUAGCAGCGGAACAACAACGACGGUGGUGAACUCCACUCUGUAGGGACUCUGACUGGAACGGUUAACCUAGCUCGCACGAACGGAAACCACGACAAGCAAGCAAUCAAAUCCGGCAUGACUGCAAGCUGGCAUGACACUCCAGGUCAGUACAUUGAAUGUACUUGCAAGCUCACAAUAACCAGCAACAUUCAAGACAAACAACAGCAUGGCAAUUACAGGUUAAACAGGAACUAUCAUUAUAUCAUCAGAACAACAUGGCAUGACCAACAUAAACAUGAUACAGCUAUCACAACAUGAAAAUAUUAAUCCGACAAUAAUAGCAUGGAACAUGAUGACACCAUAUGCACCACUUAUUCUGCUCGGGUUACCUCAUAACCAACACAUGAUUCACUUACCGACCUCAGACAUUACACGAUCAUCUCAGGAUCAAACCAAGCUUGGUAUAAACAAUACCGUAGUAAUCAGUAAAUGACCACAAGGAGCUUGAUCUUUACCUACGAUUCUCGUACAAUAUCACGAAUAUACAACAACUCGGUAUCCUCAAUACCACCGUGAUCCUUAAGGCGAUCACAACCAGACCAACACUUGGCCCCAAACCAUGAUCCUUACGGCAAUCACAACCCGACCAACACUUGGCCCGUGACCCUUACGGCGAUCACAACCCGACCACUAAAUGGCUCAUGAUCCUUACGGCGAUCACAACCCGACCACUGCAUGGCCCGUGAUCCUUACGGCGAUCACAACCAACUUAUCUCACUGUUAUUAAGCACAUUAUUCAUAUUACUGUUGACUCAUGGUGUGACCUUGUCUCGACCUGGGCCCUUAUCCGCGGGCGCAGCUAUCGAUAGAUUAAUAUACACUCUGCAGAGGUUAGUACACUGUACCCACACUACGGAACCCAUGGCCUCGCACUCCCAUUCGGGUGGACCAACAGCGUUCCGACAAAACCGAUCUACUGCCAUGACACUCUCCCGGCCACUCCGACUCACUCCUCACUGAGCUAAGUCAUGGGUGGCCCCGUGCCUACCUCCAAACACAAUGACCACCGUCGUGGCCCAUCCCACAUGGGAACACCGAUCCAAAAACUUAACAACUCAAUAACGGGCACACAAGGUUAUGCCUGCUUACCGGGCCAGGGUACAGCACACCCAUAACCUUCCCUCGUUGGAGGCACCGGCGAGAGGCACGACAAUAGACCCAGUUAGGACCGUCCCAUACCGGUAAGCGUGGUUGCACUGGUCAACAUGGAUUCAGCGGCACCAGGACUCAGCCAACAUUUGUUCAAGUUCAAUUUAAUUCCGUUAAACUUGAAUGCAAAUAUGCUGAGCCGUGAUAAAAUAACAUGAUGCCAACUCUAAUACAUGAACAUGAUAUCAACAUCACCAUGAGGGUAUCACAUAACUAUCCACCAUAUCAAUAAUAAAUCACCUCCACUGAGCAUGGCAUACUGACUAGCAUGACCAUCUCCAACAUCAACAUGUACUACUAGCAAGCAUAAACAUAGGAAAAUAAAUACUAGCAGGUACAAUAUGAUAAUAGAGUACAAUACAACAUAGCACAAAAGUGAACAUGCCAAUUUAAACAUCACCGGGACAACGAUAACCAUCUUUUCAACAAGCAAACAUUUAAUAAAGAUUCAAGUUGAAAACCAUGGCUACUGCAUGACUAUCAUGCAAGUGGGUAUGUGGCUUGCCUGGGGAUGAAGAAGGCAUCGGGGAGAAGUGCGGUGAAGCCGCGGAAAGAUUUGCUGGAAAACGUUCUCUCUUAGAGGGGGCUGAUUAAGGGCAGGGGCAAAAUGGUCAUUUUUAGUAUGCCAAAACAUAAUGAAAGUGACACCAACAGAAAGGGCUCGACGAAACGAAGAAGUGAGCGUUGGGUUCACCUCAAAGAGAGUUACGGAUAAAAAGAUAUUGAGUGAUUUCUGCCAGGGACCCAUCUAUAAUGAAAAUAUUUUCAACUAGGGGCCUGAACAGACAAAGUGAAAGCGUAUUUUGGGGAUUACGUCUCCACUUACGCUGACGUGGUGUGGACUGGUCAAAAGGGGCAGAGGUGGGGCCGGGCGUCAGGGUCACCGACAGGUGGGGCCGCCGGGCGGACGCGCUGGGUCAACGCCCACGUGGCUCCUGUCUUCUUCCUCCUUGACGUGUGCUUGCGGAGCAGAGGAGGCCGAGCGCUCCGGUGACGGCCGUCGGGGCUACAUGGCACCUCCGGCAAGGCUCCGCCCAUGGAUGAGCUCGUCGAGGAGAGCCGCAUCUAGAGGGACAGGUCGCGGCCGCCGGGACGGGUCGAGGUGACGGUGGUUUGGACUCGGGGACGGAGGCAACGGACGAGCCGCAGAGGUCACGGAGACGAGCAGAGCUCGGGGACAAGAGAAGGAAGAAACCACGGCACCAUAAAUGCUCGGUCGGCCACAGAUCUCUCAUGGGCGCUCGUCGGCAAGCGUCGGUGAGGAAGAGGACGAAGGGGGAGAGGGGUCCAGGGUGAAGAGGACGACGAUGCUGAGCUAUUUGACACUCGGGGACAAACCAGAACCGGCCGGAGCGACGCUGCUGUUGCCAACAGUGGAGAGACCACCGUUUUGGUUGGCUGCACUCAUGGUCACCAUUGGCAUGGCGUGCUCUGGAGGUUUUACUGAGGUUAAACCAUGUCUACUGCGUAGUCCUUCGAAGGGUGGUCUCAACUACGGUGGUAACUUGGUUAAACAGGCUCUGGUUAAAUAGCUAGUGAGCUCUGAAGUUUAUUGCAGUAAACUUUACCAGCUCAAUGUGAUCACCAGGGAGUUACUUGAAGCCAAAUAAGUUGUGUGGGGCGUUUAGGCUAGGAAGGACUACAGUCCUGGGGAGUUUGAGGGUAAAAGGAUCAAGAUUUACUGCAGUUGCUUCACAACUGCAUACUUGGUCCAGAAUUGAAGAUCAUGAUGAUGCACUCACAUGGGGAGUGUCCACAUGAGCUCAAAUUGGGCAAAGCUUAGUGAUUUGGUCAUAUGAUGAUGCUCACCAAGUAUCAUUCCAUUUGGCAAAGCUAACAUGGUACUUGCUUCACAAACAUCUCCUUUGGACAGAAACUUGGAAUAAUUAUGGUGGUCAAAUGGCUCAAUGAAAUGAUGCCAAAAUGGGUGGAGAGAUGUUUUAUGGGUAUAAGAAUGAUCUGGUAAUUUAUCAGGGUUUGUAAAGCAAUAUAAAAUAUACUUGCUUCACAACCUGAAAAUAUUGCCAGAAACAAAGAUUUGCUCCUGUGGUCACAUACAUGAUUGGAUGGGGCUGCAAAUGGGUGAAGGGAGGUAAUAUGAUCACAUUAAGUAGUGUGCAAAAGUACUACUCAUUUGGAUAUCCCUAGCUAGUACUUCCUUCACAAUGGUUUCUGUUUGACAGAAACUUUGAAAAAUCACUGAGGAAGAUUGGCUAGGCAAAUAAAGUUGAACUUGUGCAUCAGGCAAUUAUUUGGACAUAUAAACAUGCCCAAGGAGUUGGGGAGCAAUCAAGAAAAUAUAGGUGGUACUUCCUUCACAGAAAACCACACUGGACAGAAAUGGAGAAUAUUUAUUGGGGAAUUAUUUUUGAACAUGGCAAUGAAAAGUUUUGCCAUAUUUGGUCAAGAUAUGACCCAAACAAUUUAUGAGAAUUAUUUGGGAAUUUUUGGAGUGAUGGAAAUAUAGGUUGCUUCACAACCUAGGGCAAUUUGAGUUAUUCCUUUAAUGAAAAGGAAUAUUCCCAAUAAAAAGAAUAUUGGGAUUUGGGCUAGGAUGGGAAUAACAGGGUCUAGGGAAGGAUUUGGGAAUGUCAAGCCACUCUAGAAGCAAAGAAGAGGUCAUCUUCUUCAGUUUCCAGACCACAAAGCCACGGAAAAAGAAAACUCAGGCAAAAACCUCGGAAAAACAAAAGAAAAAGAAAGGGCCAAAAAUCAGGCUGUCAUAGCGAGGCUCAGCGCGACGUCCUCGAGCGAUGCUCCUUCACGAGACCCCUUUACUAGCUCCAGCUUCUUUGUCUUGGGGGCGACCUUAGGAGGGAGGGCGCCGUCUUUGUCUUCAGGGUUCUCGAUCACUGCAGCCUGGAAGGCGCGCUCGAGGAAGAACACCACAUCCUUCUCUUGGCAGGCGGCCGUGAUGACGCCGCCACUCCCUGGCAUCUUGAGGACAUUGUAGUCGUGGUGUGUAGCUGCCAUGAACUUGGCCAGUGUUUGGUACCCUAGGAUGGCGUUAUAGGGCAGGCGGAUGUCGGCGAGUCGAAGUCGAUGAGCUUAGUGUGGUAGUUGUUGCGCUCGCUGAAGGUGACAGUGAGGAGAAACUGCCCUAUCGGGUGUGUGGAACCGUCAGUCACUCCUGAAAAUGGCUUGGUUGGGUGAAGCUGGCAGUAUGGCACUUGAAGCCUGUCGAACGUCUCAAUAGACAGAACAUUGAGCCCUGCUCCACCAUCGAUGAGAGUCUUGGUGACGACCACGUUGCUGAUGACGGGGGAGCAGAGCAUGGGGAGCGCACUGGUGGUGGCCACGCACUUGAGCUGGUCUGAGGAGUUGAAGGUGAUGGCGCACUUGGACCACCGGAGAGGGAAAGUUGCUUUGAGCUUGGGGAGCGUCGCGUUCACCUCGCACGCGAACUGCUUGAAGAUGCGGUGGGAAGCUGGGGCUUGUGAGCCGCCCAAGAUGCAGGCAAUGGCUCGGGGCUCCUGGAAGCCCCCAGCCCCCUCGUCUUGGUGGUGAUCGUCGUUCCUCCUUGGAGAUGGAGGCAGAGGGGGCAGAGUUGCGUUGCCCUGAGGGCGCUCCUCACGAGGCUGCUCCCUCCAGGCGCCCUCACGAGGCUGGCCCUGCCAGCGGUCCUCAUGAGGCUGAUCGCACCACUCCUGACGAUGGUCGCGUCCAUCCCAGCGUCCUCCACCUUGGCCGCCUCCACGACCGUAGCCUCGAUUGUUAUGCUUGGGGCGUCGACCGAGGCGCCCGUCGCGGAGGGCCCUAAGCUCCUGGCAGUCAUUGGUGUUGUGGCUGUGAACAUUGUGGAAGACGCAGAACUGCCGGUUGCUCUUGGAUGACUCGGGGUGGUCGCAACCGUGCUUCAUGUCUGGUUCGGUCGCACGCAUGGCCAUCCCCUUGCGCUUCACGUCCUUGGUCUUGGUCUUCUUGUCUUCUGGAUCAGCAUCGGGGAGCUCGAGGAGGGAGAGGCAUCCCUCCUUAGCCCUUUCUCCAGAGCGGUGCAGAGAUCCUCAUGGAUGGAGCGCUCCUCCUUCAUCUUGACAUCGCGGACGCCAUCAGUGAAUGCUGAAAAUGAUGGCCUCAUCAGACACCUUGGGGAUCUUCAGGUGAACGUUGUUGAAGCGUUGGAUAUACUUUUGCAGGGUCUCUCCAGGUUGCUGCUUGAUUCGACGCAGGUCACCCAUGGCCGACAGACGGUCGCGAGUGCCCUGGAAGUUGGCGAUGAAGCAGUCGCGCAUCUCCUCCAAGGAAGAAACCGACCCUCGGGCAGGUUCAGGAGCCAAGAAAGCGCGCCAUCCUUGAGGGUCAUAGGGAACUAGUUCACCAUGAUCUUCUCAUCGCCGCUGGCCGCCUCGAUGCUCAGCUCAUAGAGCUGCAGGAACUCGGCGGGGUCGGCGGUGCCGUCGUAGCGUGGAGGCAGGUCAGGCUUGAAGUUGCUCGGCCAGACAAUGUUGCGGAGCUCUGGAGUGAACGCGCGGCAUCCUGUCAUGGCCACCGUAGGUCUUCGAGGGGGCGGAAACUGGUCCUGGUGCAUGCGCACCGCCAACUCCUGCGGCGGUACACGGGCCAGGUGCUGGGGUGCUGGAAGCACGCGCGCUUAUCCUUGUGGUCGCUGCACCACCUGGCAGCUCACGUCCUCCCGAGCCAGUGCAGGGCGAGGCGGGUCGCGCCAUGGUGCCACAUGCCUUGGCUCGAUGAUGGCGCCCUGGGUCGGAGGUGGUGGAGGAGCCCCAUGCGCCAUGUCAUCUGCUGCAGGUGGUUGCUAAGGCAACAAGCGAGCUGGCUCGGCAGAGCCCCCAUGCGCAACGCUGACGAGCUCAGCGAUCCGCUCGAGCCACUCCUCGUAGAGGUCACCAACCGGGCGGUAGCGAAGGAUCUCCCGCUCCAUGAGCAGAGCGGCCUACGCAUCCGCUUGGCCGUGACGCGCGUGGGGUGACGAAGCUAUUGGGGUCAGUCAUGGAGUAGUGGUAUGCCCGUCGUGACGCACCGACGGGUGUAGCGACGAAGCUUGCUGUUUGUGGCCGGCGGGACCCGUGGCAGCGUUAGCCAUCAGAGACGGAGCGCGACGGGCACAACCAUUGCCCGCCGGAGCUGUCUGAGCGACGCGGGCGGUGACUGCGGCCUGACGCUCGGCGCGAGCUUAGCGUGCAUCAGCCAUGGAGGUGUCGGAGUGGCGGUGGAUCGAUCGAUGGAAGAGAAGAUCCGACGCACCCCUACCUGGCACGCCAAAUGUCGGAUAAAGGGAUCCACAAACCCUUGAGAGGUUCAAACUCUAGGGUGCGUGCAGAGAUCUCAACCUACCCAACCUACCUACUUGUGAUCCUCCUAAGCCUAGCGCGUCAAGAUCAAAGAGACACAGAGACACAAUAGUUUAUCCUGGUUCGGGCCACCUUGCGGUGUAAUACCCUACUCCAGCGUUUUGAUGGAUUGCCUCGGAGGGCUAAGGAUGAACUAGUACAGUGGAUGAACUGGCCUCAGGAGGUGAGAUGUUCUUGAGCUCAAGGGAGCUGGUGUGGUGUGAGCUAGUUCGACUUGUCUUGUGUUCUAUGGUGGUGGCUAGUCCUAUUUAGAGUGGCCUUGGUCCUCUUCCCAAAUGUUGGCGAGAAGGGAUCCCACAACAGCCAGAUUUGAAAGGGGACAAGUAGUACAGCUUAUCCUGACAAAAGUAGUCUUCGCCUGCGAAAAGCCUCUGGUUGUGACACUACGGUGGGCUCGUCGAUGACCUCCAUCCUGCCGUCCUGGCGGUCUUGGUCUCGUUGCACCAGAAUGGAAACCUUUGGCUGAUUCCUCGGGACUCCGCACCUGUGGAUUGCCUCCUUUGCACCGAAGAGGAAACCUGCGCUCUGCGCCCACCUGGAGCCCACCUGGCCUUGGUCGUCGUGGCUCAUGUCAGCUGAGCCUCGUGAGGUGAACCUUGCAUAGAACUCUUCGCCCCUCGGGAGCCAGCCUGGUGAGACCGAUCCCCUCGAGGUCUUGGCGUCGCCCGCCUCGCAAGGCUUGGCCCCUCGUGAGGGUAUUGAGUUGUUGAUGCUGGAGCUGGGCCGUACCAGGCCGUCGACGGAGCCACGUGGUGGGCCGCAGGCACGCAGGACUCGAUACCCCCAUAUCCAGGACGUCGACAAGUUUAGCUCAUGACUAGAAGAUCUUUUGUCAUUGUAGGACCUUGACUUGGAACUUCUUUCCUUGCUUCUACUCUUGUAGAAUUUGUUGAAGUUCUUCACCAUUAAGCUCAGUUCUUCAUUGAAGGCUUGUUUCUCACUUGAUGAUGUAGGAGCAUCACAUGAGGCUUUGUAAGCACCACUAGACUUGUUGUGAAGCUCUUCUUUGUCCUUGAGUGACAUCUCAUGAGCAACAGUUCUUCCAAUGACUUCAGUUGGCUUGAGAUCUUUGUAAUUUGGCAUCAUUUGGAUCAAUGUGCACAGGGUGUCAUAUUUUCCAUCCAAGGCUCUCAAGAUCUUUUUGAUGAUGAAUUUGUCGGUCAUCUCUUCACUUCCUAAGCCGCAAUCUCAUUUGUGAUGAGAGCAAGCCUAGAGUACAUUUCAGCGACACCUUCACCAUCCUUCAUUUUGAACUUGUCAAGUUGACUUUGAAGCACAUCCAACUUGGAUUCCUUGACGGAGUCGGUACCUUCAUGCAUAUCAAUCAAAGUAUCCCAAAUUUCCUUUGCAUUCUCAAGACAACUGAUUUUAUUGAAUUCUUCGGGGCAAAAUCCAUUGAAGAGGAUAUCGCAAGCUUGAACAUUGUAUUGCAACAUCUUCAAUUCUUCCACGGUAGCUUCACGGUUUGGUUCUCUCCCAUCAAAGAAUUCACCUUGCAAGCCAAUACACACAAUAGCACAAAUGGUGGGGUUAUGUCCAAGAAUAUGCAUUUUCAUCUUAUGUUUCCAACUAGCAAAAUUAGUACCAUCAAAGUAAGGACCUCUACGGUGGUAAUUUCCCUCGCUAGACGCCAUACUCUCUUAGGUUGUGAAACCAAGGCUAUGAUCACCAAAGCUAUGGAAAUCAAGGCAAAUGGAGACCAAAGCUCUGAUACCACUUGUAGGAUCGAAAGUAUGUCUAAAGGGGGGUGAUUAGACUACUUGACCAAAUAAAAGCUUAACCUUUUCCCAAUUUUAGUUCUUGGCAGAUUUUAGCAACUUAGCACAAGUCAAGCAAUCGCAAUAAAUUCAAGCAAGCAUGCAAAGAGUAUAUGAGCAGCGGAAAGUAAAGCAUGCAACUUGCAAGAAAGUAAAGGUAUGGGAUUGGAGUGUGCAAACACAAUUGGAGACAUGGAUGUUUUUGGCGUGGUUCCGAUAGGUGGUGCUAUCAUACAUCCACGUUGAUGGAGACUUCAACCCACGGAGGGUAACGGUUGUGCGAGUCCACGGAGGGCUCCACCCAUGAAGGGUCCACGAAGAAGCAACCUUGUCUAUCCCAUCAUGGCCAUCGACCACGAACGACUUGCCUCACUAUGGUAGAUCUUCACGAAGUAGGCGAUCUCCUUGCCCUUACAAACUCCUUGGUUCAACUCCACAAUCUUGACGAAGGCUCCCAAGUGACACCUAACCAAUCUAGGAGACACCACUCUCCAAAAGGUAAUAGAUGGUGUGUUGUUGAUGAACUCUUUGCUCUUGUGCUUCAAAUGAUAGUCUCCCCAACACUCAACUCUCUCACACAGAUUUGGCUAUGGUGGAAAGAUGAUUUGAGUGGAAAGCAACUUGGGGAAGGCUAGAGAUCAAGAUUCAUAUUAUAGGAUUGGAAUAUCUUGGGCUCAACACAUGAGUAGUUGGUUCUCUCUCAGAAAAUGAGUAGUGGAAGUGUAGGUUUGUUCUGAUGGCUCUCUCCACGAAUGAAGAGUGGGUGAAGGGCUAUAUAUAGCCUCCACACUAAAUCUAACCGUUACACACAGAUUCCCAAACUCGGUGGGACCGAAUCAGCAAACUCGGUCAGACCGAUUUAGUUCAAAAUGUGAAUGUUAGGAUUUUCGGUGGGAUCGAUAUAGUCAUCUCGCUGGUACCGAUAUGCUAGGGCUAGGGCAUAACGUAAUCUCGGUGUGACCGAUCGCAUAAACUCGGUGGGCCCGAUUUUGACAAUAGGUACACAAAGGGUUAGUCAGGCAAACUCGGUGGGACCGAUUCGCUCACUUUGGUGGGCCCAAAGUCUUACGUAAAGGAAACAGGGAGUUUGCAAUGCAGACUCGGUGGGACCGAUUUGCUCUUUCAGUGAGACCAAAAAGUUACAAAAAGGAAACAGAGAGUUUGCAAUCCCAUCUCGGUGAGACCGAAGUAAUUAGGGUUUGUGGCAGUGGCUAUGUCAAGUGAAACUCGAUGGCGCCAGAUAGAUCAAAUCGGUGGGGCCAAAUUUGAGUUUUGGGUUUGGGACAUAUGUGGAUGUGAGAAAGUGGUUGAGGGUUUUGGAGCAUAUCACAAAGCCUUUUGAGCAAGUAACCCAUUAAGCAACACCUCAUCCCCUUUUAAUAGUAUUGGCUUUCCUAUGGACUCAAUAUGAUCUUGGAUCACUAAAAUGAAAAUGUAGAGUCUUGAGCUUGUUGCCAAUAUAUGUCCUUUGCAUUUUGAGGGGUCCACAUCUCUAGUCCAUGCCAUGUCAAACAUUGAACUUUCUGGAAUGAUUAUCUUGAAAUAGCGUCAGUUCAAUGAACUAUAUGUUGUUAAGAAUUACCAAAACCACCCAGGGAUUAGUUGCACUUUCAAUCUCCCCCUUUUUGGUAAUUGAUGACAGCAUACAGACCAAAGCUUUGACAAAUGAUAAUAAUAAUGAAGUAAAUUGUCGCUUUGAGAAGUAUGUGAUAAGUAAGAGCUCCCCCUAAACUUGUGCAUUGUUAAAAUUUGCUUUGGACUGCAAAUGCACAAUCUGUUAGGAUCAUGGAUUACUCUUCCAUGUCACAUACAUCUUGGUGGAGCGCUCAAAAUGAUAACAAAUAAGAACAAGCACUCAUCACCAACGCAAAGUGAAUGAUCAUACAUGAGAUACAUAAUGUCAACAUCCAAGCAUAAUCAUAAAGAGUGAUAUGAUCAAGCACAUGAUCAUACAAAGUGUCUCACACAAACAGACAUAAUGUAUCUCAAACAAGCAAGCAAAGAAAAUAAGUAGCAAAAAGAGACAACUCUCCCUCUCUCUCUGAAGCCUAUGAUCUAUACACUUUCUCCCCCUUUGGCAACAAGUUGCCAAAAAGCUCGAAAAUGCAUAGUGCUAUGCGUCUCUCUAGGCUUUAUCUUUGGGAGGUGGUGUUGAGAUGACUCCAAGGACAAAAGCUUAUGUAGAUGUUGUUGGAGCUCGAGGGGUUGCCACUGGAGGGGCAACGGGAGUUGUAGGAGUUGUGGCUGCAGGUGCUGAAGUUGUAGCUCUAGUAUCUGUCACUAGCACUGCUGCAGACCUCUGUGCCCUAGGCACCCUGUGGAACACAUGUGUAGUAGCUUUGCCCUUUCUCUCCUGAGCUUCUUCCUGGAGUUCUUCAACAUCUGUCUGAAUCUCAGUUACCUUCAAGUCCAGAUCAUAGAAUCUUGUCUCUAUUACCCUCUCCAAGCUCUCCUGGUUCUGAGUCAGGGUAGCUAGUCCUUUCUCAACCCUCAGGAUUGAUUGAAUCAGAAACCCAAGCUGAUCUUGUUUGGACUUGAGAAAGACUUCUGAAGCCUCUACUGCACUUGGCAUCUUUGCUGCUUUUGCUGCCCUGGCCUUCUCCUUCUUAUCAUGAGUUGCAACUGAAGAUGGAUAAUUAGCAUCCAUGACAACUGUGUUGUCCUCAAAUUCAUGCAGCAAAGGAAGGCGUUCUUUGUCCAAAAGAUACACUCCUUGCUUCAUCUUGGAAUUGAUCAUCUCUUGGAUGUGUGGAGCAUAUCCACAAGAUCUCUUCUGGUCAGCUGCUGUCCUUUUGGCAGUCUCUACAAUCAGGCUCAUGACCUUGAAUUUCUGUGGCACAACAUCAAACAACUGUAGCAAGUUGAUGGAAUGGCCUCUGAUCAUCGUGUGAUCUCCAUUUUUGGGCAACAAAGUGUGCCUCAAUAUAGUGUUUAUAGUGGCCAAACCAGAUAGCAGAUAGUAGACAGAUCCAAACUUGUGUGUUUCUAAGGCCUCAUCUGGAAUUUCCUUAUACAUAUUGGCCAUGGUGUUGUGAUCCUUCUUCUUCUCAGCAUACACAUCAAUUUGAUGUUCUUCUUCUGCGGGGGCAUUUAUGAGCCUAGCCCACUCUUCAAUAGUUGAUUGGUGCCUCUGCCCCUUCUGUCAUCCACAUAAUUCUUCCAUCUGGAUAGAAGUGAGUUGUUGAGUAGAAUUGCAUAAUGAGCUCAUCAUUCCAUUUGGUGAGCUUCUGACCAACAAAGUCAUCAACAUCAUUGCUUUGAAGCUUUCAUGCACUCCUGGGAAAUGAUCAGCAUUAGCAUCAAUGAAUUUCCAGUCCACCCAUCUCAUAUCACUGACUAUGGGUUUCUUGUCCAGCAAUACUGUCUCAUAGAAAUCAUGUUGCUCUUUGGUGUGGAACCUGUAGUCCACUGCAGUCCUCCUCCUCAUAGCAUAAGGAUCGGCUUGUGUUGGGGAUAUACCCCGCGGUAUGACCCGGCCGGACUUGGCGAUCUCUAGAGACCCGGCGGGCGGAUCAGACAGACGACAAGGCCCAAGGCCCAUCAGGCUGGCUAUGUUAUGAUGGGCCAGCUUAAGAGGAAAGCGUAAAUAAUAUUCCCUUACAAUGGAAGUAAGACUAGGACUCCACUUGUAAUAGAGUAAUCCUAAUCCUAUUAGGACUAGUCAUGUAACUCGCCCCUUCAACUUAUAUAAGGAGGGGCAGGGCACCCCAAGAGGGGCAGACAAGAAAACAACCGCUAAGGCUAGAUACAACUACAGGAGAGCCGAUUUAUGCGGCGUCUCCCCCAUGAGCAUAAUGAGACCUAGCCACAAACAGCAUGUAGGGCUAUUACCGGAUGGUGUUUCCCGGGGCCCGAAGCUGUCUAAACCCUUGUCUUGUGUUGCAUCUCUCGAUUCCGAUCAACCCCUCUCAAGCUACCACAUGGAUGCAUUGGCCUCGCGACUAAGUCCUCACACUAGGACAUCUGCUGUGACAAUUCCACCGACAGUUGGCGCCCACCGUAAUACUUAUGAUAUCUUGAGAGAAGCCUCUAGUGAAACCUAUGGCCCCCGGGUCUAUCUCUUAUCAUAUUUGCUUCCAAUCUACUUUUAUUUGCAUCUUUAUUUUCUGCAUCUAUAUUAUAAAAUACCAAAAAUAUAUUUAUAUUAUCAUAUUAUCUCUAUCAGAUCUCACUUUCGCAAGUGGUCGUGAAGGGAUUGACAACCCCUUUAUCGCGUUGGUUGCGAGUUCUUUGUUUGUUUGUGUAGGUUCGUGGGACUUGUGAGGAGCCUCCUACUGGAUUGAUACCUUGGUUCUCAAAAACUGAGGGAAAUACUUACGCUACUAUUGCUGCAUCACCCUUUCCUCUUCAAGGAAAACCAACGCAAGCUCAAGACGUAGCAAAAAGGAUUUCUGGUGCCGUUGUCUGGGAGGUCUUCGCUCAAGUCAAGACAUACCAAGUACCCAUCACAAACUCAUCUCCCUCGCAUUUACAUUAUUUGCCAUUUGCCUCUCGUUUUCCUCUCCCCCACUUCACCCUUGCCGUUUUAUUCGCCCUCUCUUUCCCAAUCUCUCUCUCUCUUUCGCUUGUCCUCUUCUUCUUCCUCGCUUUUGUCUGCCGUUAUGUCUGAAAUUGGGGAGAUUAUCAUCGAUAUGGACAAUAAUGAUAACAUGGAAAAUUCUGAUGCUCCGGCUGAAGAACCCCCUAUCUUGCAUACUAAAAAGUUUCGAAUCGGUAGUGGUAACAUUAUUGGAAAAGGUUUUAUUCAAGAUUUCUUUACUUGUGCCGGUGCUUUACCUUCUAUGGUUGGUUCUAUUCUUCAUAAAACUAGUAGUCUUGCGGAUGCUAUUUCCAUGCUUGUAGUUGAGCUUGAAAGACAAUUUAUGCAUAUGCAUCCUUGCAUACAAAGAAUUUUUCUUGAAUUUUCUAAUAUUGAACAUUCUUCUGUUAAGCGCAUUGUUACUAUCUUUUUGGCUUAUGAGUUUAGAUUUAUAAUAAGAGAGGCCAAAGAAAUCUUCACGCACUAUAGGGUGGACGUCGGUCGUCCUCCCAUAGAGGCGGUCCUCUUCGAUCAAGAGGAAAUUAGGCGUUUUCAAUCUUCACACUAUGUUGCUUUCAAUGAAAACCUUAGAAAAAAGGUUCCUACCAAUGUCUUGAUUGAUAGAAUUUAUGAACUUAAUAAUGAUUUUGCUCUUCGAAAUAAUGAGCUAGGAUACUCUCUUGAGUAUAGGCUCACUAGAUUUUGCCAAAAGAAUGCUUUUAGUGAUGAAUUAGUUGUGCAUUAUGAAGGGCCAAGGAAGGAACCCGUUCCUCCUGAGAUUGAUCUUGGGGACUUUUGCCCCACUAAAUUUAGCCCUUUUUUAUUAUUUUUGCUUGCCUCAAAGAAAACUUGCUGCCGAACGUAGAGAAUAUGAGAUGAGUUUUCAAGAUCUAUCUUAUUAUUAUGGCACUACUUAGAUCUAUCUUCGCUUUUAUGCCUAGCUAGGGGCGUUAAACGAUAGCGCUAGUUGGGAGGCAACCCAAUUUUCUUUGUGUUUUUUUGUUUUUGUUACUGUUUAGUAAUAAAUUUUGCAUCUACUUUCUGUUUAUAUGUGUUUUUAUCCUUUAAUUAGUGUUUGUGCCAAGUAGAACCUAUAGGAUAACCUAUGAUGAUAGUUGAUUUGAUUCUGCUAAAAAACAGAAACUUUGCACUCACGAGAAAAAAUUCAAUAAAUCACAGAAACGUGAUUUUGCAUUGAUUCUUUUUGCUGCUGAUCAAUAAACAAAUUUUCCAGUACUUCCUAUUUUGGUAGGAUUUUUAGAGUUCCAGAAGUUUGCGUUAGUUACAGAUUGCUACAGACUAUUCUGUUUUUGACAGAUUCUGUUUUCGUGUUUUUUUUUGCUUAUUUUGAUGCAUCUAUGGCUAGUAUGUAAGGGUAUGAACGAUAGAGAACUUGGAAUACAGUGGGUUUAACACCAAAAUAAAUAAAGAAUGAGUUUAUUACAGUAUCUUAUGUGGUGGUUUUGUUUUCUUUCACUAACGGAGCUUAUAAGAUUUUCUGUUGAGUUUUGUGUUGUGAAGUUUUCAAGUUUUGGGUAAAGCUUUUAUGGACUAUGGAAUAAGGAAUGGCAAGAGACUAAGCUUGGGGAUGCCCAUGGCACCCCAAGAUAUUCAAGGAUAGCCAAAGGCCUAAGCUUGGGGAUGCCCCGGGAAUGCAUCCCCUCUUUCGUCUUCGUUCAUUGGUAACUUUACUUGGAGCUAUAUUUUUAUUCGCCACAUGAUAUGUGUUUUGCUUGGAGCGUCGUAUAUUAUAUUAGUCUUUGCUUUUUAGUUUAACACAAUCAUCCUUGUUGUACACACCUUUUGGGAGAAGCCUAUUUGACUAGAAUUUGCUAGAAUACUCUAUGUGCUUCACUUAUAUAUUUUGAGCUUGAUAGUUUUUGCUCUAGUGCUUCACUUAUAUCUUUUAGAGCAUGGCGGUGGAUUAAUUUUGAAGAAAUUGCUAGUCUCUAAUGCUUCACUUAUAUUAUUUUGAGAGUCUUUUAGAACAGCAUGGUAUUUGCUAUGGUUACAAAUUUGGUCCUAGAAUGAUGAACAUCCAAGUUGGGUAUAAUAAAAACUAUCAUAAAAAGUGCAUUAAAACACUAGGAUCAAUUUGAUGCUUGAUAAUUGUUUUGAGAUAUAAAGGUAGUAAUGUUAGGGUCAUGCUAGUGGAUAAUUAUGAAAUUGAGAAAUACUUUUGUUGAAGUUGGCAAGUCCCAUAGCAUGCACGUAUGGUAAAAGUUGUGUGACAAUUUUUUUGCAUGAGGUGCUCUUUUGAUUGUCUUCCUUAUGAGUGGCAGUCGGGGACGAUCGAUGGUCUUUUCCUACCAAUCUAUCCCUCUUGGGGCAUGCAUAGUAGUACUUUGCUUCGAGGGCUAAGUAGAUUUUUUCAAUAAGUAUAUGAGUUCUUUAUGACUAAUGUGAGUCCAUGGAUAUACGCACACUCAUCCUUCCACUUUGCUAGCCUUUCUUAUUACCGCGCAACUUUCGCCGGUAUUGAACCCAUUAUUUACCUUCCUCAAAACAGCCACCAUACCUACCUAUUAUGGCAUUUCCAUAGCCAUUCCGAGAUAUAUUGUCAUGCAACUUUCCACCGUUCCGUUUACUAUGACACGUUUCAUCAUUGUCAUAUUGCUAUUUGCAUGAUCAUGUAGUUGACAUCGUAUUUGUGGCAAGGCCACCUUCAUAAUUUUCAUACAUGUCGCUCUUGAUUCAUUGAAUAUCCCCGUACACCGCCGGAGGCAUUCAUAUAGAGUCAUAUCUUGUUCUAGCUUUGAGUUGUAAUUCUUGAGUUGUAAAUCAAUAAAAGUGUGAUGAUCUUCAUUAUUAGAGCAUUGUCUCAGUGAGGAAAGGAUGAUGAAGACUAUGAUUCCCCCACAAGUCGGGAUGAGACUUCGGACUUUAUAAAAAUAAAAGAGACCAAAGAAUCCCACCAAAAAGAAGAGAAAAGAAUGGGGAAAAAGAAAAAGAAAAAAAGAAAAAAAAAGAAAAAAAAAGAAAAAAAAUGAGAGAAAAAGAGAGAAGGGACAAUUGCUACUAUCUCUUUUUCCACACUUGUGCUUCAAAGUAGCACCAUGAUCUUCAUGAUAGAGAGUCUCCUAUGUUGUCACUUUCAUAUACUAGUGGGAAUUUUUCAUUAUAGAACUUGGCUUGUAUAUUCCAAUGAUGGGCUUCCUCAAAGUGCCCUAGGUCUUCGUGAGCAAGCAAGUUGGAUGCACACUCAUUUAGUUUCUUUUGUUGAGCUUUCAUACAUUUAUAGCUCUAGUGCAUCUGUUGCAUGGCAAUCCCUACUCACUCACAUUGAUAUCUAUUGAUGGGCAUCUCCAUAGCCCGUUGAUACGCCUAGUUGAUGUGAGACUAUCUUCUCCCUCUUUUUGUCCUCACAACCACCACAAUAGACCACCAUAGUGCUAUGUCCAUGGCUUGCGCUCAUGUAUUACGUAAGAGUUGAAAAAAGCUGAAGCGCGUUAAAAAGUAUGAACCAAUUGCUCGGCUCGUCAUCGGGGUUGUGCAUGAUGGGAGUAUUUUGUGUAAUGAAAAUGAAGCAUGGCCUAACUAUAUGAUUUUGUAGGGAUAAGCUUUCUUUGGCUAUGCUAUUUUGAUAGGACAUGAUUAUUUGUUAGUCUGCUUUGAAGCAUUAUUAUUUUUAUGUUUUAUAAGCUUUUAUCUUGGAUCAUUUGGAUCUGAACAUUCAUGCCACAAUAAAGAAAAUUACAUUGAGAAUUAUGCUAGGUAGCAUUCCACAUCAAAAAUUUUGUUUUUAUCAUUUACCUACUCGAGGACGAGAAGGAAUUAAGCUUGGGGAUGCUUGAUACGUCUCCAACGUAUCUAUAAUUUUUUAUUGUUCCAUGCUAUUAUACUACCUGUUUUGGAUGUUUAUGGGCUUUAUUUUACACAUUAUUAUCAUUUUUUGGACUAACCUACUAACCGGAGGCCCAACCCGUAUUGCUGUUUUUUUUGCCUAUUUCAGUAUUUCGAAGAAAAGGAAUAUCAAACGGAGUCCAAACGGGAUGAAACCUUUGGAAGCGUGAUUUUUGGAACGAACGUGAUCCAAAGGACUUGGAGUGCAAGUCAAGAAGCAUCCGAGGCGGCCACGAGAGGGUAGGGCGCCCCCCCUUUCUCGUGGACCCCUCGGGCGGCCACCGACGUACUUCUUCCUCCUAUAUAAGCCUACAUACCCCAAAAACAUCCAGGGAGCCACCGAAGAAAUAUUUCCGCCACCGUAACCUUCUGUAUCCGCGAGAUCCCAUCUUGGAGCCCCGCCGACAUUCUGCCGGAGCGGGAAUCCACCACGGAGGGCUUCUACAUCAACACCAUAGCCCUUCUGAUGAGUUGUGAGUAGUUUACCACAGACCUUCGGGUCCAUAGUUAUUAUCUAGAUAGCUUCUUCUCUCUUUUUGGAUCUCAAUACAAUGUUCUCCCCCUCUCUUGUGGAGAUCUAUUCGAUGUAAACUCUUUUUGCGGUGUGUUCGUCGAGAUCCGAUGAAUUGUGGAUUUAUGAUCAAGUUUAUCUAUGAAUAAUAUUUGAAUCUUCUCUGAAUUCUUUUAUGUAUGAUUGAGUUAUCUUUGCAAGUCUCUUUGAAUUAUCAGUUUGGUUUGGCCUACUAGAUUGAUCUUUCUUGCCAUGGGAGAAGUGCUUAGCUUUGGGUUCAAUCUUGCGGUGUUCUUACCCAGUGACAGAAAGGGUUGCAAGACAUGUAUUGUAUUGUUGCCAUCGAGGAUAAAAAGAUGGGGUUUAUAUCAUAUUACAUGAAUUUGUCCCUCUACAUCAUGUCAUCUUGCUUAAUGUGUUACUCUGUUUUUUAUGAACUUAAUACUCUAGAUGCAUGCUGGAUAGCGGUCGAUGUGUGGAGUAAUAGUAGUAGAUGCAGGCAGGAGUCGGUCUACUUGUUGCGGACGUGAUGCCUAUAUACAUGAUCAUGCCUAGAUAAUCUCAUAACUAUUCGCUUUUCUAUCAAUUGCUCGACAGUAAUUUGUUCACCCACCAUAAUACUUAUGCUAUCUUGAGUGAAGCCUCUAGUAAAACCUAUGGCCCCCGGGUCUAUCUCUUAUCAUAUUUGCUUCCAAUCUACUUUUAUUUGCAUCUUUAUUUUUUGCAUCUAUAUAAAAUACCAAAAAUAUAUUUAUCUUAUCAUAUUAUCUCUAUCAGAUCUCACUUUCGCAAGUGGUCGUGAAGGGAUUGACAACCCCUUUAUCGCGUUGGUUGCGAGUUCUUUGUUUGUUUGUGUAGGUUCGUGGGACUUGUGAGGAGCCUCCUACUAGAUUGAUACCUUGGUUCUAAAAAACUGAGGGAAAUACUUACGCUACUAUUGUUGCAUCACCCUUUCCUCUUCAAGGAAAACCAACGCAAGCUCAAGACGUAGCAAUAACCCAGUCCCAGAGCUACCGCCAUAUUGGUGAAAAUUUAAAGGCCGUCAGUAGAUUUCCGGCUCAAAAUGAGGAUUCUGGUUCAAAAUACAGUUCAAGGGAAACUUAUUUACCAAAAAUCUUUGAAGCUCUUAAUAUCCGGUUCACAAUCCGGCUCAAGGACAAUCUAUCUCCCACAAAGUUUUGAAGCUUUCAAAUCCAGUUUAAAGUUCCGGUUCAAAAAGAAUUAAUCUCUCAGAAGUUCGAGUUCUCAGAAAAAUUGAAGGUUGCCAAAGAGAACUUGCUUCCACGAUGUGUGGUUCAAACAUGGGUAUCCUGCCUUACGGCUUAUCUUAUUAGGGUCACUUGGGGGUUUCCUGCUCAUCGAGCAUAGCUGUCGGUAACCUCUUGAUCGGCGCAAUGCCAAAACUUAUAUGGUCAUUUGGGGGAUUCAUGUUCAAACAUAGGUCGUAUUCGAACCAAUGAGAACAUAGUUGUCGGUACCCUCUUGAUCGGUGCAAUGCCAAACCCACUAGGGGGUUUCUUGAUCAUAUUCGAAUCAUAGCUUAACUCCUUUUGGGUCCGACUUUGAUCGUAUUCGAAUCAGAGUCGUUAAAAAACUCUCGAGGUCAUUUGGGGGCUUCCUGUUCAAACAUAGGUCAUAUUCGAACCAAAGAGAACAUAGCUGUUGGUACCCUCUUGAUCGGUCCAACGCCAAAGCCACUGGAGGCUACAUGAUCGUAUUCGAAUCCUAGCUUAACCCCUUUGGAAUGGUUUACUGAUCGUAUUCGAAUUAGAAGCCUCGCUUUUUCUCUGUUUGACUUAAGUUUUUUGAAAACAGUCUUUUGGGUUUUUCUUGAGACUUUUUGCUCAUAUCUGGAGCAUAUAUGUGUGGUUUCUAUUUAACCCGGCUCAACUUUGGACGAUAAGUCACCAGCAUAUGACAAUAUUAAUACUUGAAAGGUUUGGCUUCUAAGUUUUGGGUUAUCACCCUUACUGCACUAGUAUCAUAAGCCGGCAGUACGAUUCAAUAUCACAGGUAUGAUAUUGUUUAUACAUGAUUAUGUUUAAACUGGCCCUGGCUAUGGACUUUAAGUCGCCGGUCUAUUUUGGAUUGCGCCAUUCGAAUCAUGCGCUUAUCAAUCAUUGGAUUAUUGCCCUUAUUGGAUACGGCGAUGUAAGCCGGCAGUAUGAGCCAAUUUCUAUAGGUAUGUUUUCCUAAUUAUAUAAAUAUGCGAGGUUGGAUAACCCGCCCUGGCUUUUGAUGAUAAGUCACCAGUAUGUUUAGGCUUGAAUGGCCUUAAUCCUAGUCUUUUCCAUAAUUGCAUAAAGACUAUAUUAUGUUUGGGUUGUUACCCGCCCUGGCUUUGACGUUAAGUCGCCAGGGCAUAUGUCGUUUAAACUCUAUGUAGGAUUUGCAGAAAUAUGAAUUAUAUAAAUGAUUAAGUUCAAGCUCAUUAUCAAAAUUGAUUCUUCAAAAUGAUUAUUCGUUCUGGAUUUUCUCAAAGGCUAUAAGCCGUCAGGUUAUAAAAAUUCCAGCUUACAAUGGAGGCGUAUUAAAUCGCCAUCAUCCAAGAGUCGUCGGGUAUUUAAACUCUGGAUUUACAUGUCAACAGAUAAGGUAUUCAAAGUCACUUUGGCACAAUGGCUAUUAUUUUAUCAAUGGAUAUGAUUUAUUCUACAAUGGAAGGAAUAGUCCCGAGUCGCUGCAGGCUUACGACCUGGCACUUGGGGGCUACAUUAUUCAGAUUGAGAUUACAUCAAAUAUGCAAGUCCCAUGUCACUGCCAGCAUGCACCAUGGCACUUGGGGGCUAAUGCAAAGUCAUUUUUGGCUCACUUUAUUGAAGAUCCGACUCAUCACAUUAUAAUGAGCCGACCCUUGGGGAUUACCAAUUGCUCCUGUCAAAACCUCAAGGUACACAAGCCUUAAUCCAUUAUAUUGAAAGGUCCACUACUCAGUUGGUACAUACAAAGCUCUUAACCUUGUGGACGUGGGUUCAAGCCCCAUAGUGGAGAUUGCAUCAUCUGAUGUUAUUAUCAAUGAAUUAUAUACAAAAGUCCCUGCUCAUUAUUGUAUAAUGACCCGACCCUUGGGGGCUACACUGGUUGAAGUUUUUAUGAGCAUAAGGCAAUUACAAGUCCCAGGUUGCUGCAAGCAUGACAACCUGACACUUGGGGGCUACAGGUAAUAUGUAUAUGAAGGAGGAACAUCUUCAAAUUAUCAGUUUUGAGCAAAUCAGGAAGAUCAAUUGUGUGACCCGGCAUUGGCAACAAUCAUAACCCGGUGUCUAUAAUGGUCAUGACCCAGAAUCAUCAGUUUUCAUAACCAGAGGAUUUUUGAAAUCAUAAUUCAGCAAGUUCUACAAGUCGGUUGAAUAUCAGUUGUGAAUAUUACAAGACCAAUAUUUUUGUCAAGUCAGAGCAUUGAAGGCCGAUUCAAAUGGAUUCUUUAUUCAUAAUAUUUCUUCUACAAGCAAAUUUACUAUAAAGUUGGUCUAUUGACCCGGACUUUCCAGAAGGAGGAAAUGACAAGGACUAAGGAUGAUCAGGGUCAGUUUAACAUGGAUAAAUCCAAAUUAAAACUGGGGUCUAAUGUCGGGGAUAUACCCCGCGGUAUGACCCGGAUGGACUUGGCGACUCACUGGAGACCCGGCGGGCGGAUCAGACGGACGACAAGGCCCAAGGCCCAGCAGGCCGGCUUAUGUUAUGAUGGGCUGGCUUAAGAGGAAAGCGUAAAGAAUAUUCCCUUACAAUGGAAGUAAGACUAGGACUCCACUUGUAAUAGAGUAAUCUUAAUCCUAUUAGGACUAGUCAUGUAACCCGCCCCUUCAACUUAUAUAAGGAGGGGCAGCCCACCCCAAGAGGGACAGAAAAGAAAACAAUCGCUAAGGCUAGACACAACUAGAGGAGAGCCAGUUUAUACGGCGUCUCCCCCAUGAGCAUAAUGAGACCUAGCCACAAACAACAUGUAGGGCUAUUACCAGAUGAUGUUUCCCGGGGCCCGAAGCUAUCUAAACCCUUGUCUUGUGUUGCGUCUCUCGAUUCCUAUCAACCCCUCUCAAGCUACCACAUGGAUGUGUUGGCCUCGCGACUAAGUCCUCACACUAGGACAUCUGCCGUGACAAUUCCAUGACAGCUUGUCUCCACUUCCUGAGACUAGCAUCCUUUCUUUCCUUCAUAUUUUCAGCCACUAAGUGCUACCUCUUGAGCAUGCGUUGGUUUUCCCUUGAAGAGGAAAGGGUGAUGCAGUAAAGUAGCGCAAGUAUUUCCCUCAGUUUUUGAGAACCAAGGUAUCAAUCUAGUAGGAGGCCACAUGCAAAUCCCUCGUACCUGCACAAACAAAUAAGAACCUUGCAACCAACGCGAUAAAGGGGUUGUCAAUCCCUUCAUGGCCACUUGCAAAAGUGAGAUCUGAUAGAGAUAAUAAGAUAAAUAUUUUUGGUAUUUUUAUGAUAUAGAUCAGAAAGUAAAGAUUGCAAAAUAAAAUAGAUCGGAAACUUAUAUGAUGGAAAAUAGACCCGGGGGCCAUAGGUUUCACUAGUAGCUUCUCUCAAGAUAGCAUAAGUAUUACGGUGGGUGAACAAAUUACUGUCGAGCAAUUGAUAGAAAAGUGCAUAGUUGUGAGAAUAUCUAGGCAUGAUCAUGUAUAUAGGCAUCACGUCCGCAACAAGUAGACCGACUCCUGCCUGCAUCUAUUUAGGACAAAAUAUUUAUUUACAACUCAAGAAUUACAACUCAAUACUUAGGACAAAAUAUGACUCUAUGUGAAUGCUUUCGGUGGUAUACCGGGAUAUGCGAUGAAUCAAGAGCGACAUGUAUGAAAGAAUUAUAAAGGUGGCUUUGCCACAAAUACGAUGUCAACUACAUGAUCAUGCAAAAGCAAUAUGAUAAUGAUGGAGCGUGUCUUAAUAAACAGAAUAGUGGAAAGUUGCAUGGCAAUAUAUCCUGGAAUGGCUAUAUUGAGGAAGAUAUAAGUAGGUUUAUGUGUGAUAGAGCGUGUCGUAACACAGGGUUUGGAUGCACCCGCAAAGUUUGCACCAACUCUCAAGGUGAGAAAGGGCAAUGCAUGGUACCGUAGAGGCUAGCAAAUUGCGGAAGGUUAAGAGUGUGUAUAAUCCAUGGACUCACAUUAGUCAUAAAGAACUCAUAUACUUAUUGCAAAAGUUUAAUAGCCCUCGAAGCAAAGUACUACUACGCAUGCUCCUAGGGGAAGGGUUGGUAGGAUUUAACCAUCAUGUGAUCCCGACCUCCACUCAUAAGGAAGGCAAUCAAAGAACACCCCAUGCUUCAAAUUUGUCACACAAUGUUCACCAUACGUGCAUGCUACGGGACUUGCCAACUUUAACACAAGUAUUUCUCAAUUUCAUAAUUACCCAACUAGCAUGACUCUAACACUACCACCUUUAUAUCUCAAAACAAUUAUCAAGUAUCAAAUUGAUCAUAGUGUUUAAUGCACUCUAUAUGAUAGUUUUUAUUAUACCCAACUUGGAUGCCCAUCAUAUUAGGACUAAUUUUAUAACCAAAGCAAAUUACCAUGCUGUUCUAAAAGACUCUCAAAAUAAUAUAAGUGAAGCAUGAGAGAUCAAUAAUUUCUAUAAAAUAAAACCACCACCGUGCUCUAAAAAGAUAUAAGUGAAGCACUAGAGCAAAAUUAUCUAGCUCAAAAGAUAUAAGUGAAGCACAUAGAGUAUUCUAAUAAAUUCCGAUUCAUGUGUGUCUCUCCCAAAAGGUGUGUACAGCAAGGAUGAUUGUGGUAAACUAAAAAGCAAAGACUCAAAUCAUACAAGACGCUCCAAGCAAAACACAUAUCAUGUGGUGAAUAAAAAUAUAACAUCAAGUAAAGUUACCGAUGGACGAAGACGAAAGAGAGUUCCCAAAAAUAAUAUAAAAGUGCAUAGUAAAGCCCAUUAAACAUCCAAAAUAGGUAAUAUAAUAGCAUGGAACAAUCAAAAAAUAUAGAUACGUUGGAGAUGUAUCACUGGGUGACUGUCAUUGUGGUCUGGAAUCUUGGGCUUGAGCUUUCUGAGCACUUGGGCCUCAGCUUCUUCAGCAGCUUCAGGCACUGGGGCCUGUUCUUCUCUGUAGCAGGUAUGUUCCUGGUACUUCUCUUUGGAGCUUGAGCUGGAGCUUUGGGGGUUGUCUUGGGCUUUGAAGGAGCCGCCCCAGACUUGACGGCAUCCCCCAUCAGCUUGUAUGCCUUUGCAGGAGGUGCUUGAGCAGCAUCCUCUUCUUCUUCUUCACUUUCAGAAUCCUUCCUCAUUGAAGGAUUUCCAAACACUCUAGAUGUUGUAUUUCUGACCCUCUUCUUCCCUUAUUCACCUGCUUUUGGCUCAAGUGAGAAGCCAUUAUUUCCUGAGUGGAAGUUCUGGCCUUUGACAUGGGAACUCUCCUGGCAGGUGCCUUCUUGUGCAUUCCAGGCUUUGUUGAAGCAGCAGUUCCAAAUUCCUUUUUCACCACUUUAUUCUUAGAGCUAACUUCCUCCUCAGCAGCCACAUAAUCCUCAUCCUCUAAAUCUGAGGUUCUCUUCUUCCUUGUCCUUGUUGCUGCCUUGGGAAAGUUGCUUGGAGUGCUCCUGCUGCCAUCAUCUGAGCUGCUAGAGGGACUAGUGCCCUCACUCAUGCGCACUUGCUCUUCUGAUUUGUUCUGGCUAUCACUCUGGUCAGACAUUUUGCAUAGCAAACUGAGAACUGUCCCUGUGAAUAGAUGUAGAUGAGUAGAGUAGAUGAGCAUCACAAAGUGCAGAUUUUUUGCAAAAAGAAUGAGUCAAAAACUUAGUUUUAGUUUUCUACAGGAAGCAUUUCGGAGCUACCGAUUUGUAAAACUCGGUGACACCGAAGCAACUUUGGAGUCUAAACAUGUGGAAUUGGUCAGACCGAGGCACAGUUUGGCGACUCCGAGUUUGCUAGGAUUUCACAAAGUCCUGGUAUCGAUCACACCGAUUUGCAAUUUUCGGUCAGGCCGAAAAUCACUUGUGCUUUGGCCUAAGCCAAAUGGGUGGAACCGAUUCCUACAACUCGGUCGGUCCGAGAUGAGUCCGGCGGAAAUCUAACCCUAAAUUUUCAAAUCAAAUCUAGUCUAAUGGAGAUUCUCUAUGGAUGGAUCGAUCUCACACGUGGAAUAGAACAUGGCAUUGACCUUGUGUGUAGAAUCGGAAGUAAAAGAGUGCAAAAGGGGGGUCGAACUCAUACCCUAGUUCGGCGAUGAGUUUGCUACGGCGACAACAGCAACGAAAAAAUCCGUUGACGGUGGCAGAGACCAGCGGCGGGAGGUCACUGGCGACGAGGUGAUGAUCCAGAGACUCGAGAGGCAGAGCAGGACACGCGCAGGCGACAGGGUUUUGAAGUGAUUUCCAAAAUCUGGCCCGUUAGUAUUUAUAUGCUGACAUUAUCGGUGUGACCGAGUGGAACAACUCGAUGGCACCGAGACGCAAAAUUGCAAGCGGUUACUACAACUCGGUGAGACCGAAGGGUUCUAAUCAGUUGCACCAAGAUUGAAACUUGAUCAACCAAGUGAACUCGGUGUGACCGAAAUGGAGGAGUCGGUUAGACCAAAAUACACAGAGAGGUUUUGGAAGUUUUAAGUCUAUGACAAAAUCGGAACUCCGAGUGCUCCUCACACAGAGGGUUUGAAUUUGACUUAGAUCAAACUUUUUGAUGUAGCAUGAAUAGAGUUUGAGAAGAGAAAGGCAUAGAUAGCUAGAGGAAGUUCUUAGGCAUUCUUGUCCAUCCAUUUGGCAAAAAGAAGAAACUCCAAACAAACAAAGCAACAAAUGUAUAUCCUCGAAUGAGAGAAAAUAUGCAACCAACAUGCUCACACAAUAAAAUGGCAACUGAAACAUGUUGCAAAACAUGCACAAUCACUCUAGCAUCUAUCAAGUAAUUGGCGAUGACUAGGUCAUCUAUAUAUGAGUAUAUUGACUUAGGAGUCAAAUGAGAACAUUUGAUCAUAGGUCAUACUCAUUGUUUAAGCACAAGUGGGGUUACCACUUUUACCUAAAGCAUUGUUGUGUUCACACCAUUAGAGUUGCUUUAGCUUAAUUCUUAGAGUAAAGCUCCCCCUAGAUGUGAUAUUCCCCCUUAAGAGGGAUCAACUAACCUUGGGUUUUGUCGAUGAUGACUUCAUGUAGAUAUCGAAGAUGUGGAUGCUCAUUGUUGAAGUAGAUCAUUUGGAGCAAUCCAUUGGAGUGAGUUGCACUUUCAAUACCUACAUGGGUUAGUCCCACAAGGAACAAACAAGGAUAUCCAUAGACAUAGAGUGAUGCAUACACAUGAUGAUGUCCAUGAAAGCAUUAGGUUACCUUGUCACUGGUCUUACCAACAAGAGGGUUUGCGACUCCUUGAGCUAGUGCAAGAUGUAGAAGUUGUUUGCACUUGUUCUUGCCAAAAUAAUUAUGAGUGAAGUAUCUUGGCAGAGUCACCCUAAAGAACUCUCUAGUUCUUCUUAUUGGGGAUCCACAUCAUCUUGAUGGGAAUCCUUGGAGUUGUGGAUGUACUUGACAAAGUAGAACUUGAUUUUGUCUUGGGAACCCACUUGACCAAGGCCUUCGGAGCAUCUUCAAAUCCAUCAAUAUCUUCUUGAAGCUUGUCCUUGCCUUUUAGCUUGUGGUCUUGUGGUGGAAGAUCAUCUUGAGCUUGUGUCCCCUUGAAGGAAGUAGGGUCAUACUUCUCUUGUUCAGGAACAAACUUUGUCUUGGGGUAUUUAUCUUCUUCCCACUCAGCUCCAUUGGCAUUGAACUUUCGUUCAAACCAAAACCUUGAUUCUUCCGGUGCCUUCCUUGCUUGCGUACAAUUUCCUCAGAUUGCUUACUUCCGGCAAGGCUUUUGUAAACACCUUUCUCUAUAAUUCCCUUCAAUAAGUUAUUUUCUUGCUCAAGUGUAACUUGGCUAAGAGAAUCAUUAGUGGAAUCAAGAGAACUACUAGAAGCAACAAUAUUGGAUUUAACAUGAUUAUUGUUACUACUAGAAGAGGAAUCUUUCUUGUUCUUGUUGCUAGACUUUACUUGUGGCAUGUAAGUAGACCAGAGUAAACGCUUGGCAAUGUAAGAAGAACUUUUCUUCCAAAGAUCAUCAUUGAUGGCCUUUAAGAACUCAUGCUCUUGCUCAAGAUUGAGAUCUUCAAAACAUAACUUCUCACGAGUUUUUAAAAGUUCUCGAUGAUCUUCUAAAGUAGUUUCAUGAGCUGAUUUAAGAGUGUUUAGUUCUUUAGUUAGAUGCUCAAUCUUCUCCUUAUCAUUGUCAUUCGUUUUAUCAUGAUUAAUUGAUGUUUCAUCAUAGUAUUCAUCACUAGAGUUGUCAACAAGUAAAUCAUCAUCACCUAGCAAGUCAUCUUCAUCACUAUUGAAAUCAACAUACUCGGGGUGUUUUACCUUGGGGCCUUUAGCCAUGAAGCAUCUCCCAAUACCUUCAUUUGGUGAGUCAAAUAUGUCGUAGGAGUUGGUUGACACAAGUGCUAGACCGGCAACACCUUCAUCUUGAGUAUAUUCAGAGUCGGAGUGAUAACUUCUCUCGGAGUGGUGGUCAGAGUCGAAGCCGGAUACCCAUUCACCAACAUGAGCUUGAUGUCUUCAUUUUGUGUAGCUCCUUGAUGACUUGUCCUUCCUUUCUGAAUCCUUGCUUCUUUGAGAGGUUCUUCGUUCAUAACGAUCAUCUCUACUCCUCUCUCUUGGAGGUGAUUCUUCCCUUUUGCUUCUUCUUUUAGGUGAGUCUUCUCUUCUUUUAUAGGGAGCCGUACACUCAUUGGAAUAGUGUCCGGGUUUUCCACAAUUGUAGCAGUUUCACUCACGACUAGAAGAUCUUUUGUCAUUGUAGGACCUUGACUUGGAACUUCUUUCAUUGCUUCUACUCUUGUAGAAUUUGUUGAAGUUCUUCACCAUUAAGAUCAGUUCUUCAUUGAAGGCUUGUUUCUCACUUGAUGAUGUAGGAGCAUCACAUGAGGCUUUAUAAGCACCACUAGACUUGUUGUGAAGCUCUUCUUUGUCCUUGAGUGACAUCUCAUGAGCAACAAUUCUUCCAAUGACUUCAGUUGGCUUGAGAUCUUUGUAAUUUGGCAUCAUUGGAUCAAUGUGCACAGGGUGUCAUAUUUUCCAUCCAAGGCUCUCAAGAUCUUUUUGAUGAUGAAUUUGUCGGUCAUCUCUUCACUUCCUAAGCCGCAAUCUCAUUUGUGAUGAGAGCAAGCCUAGAGUACAUUUCAGCGACACCUUCACCAUCCUUCAUUUUGAACUUGUCAAGUUGACUUUGAAGCACAUCCAACUUGGAUUCCUUGACGGAAUCGGUACCUUCGUGCAUAUCAAUUAAAGUAUCCCAAAUUUCCUUUGCAUUCUCAAACGGCUGAUUUUGUUGAAUUCUUCGGGGCACAAUUCAUUGAAGAGGAUAUCGCAAACUUGAGCAUUGUAUUGCAACAUCUUCAAUUCUUCCGCGGUAGCUUCACGGUUUGGUUCUCUUGCAUCAAAGAAUUCACCUUGCAAGCCAAUACACAGAAUAGCCCAAACGGCGGGAUUAUGUCCAAGAAUAUGCAUUUUCAUCUUAUGUUUCCAACUAGCAAAAUUAGUACCAUCAAAGUAAGGACCUCUACGGUGGUAAUUUCCCUCGCUAGACACCAUACUCUCCUAGGUUGUGAAACCAAGGCUAUGAUCACCAAAGCUAUGGAAAUCAAGGCAAAUGGAGACCAAAACUCUGAUACCACUUGUAGGACCGAAAUUAUGUCUAGAGGGGGGGUGAUUAGACUACUUGACCAAAUAAAAGCUUAACCUUUUCCCAAUUUUAGUUCUUGGCAAAUUUUAGCAACUUAGCAUAGGUCAAGCAAUCACAAUACAAUUCAAGCAAGCAUGCAAAGAGUAUAUGAGCAGCGGAAAGUAAAGCAUGCAACUUGCAAGAAAGUAAAGGGAUGGGAUUGGAGUGUGCAAACACAAUUGGAGACACGGAUGUUUUUGGCGUGGUUAUGAUAGGUGGUGCUAUCGUACAUCCACGUUGAUGGAGACUUUGACCCACGGAGGGUAACGGUUGCGCGAGUCCACGGAGGGCUCCGCCCACGAAGGGUCCACAAAGAAGCAACCUUGUAUAUCCCAUCAUGGCCAUCUCCCACGAAGGACUUGCCUCACUAGGGUAGAUCUUCAUGAAGUAGGCGAACUUCUUGCCCUUACAAACUCCUUGGUUCAACUCCACAAUCUUGACAGAGGCUCCCAAGUGACACCUAACCAAUCUAGGAGACACCACUCUCCAAAAGGUAAUAGAUGGUGUGUUGUUGAUGAACUCCUUGCUCUUGUGCUUCAAAUGAUAGUCUCCCCAACACUCAACUCUCUCUCACACAGUUUUGCCUAUGGUGGAAAGAUGAUUUGAGUGGAAAGAAACUUGGGGAAGGCUAGAGAUCAAGAUUCAUAUGGUAGGACUGGAAUAUCUUGGCCUCAACACAUGAGUAGGUGGUUCUCUCUCAGAAAAUGUGUAGUGGAAGUGUAGGUUUAUUCUGAUGGCUCUCUCCACGAAUGAAGAGUGGGUGGAGGGGUAUAUAUAGCCUCCACACUAAAUCUAACUGUUACACACAAAUUCCCAAACUCGGUGGGACCGAAUCAGCAAACUCGGUCAGACCGAUUUAGUUCAAAAUGUGAAUGUUAGGAUUUUCGGUGGGACCGAUAUAGUCAUCUCGGUGGUACCUAUAUGUUAGGGUUAGGGCAUAACGUAAUCUCGAUGUGACCGAUCGCAUAAACUCGGUGGGCCUGAUUUCAGCAAUAGGUACAUAAAGGGUUAGUCAGGCAAACUCGGUGGGACCGAAGUGUUACGAAAAGGAAAUAGGGAAUUUGCAAUGCAGACUCGGUGGGACCGAUUUGCUCUUUCGAUGAGACCGAAAAGUUAUAAAAAGGAAACAGAGAGUUUGCAAUCCAUUCUUAGUGAGACCAAAGUAACUAGGGUUGCGGCAGUGGCUAUGUCAAGUGAAACUCGGUGGCGCCGAAUAGAUCAAAUCGGUGGGGCCAAAUUUGAGUUUUGGGUUUGGGACAUAUGUUGAUGUGAGAAAGUGGUUGAGGGUUUUGGAGCACAUCACAAAGCAUUUUGAGCAAGUAACCCAUUAAGCAACACCUCAUCCCCUUUUAAUAGUAUUGGUUUUCCUAUGGACUCAAUGUGAUCUUGGAUCACUAAAAUAAAAAUGUAGAGUCUUGAGCUUGUUGCCAAUAUAUGUCCUUUGCAUUUUGAGGGGUCCACAUCUCUAGACCAUGCCAUGCCAAACAUUGAACUUUCUGAAAUGAUUAUCUUGAAAUAGCAUUAGUUCAAUGAACUAUAUGUUGUUAAGAAUUACCAAAACCACCUAGGGAUUAGUUGCACUUUCAAUCUCCCCCUUUUUGGUAAUUGAUGACAACAUAUAGAUCAAAGCUUCGAUAAAUGAUAAUAAGAAUGAAGUACAUUGUCGCUUUUAGAAGUAUGUGAUAAGUAAGAGCUCCCCCCUAAAUUUGUGCAUUGUUAAAAUUUGCUCUAGACUGCAAAUGCACAAUCUGUUAGGGUCAUGGGUUACUCUUCCAUGUCAAAUACAUCUUGGUGGAGUGCUCAAAAUAAGAAUAUUAGGGCCUAAGGGAAUGCAUUGUGGAGUAGUUAUUAGAUGAUGGGUUGCAAUAGUGACAGAAGCUUAAACCCUAGUUUUAUGCGCUACUUCGUAAGGGAUUGAUUUGGAUCCAAAAGUUUAAUGUUAUGGUUAGAUUUUAUCUUAAUACUUAUCUCGUAGUUGUGGAUGCUUGCGAGGGGGUUAAUCAUAAGUAGGAGGUUUGUUCAAGUAAGAACAUCACCUAAGCACCGGUCCACCCAUAUAUCAAAUUAUCAAAGUAGUGAACACGAAUCAAACCAACAUGAUGAAAGUGACUAGAUGAAAUUCCUGUGUACCCUCAAGAACGUUUUGCUUAUCAUAAGAGACUGUUUUGGCCUGUCCUUUGCCUCAAAAGGAUUGGGCUACCUUGCUGUACUUUUGUUACCGUUAUUGUUACUUGCUCGUUACAAAUUAUCUUGCUAUCAAACUACUCAUUACUUAUAACUUCAGUGCUUGCAGAGAAUACCUUGCUGAAAGCCGCUUAUCAUUUCCUUCUGCUCCUCAUUGGGUUUGACACUCUUACUUAUCGAAAGGACUACGAUUGAUCCCCUAUACUUGUGGGUCAUCAAGGCUCUUUUCUGGCGCCGUUGCCGGGGAGUGAAGCGCUCUUGGUAAGUGGAAAUCAGCAAGGAAAAAUUAUUACUACAUGCUGAAAUUUAUUGUCACUUGUUACUAUGGAGAACAAUCCUUUGAGGGGUUUGUUCGGGGUAUCUUCACCUUGACCGAAACCACAAUUAGUUGCCCCUCAACCUACUGCACCUACUGAAAAUAUUGGUUAUGAAAUUCCUUCGGGUAUGAUAGAACAACUGUUAGCUAAUCCUUACGCAGAGAAUACCUUGCUGAAAACCGCUUGUCAUUUCCUUCUACUCCUCAUUGGGUUUGACACUCUUAUCGAAAGACUACGAUUGAUCCACUAUACUUGUGGGUCAUCAAUGGAAAAGACCCAUCUGUUAGCUUAGCAUAUUGAUCGUUAAGUUCAUUGCUAUUGCUUUCUUAAUGUCAAAUACAUAUUCCUUCAACUAUGAGAUUAUGCAACUCCCGGAUACUUCGAGUAUCGAGAGGUAUCUCUUCGAGUUGGCAUAGACCGAGAUUAGGAUUUGUCACUUCGAGUAUCGGAGAGGUAUCUCUGGGCCCUCUCGGUGAUACACAUCAUAAGAAGCCUUGUAAGCAUAGUGACUAAGAAGUUAGUUGCAAGAUGCCGUAUUAUGGAACGAGUAAAGAGACUUGCCGGUAAUGAGAUUGAACUAGGUAUGAAGAUACCAAUGAUCGAAUCUCGGGCAAGUAACAUAUCGAUAGACAAAGGGGAUUACAUAUGUUGCCAUAAGGUUUGACUGAUAAAGAUCUUCGUAGAAUAUGUAAGAUCCAAUAUGAGCAUUUAGGUUCUGCUAUUGGUUAUUGACCGGAGAGGUGUCUCAGUCAUGUCUACAUAGUUCUUGAACCCUAGGAUCCGCACACUUAAUGUUCAUUGACGAUAUAGUGUUAUAUGAGUUACAUGAUUUGGUGACGGAAUGUUGUUCGGAGUCCCGGAUGAGAUCACGGACAUGACAAGGAGCUCCGAAAUGGUCCGGAUGUAAAGAUUGAUAUAUAAGACGAUGAUAUUUGGACACCGAAAGAGUUUCGAGAUGUACCAGGUAGAAAUUGGGUUAUCGGAAGGGGUUCCGGACACCCCGGGAGGUUAGUGGGCCAUGUGGGCCAAAGGGGGGGGGGUCACACCGGCCCACAAGGGGCUAGCGCGUCCCUUCUAGGCCGCAGCCCUUGGCGAGAGAAGGACAGGGGGGAGUCGGCCUCCCCUUUCCUUUCCUCUCCCCCUUUCCUUUCCCCUCCGGCAAAUAUGGUAAGGGGGCGCCACUAGGGAAGGACCCCAAAUAGGAUCCGACCUACUUGGGGCGCCUCCUUGGCUGCUCCUCCCUCUCCCCCCACCUAUAUAUAUGUGGGAGGGGGCACCACAAAAACCCACGACAAUUGCUUAGCCGUGUGCGCCCCCCUCCACAGUUUCGUCCCUCGGUUAUAUUUUCGUAGUGCUUAGGCGAAGCCCUGCGGAGAUAGCUUCACCAUCAUCGUCAUCAUGUUGUUGUGUUGCCGGAACUCAUCCACUACUUCGCCGUCUUGGUGGAUCAAGAAGGCGAGGACGUCACCGAGCUGAACGUGUGCUGAACGCGGAGGUAUCGUACGUUUGGUACUCGUUUGGUCGGAAGUUAGACUACAUCAACCGCGUUACUAAACGCUUCCGCUUACGGUCUACGGUGGUACGUGGACACACUCUCCCCUUUCGUUGCUAUGCAUCUUCAUGGAUAGAUCUUGCGUGUGCGUGUAAUUUUUUUUGUUUUCCAUGCAACGUUUUCUAACAUUUUUUAUCAUAUGACAACUGGUCAAUUCCAAUGUAGAGAAUUACCAUCCAAACAAGCUUCAGAAUUGAGCAUGUCAUUAGAAUUCCAAGUGGCAAUUCUGUGCGCAUCCAAACAGCAGAAUUUGGGUUCAAUGUCAAUAUCAAAGUAAGGGAGAUUUGAUAUUGGGGCCAAUUCAAUUCCAUGGCCCCGGGUAUCAACAUCCAAACAAAGCGUUAUGGUUUUCAUCAGGUUUUUCGGUUUCUAAUGAUUGUUUUCUCCUUCCUGUGUUUUUCUUUAUGUUUUUGUUAUUAUAUUUUUUUGUGUUUUAUACACUUUCCCCUCUUCCUUAUUUUGGUUUUCUGUAUUGAUUUUGUUUCUUUUGGAUUGUGUUCCAGGUUUCUUCACCGGUUUCUUAGGGUUUAUACAUGAUUAACAUUUUAUCUAAAUACAUAUAUUAACAUUUUUAAUACAUGUUAAACAUAUUUCAAGUAUAGGUUGGACCUUUUAAAACUAUGAGAACAUUUUUGUAGAUUGCAUAUAAUUUUUUGAAAAAAGUCAUGAACAGUUUUUUAAUGUAACGUACAUUUUUUUGAAUCAUGCAAACAUUUUUUACAUUGUAUAAUUUUUUAAGAAAAUGUCACACACACACACACACACACACACACACACAUAUGAAAUCUAGCGAACAUUUUUCAAAUGUCACAAACAUUGUUUUAACUCUAUCAACAAUUUUGAAAACUCUUAACAAUUUUUGUACAUUUCGUUAGCAUUUUUCAAAUUUUUUUAUUCUUAUUUUGGAAUAUAGGUGUUUUAAAUUUCUUUGAAAUAUGAUCAAAAGAAAAAACCAAAAAAUGAAUGAAGUAAAUUUGGGCCGGCCCAACUGGACACUAUGAUCCAACUCACGUUGGGCGAUAUGUAGACGUGCAUCGAAGUAUCUGAGCUACUUGUACUUGGGUAGUGUCCGAAAUGCCAGGCAUGGCUCGUUGACUUUCAAAGGGGUCAUUUUAGUGUUUUCUCUAAACACUAUGUUUGGACUAAGGUUGUUCCAGUUUUUCAAUUAAAAUAAGUUGUUAUAGUUACGCUAAAUAAAAGUUGUUUCAUUUUUGUGUUCACUCCACCACUUCUCUUCAGGCAUUGCUUGAUUGAGGUUGCAUAUUUAGUUAGCAUAGCACAAUGUGUCUCCGUCAAUAAUUGUCAAUAAGAUUAGUCAAGCACCACCUGAUUUGGUUGUUUAUUUACAUAGUUCUAUAAGUGCAUGUGUUAACAAUCUAUAUACCUACGUAAUGUUUUUUUCAUCGGUGUGUUGUCUUCAAUUAUGUUGUCUUACCAUCACUAUUUCAUCUACGAUGACGAGGCAUUUGUUUCCCGUCAAUACCAAUGCUCUAAAAUAAUCAUGUUUCCUACAAUCAUCCUGGAAUUGCAUACUUAUGGUCAAAUUGAAUAGGUUUUCAUUGAGUUUUUUUAAAAUAAAAUCCAUGUGUUUANNNNNNNNNNNNNNNNNNNNNNNNNNNNNNNNNNNNNNNNNNNNNNNNNNNNNNNNNNNNNNNNNNNNNNNNNNNNNNNNNNNNNNNNNNNNNNNNNNNNNNNNNNNNNNNNNNNNNNNNNNNNNNNNNNNNNNNNNNNNNNNNNNNNNNNNNNNNNNNNNNNNNNNNNNNNNNNNNNNNNNNNNNNNNNNNNNNNNNNNNNNNNNNNNNNNNNNNNNNNNNNNNNNNNNNNNNNNNNNNNNNNNNNNNNNNNNNNNNNNNNNNNNNNNNNNNNNNNNNNNNNNNNNNNNNNNNNNNNNNNNNNNNNNNNNNNNNNNNACCCUAUAUUUUUAGAAACGACUAGGGGCCCAUUUUGAACAAAUGAAUUUAGGGGGAAUUUCGUAGGAAGGAAAGUACAUGGAAAAAUUUCCUAUGACGUACUCUGUGUUGUUGGACUACCUGUGGAAAGUUGUACAAGACUCUUUCCUUUCCUUCACAUUUUGGAAGAAUGUAAACAUUUGCUCAAACAUCUUUUCACACCUUUAAGUGCACGUCUUAUUAAUCCAUGUAAUUACUUAAUGUUUUUCAUGAGUGUUUGUCUGCAAUUAUGAUACCUUAUAAAAUAGCACCACAACUUGUAUGAUGACGAUGCAUUCAUUUCCGGCCAAUGUCAAUGCUCUACAAAAAAGUGACCCUCACAAGAAACUAUGGCUUGACAAUAAUCAUGCUUCCUGCAAUUAUCCCUAGAAUUGCAUAAUUAUGGUCAAAAUGAAAUAGGCUUUCACCGAGUUUUCUUAAAUAAAUUCCAUGUGUUCACCGUCCAAACGCUCUAAAAGCUAUAUGUUUGCAUAGUCAUGUUGUAAAAGGUUGGUGGUUUCAUUAACGAAAAUGUGUAUGUGUGGGGGUGGGGUGGGGUGAUAUAUAAAUAUGUCUAGUCCCCAUCUGGGAUAAAUGAAUUUAAGAGAAUUUUCAUAGGAAUGAAAUUACAUGAAUUUUUUCCUACUAUGUCCUCUGGGUCGUAGGACUACAUUUGAAAAAUUCUACAAGAAUAUUUCCUUCCCUUCGCACAUUGGAAUAUUCUAAACAUAUGCACAAACUUUAUGUUUUCACAUCUUUAAGUGCAUGUCUUAACAAUCCACAUGACUACGUAAUGUUUUUUUCAUUGGUGUUUGUGUGCAAUUAUGCUAUCUUAUAAAAUAGGAGCACGAGUUCAACUAUGAUGACAAGGCAUUCAUUUCCGGCCAAUAUCAAUGCUCUGCAUAAAAGUGACUCUCACAAGAAGCAAUGGCUUGACGAUAAUCACGUUUCCUACAAUCAUCCCUAGAAUUGCAUACUUAUGGUCAUACUGAAUGUUUUUUCGUUGAGUUUUCUAAAAUAAAAUACAUGUGUUUAGCAUCCAAAUGCUCUAAAAGCUACAUGUUUGUAUAGUCAUGCUAUAAAACUAGAUCAUCGAUGGCGCGCGUUGCUGCGCCCGUCUUUUUUAACACUGAAUGUUAAAGUAUAGAUGCAACAAUGUGUAGGCAUCUUGUUUCAAAGUUAACUAUAUGUAAUUAUGUACAAAAUUAUUUUACCUGAAAAUUAAAGCAGUUGUAGUAUAUACUAUACAGGAUUUUGAUUUUUUUUGUGCAUUUGUAGCAUAAGAUGGUCAUUAUAAUAGACCAAAGGCCAUUUGCAGGAGGCUAGUAUUUUUUUUGUCAAAAUCAUGCAUGUCAAGAUCUUCUUAGUGUUUAGGCCUACCAAAUUUUGACUUGGAUGGCUUUAUGCAAACAAAAAGAUGACAGAACAUCAGAACUGAUUUGCAAUGCGCAAUGGAGACGCCUAUAUUCAGUUCAAAAAAUAAAAAAACAUUGACAUUAACAAAGAAGCUGACGUGCAAACAAAAAACAAAGAAACUACAAACCAUUACUGUGCAAAAUGUUCAUGUACACGGUAACUAAAGACUGCUGGCUAUUGGCGAGUGUUGAGAGGGUCUUCUCAUUGAUGAAGUUCAUUGGGUGGGUAUUGAACGCUGCCUCCUGCGGGGCGCCCACCAGCCUGACCACGCCUCACCCCUGCACUUAGACUUCAUGACUCAGUUUAAAGCAGAAGACACAUCAAUGCUCACAAUGAUCAAAUUACAAGUGUACAGAGAACAUACAUCAUGAACGCAUUCAAAGGCAGAUAUCAUGGCGUGGAUGUAGCAAGUACAAUCCACGGCUCUGUUGCCUCCACUGUUUGUCAUCUCGACAAGCACCAGGAGCAAAUUCAAUUGCGAGCAUUUGAUACAAUCUUGCAUCACAUUAACAAAUUAAGGGAUUAAUGUAUCCUUAGGCAGAGAACUUAACAUAACUAUUGCUUGAAAUGUGAUCCUUUGGGUUUACAAAAACGGUGCAGCCAAAUUUCUUAGCUGGCUUUUUUUUUGCUGAAGUUCAGUGUGUGUCCAUUAACAUUUACCAGAAAUCAUUCUUUUUUCUUUCUGAAGAUAACAAUAGACUGUAACGUGUACAUAUUUUGCAGGGUUCAAGUCCACCCUGAUAAUACUUGAUGCCCUAGCCAUCGUGGCCACUUCCAUAGCCUGAUCAUGUGAAAAGAACAUAAAAGUGAUGGUCAUAGGGAAUAGUUCUUCUAAACCUGCAAUAGUAUAUUGUGUAAUAUAAAAUAGAGAGAAUUCCUUAUUUGGCCCUUUCUUAAAAUUUGCUUCCUUAUUUGGCUCAAAAUAAUUUUUCUUCCCUAUUUGACACCUAAAUUAAUUUUUGUACCUUAUAUGACACUUUCGUUCAUUUUAGACACUAAUAGUGUUAAAUGUGUGGUGAAAAGACCAUUUUGCCCCUAAUGCAUUUUUAACUGUCGAGGAUGAAGUAAAAGAGCAAUCAAUUCACCCAUGUUUUAGGUAUGUUCAAAGGAUGCUGCAUAUGUAUAUGUAUGCUCCAAUAUUUUGUCUUAGGUAAUCUGGUAUGUGCGUUCGUCCUGAAGUAGGUUACACGUUCCAAACACAGUCACAUACUACUACUAAAUCCUAUAUAGGCUAGUUAUAUACUGCUAGUAUAUAGAUAUGAUAACUUGUAUACCGUGACAAAAAGACAAUGAAGAGAUUAAUGAGAGCGACACGCUUCUGUGGCCAUGCCCGUUGAGGAGGGGGUGCGAGCUGUGCAAAGGGGCCCCGAUCGGAGGAAAAUCACGAAACAACCAUUCCGUUUAAUUCGCUGGCUGGCUGGCUCGAUCUUAAAAAGCAGCAGGAUGUGCGUGCAGCCCCAGUCAAAGCCAACAAGCUCACAGUCGGUCUGCUACCAAUUUCCUACUUCCCUUUCGGCCUGGCUUGUAGAACAUCCAAAUCCAAAUAGAAAAACAAGGCUACAGCCGAGUGUGCGAUUUGUACUUAGUACGUGCAAGGGUCCAAAUGCAUCUGGUGCAAAUCGAUCCAGCUGUUCGUACUAGCACGCGAGUCUCCCGACGGCCGGAAAGUAAUCAGCCGCGGCUAGCUCGUAGUGCAUCUCGCCGGAAAGUACUCGGCUGUAUUACAGGCUACAGCUAGUACAAGUUCUACGGGUCUAUUGUAUGGCUUUUACACGCACAUAUCAAUUUACAUAAGAAACAAAAUAUUGGAGCAUACAUAUGCAUGCGCAGUAUCUGUUGAACAUCCCUAAAACACGGGGAAACCGAUUGCUUUUUAACUACAUCCAAGAUUUUACACAAUGCACUAAGGGUAAAAUGGUCUUUUCACAUCACACUUAACCUGAUUAGUGCCUAAAAUGGAUAAAAAUGUCAUAUAAGGAAUUAAAAUUAUUUUAGGUGUCAAAUAGGAAAGAAAAAUUUAUUUUGGGCCAAAUAGGGAAUCAAAAUUUAAGAAAGGACCAAAUAAGAAAUUCUCUCUAUAAAAUAUCACAUGUCACAUACAACAAGGCUUACAACUCCAAGGCCAAAAAUCAACACCGUUGAACCCUUUGGUUUCACAAGGCAUUCUGAAUCUGAAUAUGGUGUCUCAUUGAGAAAUAACGGCAUUAGAACAAUAACUGAAGGUUGAGGUCCGGACGAAGACGAAUAUUGGUUCCUGCUGAUGGUGAAGUGGGAUGGCACAUAGUCGAUCAGCAUACCCUGGUUGACAUUGAUCCUGAGGAGGUCACAGAGGUUACAUCGAGCACACUCCUUGCACUAGCCAGUUUACAUUGGCAGGAAUGGUACCGCCUUCUCCGACGCUCUCAACAAUGUUGUGAGGGAAACGUAAUUGGGGAAAGACUCCCGUUUAAAAUAUGUAAGUGUAACGACUAACACAUUAUUAAAUGAAAUGGCACUACUAUAGAGUGAAUUGACAGCAGUAAUGAAAAUAUGUCACUCCAAAUAAUCCAUAAAAUAUGUAGUUAUGUGCAUGUGUUUUCUUGAAGAAUUACUAAUAAGCUAAAGAGUAUGAAACAGAGCAUCCAUAUUUUAUUGAUAUGGGAUAGAAACAACAUAUGAAGAAUCAUGGGACAGCUUCAUAUCACAAGCUUUCUAGAAGUGCUUUGCUUUGUAAAAUAUAAUUAUGUUACUCUAAUUAGGUUUUUUCAUAUUUUGCUGCAGGACUCUAUGUCCUGACCUCAUGAUCCCACUGAAUGAAUAAACUUGCAACAUUUAUCGGUAUAUAUUAAUAAUUAUAAAGUUCACCAAUUAACAUAUGGCCAAGCCAGACAAAAACACCAUGGAUGGCAAAGAACCAAUUUGACAAACACCUGACCUUCAAUAAUCAACAAAGAUGUAUAUCUUUCUAAAGAUCUAGCCAUGCCAAAACUAAAGUAGAGAGUUACACAGAAGCAUCACCAAACGGGCACACGGUAGAAAUUGCAUUAAAGAAAAAUCACAAUGAAGGUAAAAAUGUGAAUAGAGGGAAACCUUAGCCGAGAACCAUACCGCUGGAGGAUUUGCUGCAAGAGUAAGAAUGGCGAGGCAAUUGUAUCCAGCCAGUGGCAUCAUGCAAUGGCCCUGAUUGUGUACAAAUUUCAUGUUUUCUGUAUUUAACACAGGCAACAUGAUUUUCCCCUGGAUGUCGCUUGUGUAAUUAGGAAAGAAAUUAUCCACAGGAUUGUUCGGCUUUGCUCGUUUAUGGAUAGAAGAAGCAGAAGAUAUUUGGCUUUCCCUCCCUCUAUGACAUCAUGGCUACGUUUUUGGAACAUUCUAAUACACUGUUUUAAAUAACCUGUUCCAUAUUAGCACCAUGGCAUGAGUAACACAGGAACAUACAAUCUAAGCAAUAGUGUGGCAUAAGAAUAUGGAUGGUAAGACACGAAAGGAUAGUAAUUACCUGUCAAGCCAUUGGUGAUUAUGAGCAGCCGAACUAAGAAAAUGCCAGUACCAAUGUCCAACCAAAUCAGUCGACUACAACCUGCAUGAACAUCACCUGUAUGUAAUAUUAUUAUUUUGGAAUAACAGGACAUCAGGAUAAGGUAAUUGCUUGGUGGGAGAAAGAUCACACAUUAACUGACAAGAAAUACAGGGAAGCCUAUCGAGCACCAUGCUGAAGGAUGGUCUGCUGCCGGAGCGGAAAGGGUGUGAGUGAAGACUGCUAAUGAGAGGCAGCAUAUAUACACGCACCUCUAGCCCAAAGCAGGGGAAAGGACGGAACAUUACCAACCAUGAAUGUGUGAAGAGAAACUGAAGAAUGAUUGCGCCUUCAAACCUUGGUGGAGCAGUUUCGAUCAAACGAAGCGCCGGCCUGAAUCGUCCGCGUGUGUCAGCUGGAUCGAGCAAUCCCCGCAUCACCCGCGGCGACCAGAUUCCCGCAUCGCUCGCGGCGGCUGGAUCGAGCAGCCAUUCCCUUGCGCGAUCCCCGCAUCUGUCGGGACGGUAGGAUCGAGCCAUUCCCUCGGCUGUCCCUCGUCUCUUCGCCCGAUUUAGUUCAAUCCCCUUGGUCUUUGCCUAAUGGGCCGACACAAAAGGCCCAGUAAACGACAGUAGUCAGAUUUUUCUGCUGGAGUAGCUGCCCUUUAGGACAGUUGGGCCGCGAAUUUGAACGUGCGGUGGAGUUCGUAAUAAGCAUUAGAUCCGAUGGCCAGAAACGCCUCUAUCACUAAAACGGACGGUCAGAUUUGAAGAGGACGUGAGAGGGCUGGGAUUUGGCUCAGUUAUACUGUCCUAAAUAAAUAAAUGUUGGUAGUUUCAUUAAAUAAAAUGGGAGGGGGGGUCCCUAUAUUAUCAAAAACGGCUAGUCCCCAUUUGGGAUAAAUGAAUUUAAGACGAUUUUCAUAGGAAUGAGAUUACAUGGAAAUUUUCCCCAUGACGCCCUCUGGGUUGUAGGACUACCUUUGAAAAUUGUACAAGAAUCUUUCCUUUCCUUCGCGUUUUGGAAGAUUAUAAACAUUUGCUCAAAAUUAUGUUGUCACAUCUUGAAGUGCACGUCUUAACAAUCCACAUGACCACAUAAUGUUUUGUUCAUCAAUGUUUGUAUGCAAUUAUGCUAUCUUAAGGAAUGGUACCACGACUUCAACUACAAUGACGAGGCAUUCAUUUCCCGUCAAUAUCAAUGCUCUGCAUAAAUGUGGCUCGCAAGAAACAAUGGGUUGACGAUAAUAAUGUUUCCUACAAUCACCCCUGGAAUUGCAGAUUUUAUGGGAAAACUGAAUAGGUGUUCACUAAGUUUUUUGUUUUAGAAAAAAUCCAUGUGUUUAGUGUCCAGAUGCUCUAAAAGCUACAUGUUCGUAUAGUCAUGGAAAAUUUUCCUAUGUCAUCCUCUGGGUUGUAGUGCCACCUUUGAAAAGUCGUACAAUUUUUUCCUUCAUUUUACAUUUUGAAAGAUUCUAAACAUCACUCAAACUUUAUAUUUUCACACCUCUUUACAUUUUGAAAGUACAAUGUAUCAUGUGUCUUUAUCUCUCCUCUUCUCUGUCCUAAAAAACAAUCUACAAAAUUCCCGUGGAUCCCAUGGAGCAUCCAAACAACCAUGUUUAUACCAUUCAUGCAUUUUAGAUUAUUUUAGCAAUGUACUUCAUCCGUCCCCAUAAUAUAAGAAUAUUUUUCAAACUAUGUUAUGGGGGAGUACAAGACAUGACAUCAAAUUCCUGCAAUCUGUUCUAUUUCAACAUUUGUUUCCUGUCCUGUGUUUCAAUUUUCAAUUAGUCCUGGUCUCCCAGAAACCUCAGAAACGCAAAUAGGUCCUUUUCCCCACAGAAAGGCCCGGACGGCACAGGGAGCGAAAGGAAAACUGCCCGAGCUAGGGUUUUAUCCCACACACGGGCCAGCCCGUAUAAGUAGUCCCGUCCCCAACCCGUCGCGACCUCUCCCGCCGCCACCACCCGUGCCUCCUCUUCCCCUUCGCUCUCUCGCGCACGGGGCUCGCGUCCGAAACCCUAACCUCCCACCAUGGCGGCUGAAGGCGGUGGCGUCCGGGCGCUGUCCCAGCGCGAGCAGGACAUCCAGAUGAUGCUCGCCGCCGACGUCCACCUCGGCACCAAGAACUGCGACUUCCAGAUGGAGCGCUACGUCUACAAGCGCCGCACUGACGGUACCUAACGAAUCCUUUUGCACUGGUAGCGAGCGCCGUCUUAGAAAUCGUAGAUCCGUCCUUCCUGUUGAUUUCGCUCGGCGCACGAGAAAGCUGCUGUUAAAUCCAACUCUAUUUGGAUCUAGGCAUGUGCAUAUGGUUGCUAGGUUGUGUCACAGCGCUUACUUGUUUAAUUAUGGACGCGCGCGAUGGAAUGAUUUGUUGAAUCAUAUGAACAUGCUGUGCGAAAUUAUUUCUUAGUAGCCUCUCAUCGAUGCUGCUGAUUCGUUCAGUUUGUAGCCGCAUAAUGUCUGUUGAAUCUUAUGUAACAUGAUGAUUUAGUGGGUACUAGAAUCUGUUGUGUCGAUGUGAUCCUGCCACUGUCAGUUGUGAUCACAAUUUGUGCACAAUGGAGUCUGGAAUCACUGUAUUUUCAAAUGGUGUCAUUUAACAUGCUGUAAUCCAUGUGGUUAACUUAGUCAAGUGGUGCCAACUGCUUUAGUGCAGGGUAAGCAGUUUCUUUCAUCACUUUACCUUGAUGAACUGUAAGUGAGCAAGGUUGCCUUUUUGUGCUUCUUUUCAGGCAUUUACAUCAUCAACCUUGGCAAGACCUGGGAGAAGCUUCAGAUGGCCGCACGGGUCAUUGUUGCGAUUGAAAACCCUCAGGACAUCAUUGUGCAAUCUGCUAGGCCCUAUGGACAGAGGGCUGUCCUCAAGUUUGCCCAGUACACUGGUGCUAACGCCAUUGCUGGCAGGCACACUCCUGGUACAUUCACCAACCAGAUGCAGACUUCAUUCAGUGAGCCACGCCUUCUUAUCCUGACCGACCCCAGGACUGAUCACCAGGUACACUUCUAUUUCUUUUUACUGGAUUAUGUUCUGUUAGUCAAAUGGGGCCAUUUAUGAAUCAUUUUGUUCGAUUGUAUACAGCCUAUCAAGGAGUCUGCACUUGGAAACAUCCCCACCAUUGCCUUCUGCGACACUGACUCUCCUAUGCGUUACGUUGAUAUUGGCAUUCCUGCUAACAACAAGGGGAAGCAGAGCAUUGGUUGCCUAUUUUGGCUGCUCGCCAGGAUGGUUCUGCAGAUGCGUGGUACCAUUCUCCCAGGACACAAGUGGGAAAUCAUGGUUAGCUUUCACAUACGAAGCAGUCUGCUUGUCAUUGUUUGGUUAUGGAACUAAUACAAUAUUUUCUUCAUCUAAUUGUUCCUGAAUGCUGUUUUCCCUUUUGUAGGUUGAUCUGUUCUUCUACAGGGACCCAGAGGAAGCUAAGGAGCUUGAGGAAGAUGAAGCUUUGGGUGCUCCUGAGUACGCUGCAGUUGCAGAGUACACUGCCCCAGCAGGGGAUACCUGGGGUGCUGAAUGGCCAGGAGCUGCAGCUCCAGCUGCUGCCGCCGAAGCCCCGGCUGGGGCCGAGUGGACUGGUGCUCCAGGUUUGAAUGAAGAUUCUUAUUUUGUAAUUGCAUAAUUAGAUUGGAACUUUAUGAACAACCUCUAGUCUCAGUUUCAGCCCACAUUUGAGAUCAACCUGCCGUCCUAGUUUAUUCUAGUAUAAUUUUAUCUCUAUAUGGUCUUUCCUUGAUCUGGGGAUAGUAAGUUUUCAAGUUUGUUCACAUUGAAUUCAUACCCCAUUUCUUAUCCUACCCUUUUACCAGAUGCCAUUUGCUAUUCUGUCCUUUCUUUUUCUGUCUCUGCCUAUCAGUUUGACUAUUUUUUUAGCCUGAAAUGUUCAAAUUGUACUCAAAUUACAUUUCUGAAUUUCAGCUCCUGCUGCCGAUGGAUGGGAUGCAGUUCCAGCACCUGCCCCUACUGGCUGGGAACAGGGCAGCGCUCCCGCACCCGCAGCAGCACCAGCUGCUACUCCGAACUGGGAGUGAAGGACUUGACCCAAGGUUUAUGCUACUCGGCACUGUGGAGUGAAGGAGUUCGGCCGCGGUUUAUGGGUGAAGGCUGUGUUAUUUGCCCCGUCAGUACUUUGUUGGUAGACGCUGGUUAAGUAGAUUUAAUUUUUACAGUACUGAGUUAUGUUAGAUGGAAAUCGAUUUUUGUCUUCUUGGCUUUGCAGGGGUUGGGAGUUAUCGCCCCAGCCUUCUGUUGCCUCUCAUCGAAUAGCUUUAUUUGAAGUUCCAUUUUGCCAGCAAGUGUAUGGUCAGAUUCUCUUGAAAUGUUAUAAAAGCCCGGAUCAUGUGAUACCGUAGAUAUGUCUUACAUUUUUUAUGAGGCUAUAUUGCUCAUAACUUGCAAGGCGUGGUGCCCAAGAAAUCAAUUCCUAUCAUCGUUGCAUUUCGAAGGCAGCACUAAAUUGGUCGGUGCGUCUCUGUGCCUGGCUUGGACACAAACAAGCUCUAAUUUUUAGUGUAUGUUCGCUGUGGGACAUACAAUUGUGAACGUGCUGGAACGUGCCGGCAGCACGAAUGCUUCCAACCCAUAAAUUUCUAAGAGAAACGCUGGUUUUGCCAUGCACCCCAGCGAAAUGGGUUGAAGAACAUCAGCCCUUCUAAUGUUUAUAGAGAAACAAAACAGAGUAAACACGUUACUAUGUUCUGAAGCUUGCAAAUGACUUAAGUUUGGCAAUCCAAAGAUCCCCAGCAAUAACCUUCGCCUCUCACUCUGCAAGCUUCUGAUUUCCGGUAGAUAUUAUUUCAUAUGUAUCCUAUAAUAUGAAUCAAAUAAGAUAUGGAUAAAAGAAAAACUACUUCUUCCAGAUCCUAAAUUAAUAAAAUAAAGAAGUGAAUUUUCAAAUUUUCAAAUUUUAAAUAAGGAGUGCUUCUGGAUCAUUGGUGCCCUCAAACACAACUGCCGAUGCGCCUAAAAACUACGUUGACAACACUUCUGUAACACCAUCCACGCCCAACUCCAACUUGCCCACCAAAGGAGGAAUUCACUACCGGACUUCUUGCAGGUCUUGACGUGUGAUCUUAGAGGUACUCGUAAAUAAAAAGGUGCAUCGAUAGCGAGCUCUGGAAUUCUUGUUCAUGAAUCCAGCGUCCAAAUUCUAAUCAAACAGAUUUAUCCUACAAUAAAGGAUUGGUUGUCCGUUGACAAUAAAGGAUUGGUUGUCCGUUGAGGUUUGGCCUUGCCUUCUAGUACAUCUCAGAGGAAAAUGUACGAGCAUCCCCUAGAUGAUUUCUGAGGGCCCAGGAUGAUUUGAGCUCAGUUCUGGCCUUCUAAAGCCCUGAGACAUAUUGGAACCUGAACAAAGUUAUACGGAAAUUUCGAAUGAGUUUUACAACCUCAUACACACUCAUCUGCUUCGUCCACCUUGCAACGUUCAACACGGGUGAAACAUGCCGCCACCGCCCUCCCAAUUCUACAUGCCAGUUUAUAACGGCAGCAGCUGAUAAGAAGCCGAGCACGGCACACCGUCAUGUCGCUCCACUCUUCGCUUGCUGCUCCUACCGGUUUGGACCACCCUAUCAUUUUCCCAUACAUCAUGUACUCCCUCAGUUUUAAAAUAUAAGUCUUUUAGAGAUUUUAAUAGGGACUACAUACAGACGCACAUAGACAUAUUUUAGAGUGUAGAUUCGCUCAUUUUGCUCUGUAUGUAGUCCGUAUUGAAAUCUCUAAAAAGUGUUAUAGUAUUUAGGAACAGAGGGAGUAGAUUUUUACCAUGCAAAAAAAGGGAGUAAAAUUUUAUAAUAAAUUAAUAAUUUUAUAUGAUUGUUUUCGUUGUUAGAUCAUCCUGUUUUAUUUUUUGAGAAUUAUCCUCCUGGGCAUUUUUUAGGGGUAUCCUCCUGGCCAAUUGAGCUGGCUUUUGUUUUUUGAGCAAUUCCGAAAUUGAGCUGCCUACGAUCCGUUCUGGGUCUCAACAAGCACGAGAGGGCGCAAAACCGGGCCGGGCCAUCAUCAGCCUGGGCCUGCAGUGGGCGCAAACCCGAGCCAGAGCCCGAUUAAGUAGAGGCAGCCGCGUGCCCGCAUCGGGUACUUCCUUAAUAACUUCUUCCCCUUUCCACCUGUCGGCGAACACCCACCACAAUCCCCACGCCCGAGGCUUCCUCCCGCGGCGAAACCCUAGCGACCGGAGCGCUCGGCGGCGGCAGCCAUGGCGGACGACGACUAUAAUGAAGUUGACAUGGGGUUCGUCUCUCUCUCUCUCUCUCUCUCUCUCUCUCUCUCUCUCUCUCUCUCUCGUGAUCACGGUAAUCCAGGCUAGGGUUUGGGUAGGCAGCGUCUUCGUUAGGACGAUCCUGUUCCCUUCGUUUCUUGAUAGCAUUCGGGUUGCAGAAACUUGGCCCUUGAUGAUUGAUUUUGCGCUCCGCACGGAAGUAAGUGGUGAGAAUCAGGCCCUGGGUAUGGUUGGUUGGGUUUCGAAAGCGCGUGGUGCUGAUUUUGAGUUCGCACUGAUUCUCACGGGUAAUAGGCUCGCGUGGUUGUCAUCUGACAGGGCAAUAUUUUGUCUUCAAGUUGGCCAACAUCGUGAAAUACAAGGUCCUCCGGUGGCCAGGGGACAUGACUUUAGGCUUUGGUCUCCAUCUGAUUUGGAAAUUGGGCCCCUGAAUUGCGGCUAUACAACUUUUCAAGGCGGCAAAUGUUUGAGUUAAAAGAUUAGUUGUUGAUGCUCCCAUCGAAGUUAGCAGGAGCUGUAAGGUCUUGCUUCUAAUUGGGAUGAAAAAUUUCAGCUCGGCCUUCCAUUUGUGAUUUGGUGGUGAAGAAUUAAUGCAUUAGUUGGUCAAGUACUCAAAGUCUGAUCUUUUCAGGAUGCCACUGUCAUCAAGUGACACUAUGUGUCUAAUUGCUUAAACAAAAAUAUAUGGUUGCUUAGAAUUACCAUUUAUAGAUAGGAAAAUAAUUUUAUGAGACCAGGUCUUAUAUAAAUCAGGGGGGGAGAGAUUAGAUGCUUUGUGAUUUGUGAAUGUCACGUGUCAUCCAUCAGGGUGGGUCUCACCCGAAUUAUAUGAGACCUGGUCUCAUAUAAUUUGUCUCAUAUAAUUUUUUUCCGCACUUACUUUGGGGUCAAUAUUGAUCCUUCUAUUUCUCUUCUCAUGCCAUUGUACCUAUCAGAGUUUAUUUCAUUGAUUGAAUUUUGAGUUACAAUUCCUCAUUUCUUAUGCAGGUACGAGGAUGAGCCUCCAGAGGCUGAUAUUGAGGUGCAGAUCCGUCACUAUUUUCCUAUACUGAUGGUAUCCUUAAGAGGAAGAUCUUGCAGCUUCAUUUAAGUAUAACUGAUGUAUUACUGUUGAAUAGGAAGGGGUUGAAGAAGAUCCUGAGAACAACGAGGAUGCCCCUGAUGACGUGGUAGGGGGUGAAGGUGAAGAAAAGGAACAGGAAAAGACUGCCCGUCCACGCAAUACAACAAAAUAUAUGACCAAGUAUGAGCGGGCACGCAUCCUUGGCACACGUGCUUUGCAGAUAAGGUAUACUUAUAUCUGAGUACACAUUCCUGUUAAUGAGUUCAUUUAAUGAAGUAAUUGACCCAUUGAUUUUUGUAGCAUGAAUGCCCCAGUUAUGGUUGAGCUUGAGGGUGAAACUGAUCCUCUUGAGGUAAAGUCGUAUAAUUUGUUGCUUACAUAUGCUUUUAAUGCUGGCUUCCAGUUAGAUGAUAGCCUUGGCUGUUUGCUUUCAUUCUUUAGUUCCACUUGUUUUGUUGUAUGUUUAGAUGGAAAUUUGCUUUUAAAGUAGAGAUUGAUUGCCUUGAUACUGUGGAAUUAGUCUGUGUACCAGGUAUAAGAACGGCCAUGCUUAUUUAUGAAUCUACUUUAUAUGGAGCUAUAUAAACUUAUGAAUAGGCUUUGCAAUGAGAAGAUUGACAUUCUGAUGUGGUGAUCUAGGAAUCUACUUCCUCUGUCCGGAAAUAAGUGUUGCUCAAACGGAUGUAUCUAUAUGUAUUUCAGUGCUAGAUACAUCCGUUUGAGCAACACUUGUUUCUGGACGGAGGGAGUACUUUAUAUUGAACUACUCCAUGCUAACUAAUGAAUAUCCAACAUUGUUGGAAAUAUUUAUAUGUUUAUGAAUUUGAUAACGUAGAUAUGUUUGAUAGUUAAAUAAUUGGUAGUGUAUAGUCUCUUAGGAUCACGGGGUCGGCAAUCCAACUAGUUACUGAUGUGUUUUCAUUGUUCUACUGAAUUAUUGGGAUUCUUGCUUUGUAAUAUUGCAUCUAAUUAGGCACUUGUUAGUUUGAAGUUUCAAUAUGCCAGUACAAGGAAAUGUUCUUAUGUGCAAUUAUGGAAAUUUUCUUGCUGUAUUAGUCUACCUUGUAAGUAUGUGUUUUCCUUAUAAAGCAUAGAGCUAGAUAUAACAGAAGUUAAUAAGCGUUUCUAUUUGUCUACUGAAUCUAGUUUAGUCAUUGUACCUAUGUACAUGUAGCUACUAGAUAGUUAGGAUUCUUAUUUACUCCAGUUGUAUGAACAGGGAUUGUAAGUAGUAAACCACUAACUCACACCAUUUUAUACCAAAAGGAUGCCCUUGUUAGGCCUUGUACAAUGAGAGAUGCUUAGGGAGGUGCUUAGAAAAAUAAACCGAGUUUUUCUGAAGCACCGGUGCCUAUUUCUACAGGAGAGACGCUUAGUUAAGCGUCUAUCCUGUACAAAUAAGCACCGAUGCUUAAGGAGAGCCUGGUUUAUUUCUCUAAGCACCUCCCCUAAGCACCUUGCAUUGUACAGGGCCUUAAUCACCUACUCCCUCCGUUCGGAAUUACUUGUCGCAGAAAUGGAUGUAUCUAGACGUAUUUUAGUUCUAGAUACAUCCAUUUCCGAGACAAGUAAUUCCGAACGGAGGGAGUAUAUGGUUCUACCCCUUUCUCUGAAACCACAUUCUACAAUAUAUGUUCUGUUUUGUCAAAACAAAAAGAAUCUGAAUAGUUUUAGGUAAGAGCAGAAAAACCAUGAAAUGGUCGAUAUUUUGAGAAGUAAUAAUGCUCUUGCAAUGGGUAAAUGAAAUGAAAUUCGGCCUUGUUUGUCAAUUGUCCAUUACAAACACUACUUGGAUGGUUUUUGCUCCCAUUUACUGUAGAACAUAGUAUUACCAUCGCUUGACUCAUUUCUAGUUAUUGAAUUGCCUGCUCCGCUGAUCUUUGUGCAUCUUCAGAUUGCCAUGAAAGAACUGAGAGCACGUAAGAUCCCCUUCACGAUUAGGCGCUACUUACCUGAUGGAAGGUGAGAUUUAAAGGAAAAGCCAAUCAUCACCUCUCUUUGCUGGCUAUUAUGUGCUAUAGCCUCAUUUUUUACUUUGUUUUGAAAUAGCUACGAGGACUGGGGAGUUGACGAGCUCAUUGUGGAGGACUCGUGGAAGCGUCAGGUUGGCGGGGACUAGAGCUGGUAGACUGUUCGAAUGGGAGGCUCCGUGCUGCAACUAAACUUUGCCCUAGUAGCUAUAUGCAAUCUUUGGCACUGAACUGCCGCGACAAUGUUAUGUUACCGUAACAUGUGUGGGCUAUGUCUGCCCAUUGUGUUGUGCUACUACUGUAAACCAAUUGCGUGGUUGCGUUAGUUUGCUUGGACCAUUGCUUGCAUGCAGCUACAAGUUGCGAAUGAAUACCCUACUCUAACCUCCUUUUGUGAGCGUGGUGCAGGACGUUCUGCUGAUUAUUCAGUGUUCGCAUUUCUAUCUCAGUGUAGCCUUAGAGAUUGUUUUGUAGUAGUAAUGGAUCAAUUGUUUACUAGUAGAUGACUUGAAUAGAUCAACCAGAGUGCUAGGGUUGGAUCUGUGAGAAGUUUUUGGGAACAGAUAAAUACAAGCGCCCGUUCAAACCUUAUACGAACUCAAAAGAAAUAACCUCAUACGAUCCUUUGGAUAAAAUCCAACUUAUGCUGGGUGUUUGGAUAAAAUCCUUCUCUCAGCAAAACAAUGCAAAGUUUGUUCUCAGGGCUGCACAAAUCAUCAAAUCCAAUUUUCCAUUUUACAGAUCCUUAGCUAGUUACUACCAGCAUCUCGAAUGACCAAUGCGGGCGCUGGCACAUGCAGUGUGUCCUUCACAGCAUGCAGUAUGUAAUGCGACUGCCGCUGCGCGUCGCUCAUCAGAGCAGCGACCUGAACCGGUCGCCCUCGGUCUGGACGCGGUCACGGGUGAUCUCGGCAACGCUCCGGCAGCCGCAGAGCGCCAUGGCCAGCUCCAGCUCCCUGUUGAGCAUCUCGAUCACGUGCUUCGCCCCCGCCUGGCCCCUCGCUGCCAGCCCGUACAGCACCGGCCUCCCCACCAUGACUGCCCGCGCACCCAGCGCCAGCGCCUUGAGCAGGUCGGUCCCCCGCCGGACUCCGCCGUCCACCAGCACCGGGACCGCCCCCACCACCGCCUUCACUACCUACACACACACACACACACAAUACACCGCCUUCAGAAUGUGCUUUGUGAUGCUGCACUGCACACACACACCCUUUGAACAAAAUGGAAGACGACGGGCAUGGUGCGGUGUACCUCUUCGAGGGCGGAUAUGGUGGCCGGCGCGUAGUCGAGCUGCCGAGCGCCGUGGUUGGACACGAUGAUGCCUGCUGCCCCGGCCUCCACUGCUUUCCUGGCUGUUUGCCCCCCCCCCCUGGUUGUUCAGCAUUUCAUGUAGUAUAAAAGAUAAAAGAUGAUCAACAAAUUUAUCCUCUGAAUGACUGUGAAGAUCCCGAACAGCGUUUACCGACUUACCGUCCUCGGCGGUCACGAUGCCCUUCAGUAGAAUGGGCAGGCUGGUUAUGGAUUUCAGCCACUCCACGUCCUACACACAGGGUUACCGGAGAGAGAAUGUCAGAAUUCACGUUCCAACUUCCAUUAUGCCCCUGAAGGAUUGGCUCCUUGUUUUCGGACAUCAGUGCAGCAGCAGCAGCCAAGUACUGGAGCAAUUCAAGGUUACUGUCUCCCUGUAUAUGUAAGGCACGUUCUCUACUGAGAGGCAACCCUGUUCUUGCUAGAGGGCUUUGAAUGUAUAGCGUGCCUCAAGAUGGGUCGUGCAGAGUGGCAGAAUUGUCCUUGAAAUUACUGUUGAAUAUACUUAUGGAGUACUGGCCCACAUGCUGUAGGAUCUAAAGCUUUAAAUUGGAGUACUGGCCCAUAUGGGUGCCAAUUUUGCUGUACCUUCCAUGAUAAAGACGGGUCCAGAGUGUCGCGCGCAUACUUCUCAAGCUUCGACCCGCCUGUCUGCAGAUGAGAAAUACGAGCCUUUCAAAAAGAAAAAAAAUGAAUUCAUGUAGUAUCCAUCAUAAACUAUUUUGUUCAUCUGUCCAGUACGGACAAAUUAUCCUCGAGUAAACAUGCUCAAGGUAAGAUAUUCCAUCAAGCAGGCAUUGACUCACAGUAUCAAGAUCAUCUAUUGGCAUCAAACCUUCGAGGUUUGCAUUCGCAGGAGCAACCAUUCUGCAUGAACAAUAAGAUCAGCAAACCAAACAUAAGAAUUCUGUGCCAUGGUGUCUGUUUACAACAUUCAAAGGCCAUAUAAAUAUCUUUUAGGUACGAUUUCAGGCAUGAGACAUUUGUAGGCUUAUCAAAUUUUAACCGCAGCGAAUCGAGUUAUAUCAUAUUAUUAAGUUGGUAUUCUCGAACAAAGAAUAUUAUUAAGAUGGUACAAACAUAAUGACAAUAACAUUCAGAUUGAUCAGGUAUACUCCCUCCUUCCAUCUAUAUAGGGCCUAAUGCGGCUUUCAAGACCGCCUUUGACUAUUGAUAAGAUUAAUAAUACAUGAGAUGUAUAAUGUGAAAAUUAUAUUAUUAGAAGCUCCUUUCACGUAUGAAUUUGACGGUAUGCUUUGUGUAACUUGCAUGUCAUAUAUUAUUGCUCUAACACUUGGUCAAAGUUAGCCUCGAAAAACGCAUUAGGCCCUAUAGAUGGAAGGAGAGAGUACAUUGAGCUAAUAAAAGUAUAUGCGAACAUUAAAGUCCUAACACAUAAACUCUAUCUUUCACCCGCCAAAAAAAAUUCUAUCUUUAAAUAGAAGCAUAUUGUCUUGUCUCGUAGUUGCCACAAAAAAUAGGUUAGUAUAUGUAGAAGGAAAAAUAACAUAAUGUUGUACAAAAUAUUUAAAAGAACUUUGAAGAUAAAAUUGUACUUAUUUCUGAUAUCUGCUUCACGUCGACCGAGCAUAGGAGUGUCAACUGUUAAAACAAUUGCUUUGAAUCCAUGACUCUCAGCCCGCCGCACCAAUGUUGCUGAAACAUCCCUGUUUUUAAAAACCUAAAAUGUUUUUAAAUAAAACAAAAUCAGAGAUCACAUUAUCAGGAAAGGAAUUAUAUCGAGCUUGAAGUCUAGAUGUCAUACAUAUAACUGAUAAAAACGAAUCGCAUUACAACUGGAGGCAACUUCCUCGAUUUUGCAACUGGCUGAGAAGGAUAGCACCUGUACUUGACAAAUAUGAACAUGUAUAGCAAUUGACGGAUGAAACACGACUGAAAGAUCAUUAAUUGUCAGUUGACACCAACCAUUAAGGUAUUACAUGAUGCUGCAGCUCUUGCUGUAGCCACCUCCCCUGAAAUUAGCAUUGAAACAAGAGAUGUAGAGAUAUUACAGAGUUUAGAUGUCAUAUUUUGACAUUCUAAAGUAAGCUUUGAACUAUGAGACCUUCUGGAUUUGCCAAUUUGUGUGAUCCUGUUGGUGCAACAAUUAUGGGCGAGGGCAUGUCAUAUCCCAAUAAGUUUAUCGACAUGUCUAUGUUGCUGACAUCUACAAGAACCCGAGGUCGCAACCUGCAGAAUACACAUCGAGAAAAUCUUCAAGUCCAAACUCUCCAGGUCAAUGAAGAUUUUACCUAGAAGAGGCAGUAUAGGAACAGUACAAAAUUCUUCCAUAUGCUGCAAUGUUGUCCCUCAAUGUGUGUUCAUCCUCUGCUCCUCCAUUGAUAUAAUCAUAGUGCAUCUUUGGCAGUGCUUUCUUGGCGAGUUCUUGAUACUCGCGAAUAUUGACUGGUAGAUUAUUCUCCAUUUCUGCUACAUAUAAUGUUUAGAGGUCAUUCACCUGAUGCAAAUAUCUGAAUUUUAACCAUACAUCGGCUCAGAUCUUUCUUUACAUAUGACCAACUGUCCAACUAGAUGCAUACUAUUUUUCAGUACUUUAGUACCAAACCAGUACAUCUUUUACACAUAUACAGAGCUUUAAAUUGAAGUCUCUAUAUAUGUCCGAAAGAACUAUAAAUACAUAGUGGCCACCUUUCAGAGCUGCCCUUCUCUUUUUUAGUAGACAACCUAUCACUUGGGUUCCCCUGAUCUUUGAGCCAAUUUGUUUUUUCUCGAACACGCGUCUUUUAUUAGAAGAACGCCAAGAUUGGUGCAAAGUUUACAUGCGUAAACCAGCAAAACCAGAAAGAACUGAAAAAACCAACAUAAGCCUAAAGGGUAUGAAAGAAGAAAGCCAAAACCCUACUGCUACCACUGACUAUUGUAGGAAUGGAGGCCUAGCAUGCAUAGGCAAGCUCCUUAAGGCCACGGCCCCUGCCAUAUUCCAUUGGUUGACCUUGGGCAGAAUUAUUUUUAGCAUUCUUUUUCUUGUUUCGAUUCCUAUUAACUCGUCAAAUCCAAAAGGGUAUGAUUGCUGAUGGAGGUUGAAUUUAUAAGAAAUUUACAGUUUUUUCUUUUAAGAUUAUGCCAUGAAGCAUAGAAGAAUAUCAGCCUAUUGCAUUUGAAAAAAGAUACCCAGGCGAGUGAGGCCAAAAUACUAGUGAUAAGAUGAUGCAGCAGUAUUAAUAAAACAUGUUUGUAAACUAAAAUAUCUGAAUCACGCUGCAAAUACCAUUUGUGGAGUAAAGUGCCGUCAGACGAACAUUUGCAGUGCCAAACUUGAUUUAUUCAAUUUGGUACAAAAGCUUACUGACAAUCUAAUCAUAGCUUCUCUAAAGAAGAUAAUCUGAUCACAACAGACUCAGCCAAGAUGGUUAAAAUUCUAAUCCUGCAGAUUUUAUAGAAAGGUACAUAUACAGAAGCAAUGCAACAGGGGUACAGCUCCGAAGAAACUCGCGGCACAAAAUUUGACUUAAUAUCCAUUCAGGUGUAGAAACUUGCCAAUAAUUGAGCACUACAACUUGUCAACAAUUUCUAUAAUCUAGUUUCACUGUUUUGAAGUUAGGAGUUACAUAGAGAAGUUUUUACUGCAAGAAUGCGUAUCAUAACUGAUUUUUGUUCAGUCUCCUCGAAACAGGCUUUCGCCCAGCUUUUAUAUAUAAAGCCUAAACGGCCGAACCGAUACGAAGUGGUCAGGAUUUUUGUACGGUCUCAGGGUAGAUGCAAAUUGAUGGGGGCAAAACAGUGAGUUCCUACUGUUGGUCACUGACAACAUGGGGGAAAUAGAAGAGUAAAAGGCAGAUUGAAAUGGCUUCAGAUCAAACUAUUCAAGUACAAUGUCCAUUGACAGUGUGACUGCACACCUGAUGUGACUCCUCUACCACGUCUCCAAAAAUGGAUAGGCUGAGCUACGGCUUAGCACCAAUUCAUACGAACAUUCAACACUUGAAACCACAGAACACAUUCAAAAGUUCACUACCCACUACCCAGACGCACAAAACACAGAGCCACAUUCAAAUCAAGGCUGGGCUAAUCGACAUGAUUAAGGAGGAUACGUCUUCGGAAGUACAAAGCGUUUGUUCAUGAUCGGAGGAGCAAACCUCAAACAGUCCGCUCUGCUCGCCCGCGGCAACCAGUGAGAAACCUUGUGAGGCCCAAGGUCGAACACUUGACCUGCUGCUUACUGGAACAUCAUAGGAAGGAGGUGUCCUAUACUGAGCUUAAAGAUAAGACCCUGGGACUGGGUCUGGCGACAAAUUGAGAAGAAAACAGCGGGAGGACAUACAAUCGGCACUGAAUCUCCGACGCAACUUCAAUCAUUUCACUGCACCUCACAGUCGGGGAUCAUUCAAGAUCCACAGGAACACGGCGGUCUCAUCUGCCAGGCCCCCCACGGGGUCUCGCAGAGCAGCCGAUCAGCCGGAGAUCGACAGCAAAUCGAGCGAGAGCGGGGCCGUACGAGACAGCGAAUUGAAGGAGGGGAUCGUGCGUGGAGAUGUACGAGAGCAAGCACCAUACCUGUAGUAGAGAUUGACGACUCUAGGGGGGGAUGGGCAGCUAUCGGAGAUGUCGGGGAGGAUGAAAUCGCGAAGGGGGAGUGAUUGCUAUGCUAGCUGCUGGCUGGGAACGGAAGGAUAGUGGGUGAUCGAGUGAGUGUGAUGAUGUCAGAAGACAGGCAAGGACAAGGAGAGGAUGAUGUUGGCUCACUUGGCUCUACACUGAUGAGAACGAAAAUUGCAGUCACGAUCUUGCAAAUUUCAUCUCAUCAGUGUCAACUUCAAGUAACUCUGCACAUCCAUUCGCAAAAAGAAAAAGAAAAAAAAAACUCUGCACAUUCGGUUUAUUUGUUUUGGUAAAUACAGUUCCUCGGUUUGUCAAUGCUGAUACUUCUAUAAAAUACAGCUCGAUUUUCAUAUAUAGAGUUUUUUUUUUGCGAAAUAAUAUAGAGCUGACGUCCUCACAGGGAAGCAACUUGAGCGAGCUAGAAAAGGGUAGAUUGAGUUAACCUACAUUUGGUUACCUGCAUACAAUCCAAUUAGGCCUCAGCAGUAAGAAAAAAAGCUUGUUUAGUUGCAUACUGGGAGGCAUGAUUCGCAUCGGUACCAAACUUAAAACAACUCAGAGGCUGACUCACUGGAAACACUAACCGGCCAUUUCCAGCGAGCCAGUCUGAGUCGGGUGCAAAAGUAGGACGACAUACGCCGCGGUGCAGGGGGGAUUGGGUGAAGAUGUCGGGAGAAAAAAGUCGGCGGAGGCGAGAUGGCGUGAAAUCUAACCUCACCCCAUUUACUCGCUCACCCCUAGCUCUAGGACAAGCCCUUCCUCUGUUCUUAGCAUCGGCGGCGGCAGUGACUCAGAUCUGCGCAAGCGGCAGCGACAUGAGCACUCUCUGGCAGCACUGGCAGUGGCGGUGACUCAGAUCUGCGCAAGCGGCAGCGGCAUCAGCACUCUCUGGCAGCACCACCGACAACGGCGGUGACUCAAAUUUGCGCAAGCGACAGCGACAUUAGCACCCUCUGGCAGCANNNNNNNNNNNNNNNNNNNNNNNNNNNNNNNNNNNNNNNNNNNNNNNNNNNNNNNNNNNNNNNNNNNNNNNNNNNNNNNNNNNNNNNNNNNNNNNNNNNNNNNNNNNNNNNNNNNNNNNNNNNNNNNNNNNNNNNNNNNNNNNNNNNNNNNNNNNNNNNNNNNNNNNNNNNNNNNNNNNNNNNNNNNNNNNNNNNNNNNNNNNNNNNNNNNNNNNNNNNNNNNNNNNNNNNNNNNNNNNNNNNNNNNNNNNNNNNNNNNNNNNNNNNNNNNNNNNNNNNNNNNNNNNNNNNNNNNNNNNNNNNNNNNNNNNNNNNNNNNNNNNNNNNNNNNNNNNNNNNNNNNNNNNNNNNNNNNNNNNNNNNNNNNNNNNNNNNNNNNNCCCCCGCCCGCUUCGUCGGCUCCGAAGCUAGUAAGCAGCAUACAAACCCCCCCUCAUCUGUUAGGGCGAUUGUUAGGACGGUGUAGGAUCAAUUGUGCCAUUGCUGACCACACCAUGGAUGUUGCCUAGGUUGUUGCCGAACGGAUGAAGCUGACAGUUCAGGCUGUCACUACUGCAGGAUGCUGCUAACGCGACACUACAAUAAGAGACCCUUCGACGAAACUGUGUGCACUGCAUUAAUCGCAAAUGGCGAUGUAAAAUAACCGUAAAAAAAUACACAAAACGUUUGCGAUGACGGAGACAUCAAACACGAUUCAGAUUAUAGUUGCGUGUGCGAUGCGUGGCAUACCGUUCACUCCAAGGAACUGUUUAUGAUGAGGAUAACAACAGAAACGGUUAGACAGAUGAAAGGUGUGCGAUAUACAACAUACAGUUCACUCUGAUGAACUGUUUGUGAUUAAGCAACACAACAGAAACGGUCAGCCAGAUCAAGGUGUGUGUGCGAUUGACGGCAUACAGUUCACUUGGAUGAACUAUUUGCGAUUAAGAAACACAACAAAAACAGUCAACUAGAUCAAGGUGUCUGCGAUUAACAACAUACACUUCACACUGAUGAAUUAUUUGCGUUUAGGCACAACAAACAGAAAUGGUUAGACAGAUUAAGGUGUGUGCGCUAGAUGGGCACACAUUCUAAUUAAGAGAAGCAUGCACGAUGGUAAUAACAAGCGCGCACGGUUGAUGGAACAAGUCAUGUGCUGACAUCCCCUAUUGCCGUGCACCCUAUGGUGCAAACGCCAUGUACGCAUCCGAGAACACAUGCCCACGUUACGCCAUCGGGGAAUCGUGCCGCACUUCGAAACUAGAAACGUCAAUAAAUUUUGAGCUUGCAUCCCGUCACAUUCCAAAUUACUAUCACGCUAUAUUUAAUUGCAAAUCUCUUCACACCGAUAAAAAGCUAAAUGGUUUCCUAUUUAGGAGCGUAUUAGUACUUUGUUAUAAAUACUACCUACUCCAAGAUGACUGCACAUUCCUCCUCAAUUCCUCAUCCACAAAAAAAGUAUUUCAUCGUCGUUCCCUUGCGUCUGCCAUGGCUCGCAUGAGUUCUGGGUCGAGAAAUUACUACCAGGGAGAGGCGAGCAUGGAAGCGGAAGUACGAGAGAUGUCCCGCCUCGUCACGAAAGCAGCCGACAUGUCCCGCCGCACCGCUGUAGUAGCACAGAGGUCCAGCCGCGCCGCCGAAGUAGCACAGAGGUCCCACCGUGUCAUCGAAGCAGCAUACUGGUCCGACCGUGCCGCGGAAGCAACAAAGAUGUCCUGCCGCGCCGCGGAUGCAACAGAGAGGUCCUCCCACGCCGCGGCGGCCUGGGAAAAUGUCUCGCAGGCAGGCAAGGACUCUCAUAGGCGCAUGCACGGUAUGCUCGAUAACCGGAUGGAUCGGAUCUUCGACUGGAUGAAGCUGUAGGACGAGAUGAAUGCCUCGUUUGAAAAUGCUACUGGCGUUAUCCGGGGACUAAGGGAGGACAAGGCGAAGCUCCGUACCCAGGACGACCUAUGAGGGCGAAGAUCGCCGGAAGGGCGAAGCAACAUGAGGAGACUACUGCCAUGUUGGAGGGUACAUGCGCACCGUCAAGAAACUUAUGGACAAGAAUGCCAUGCUCUGCAUCGAGCGCAAAAGGCUAGUGGAGAAAUCCGUGGAUGCUGCCAAGCAGCGUAUUGAGGACAUGAAAGAGAUCAUCGCCGCUCGCCGCGAGAACUAGUCUCCACGCCCUACAACAACGCAUCGAGAAAGUAGAGAUCAGCGAGCCAGAUUGUUGUCUGCGUCUUUCUUCUUCUUUUGCCUUUGUGUAUUUCGGGCGUUACCGCAUGUGUAAUUUUUAAUCAUCUUCCUAAAUAUGUAAGACAAAUAGUAUCCACUGUUAUCGUCAUUAUAUUCAUAUUAGUCUUGCUAUAAGUCUCAGUUGAUGCUAUAUAUGUCCGUCAGAUCUUACAUCAAGAUCCGUGCAAUUUAUUUUCAGGUUUUCUUUUUUCUCUCUUAAAUAUCAGUUGAGUGAGACAUAGUCACACCAAAAAACAGGGGCUCAGACGCCAUUAAUGGAGAAGUUGGGCGGCGGAUGGAGGUCAAAGGGCUCACCUCCCGAUAAACAUGUGCAGGGGUCUGAUCGCACGCCUCCUGUACUCAAAUAGCUAUCCGCACGACGCCUUCUAGCCAAUAAAAAAAGGGGACGCGUGGAGGCACAUAAAUGGUUAGUAGAACACCCACGAUUUCAAUAAUACUUGUGUUUCUGAUUGUAACAUGACAACACUUGUUCCAAAAUGACUUUGUUGGUUGUUAAUGUGCGCGCCUUCGCAAAUCGGACAAAAAUUUACCACAACAUGUUGGUACCAUCUGAAGACAACAUGCCGAGUUUCAUGAUUUUCCGGUGAGUUUUGGAUUUACAGUAAUUUAAAAACCAAGUUUCUCUAUGUUUCUGGCUGAGCACGACGCUCAGAUAUUUGGAAUUCAUUCUCAUUUCUUGCAUGUGAUCUAAACAUUCACCCAAGGACACAUAUAUGAUUUUUCAACACAUCUUGGCGCACUGAAGCAUGUGCAUGUAGCUCAAAUUUGAAUUAUGCACAUUAAAUCCCUAGAAAACUCAAAUAAUGUAUAAAAAAGGCAAAACAAACCCUGAUAAUUCCAAAAUUUAGCACCAAACUCAUGUUGGUCUAUGUUGCCUUUGUAAAAAAAACAAGGCGGGAAGAGGGGUGGUCUAUGUUGUUUCGCACACAUAGGUGACACGUCCCCUCUCGGAACCAUGAGGCUUCUCCAGAGAAGCUCCGUUUUGUAAGAAGAUUACACCAAAACUUGUCCCAAAUCGGGCGCAAUUUUUACCAAAACAUGUUGGUGCCAUGUCAUGAUACCAUGCCAAGUUUCAUGAUUUUCGGGCGAGUUUUAUUUACAGGAAUUUAAAAACCAAGUUUCUCAAUAUUUUCGGCCGACCCACGACACCCAAAUGUCUGAAAUUCAUUCCUAUUUCUUGCAUGCGACCUAAACUUUCACUCAAGGACACACAUAUAAUUUUUCAACCAACUUUGGUGCACUGGAGCAUGUGCAUAUAGUUCAAAUUUGAAUUAUGCACAUUAAAUGCCUAUAAAACUUAGUUAAUGUAUAAGAAGGCCAGACAAACCCGGAUUAAUUCCUAAAAUCAGCAUGAUACUCCUAUUGGUCUAUGUUGCCCCAGGCGGGAAGAGGCGGUCUAUGUCGUUUCACACACAGAGAUGACACAUCCCAUCUCGGAACCAUGAGGCUUCUUGAGAGAAGCUCCAUCUUGUAAGAAGCUUACACAAAAACUUGUCCCAAAUUGGACAAUUUUUUUACCAUAACAUGUUGGUGCCAUGUCAUGAGACCAUGCCAAGUUUCAUCAUUUUUGGGCGAGUUUUAGAUUUACAGGAAUUUAAAAACCAAGUUUCUUAAUGUUUCCGGACAAGCCACAACGCCCAAAUGUUUUAAAUUCAUUCCCAUUUCUUGCAUGGGACCUAAACUUUCACUCACUACAAAAAAUACACUUCCGUGAUGAUAUCUGUUUGUCACAGUAGGUCAUGUUUUCUGUCAUGCAUGUACAUCCAUGACGAUUCUAUGACAGAAUCAAGAUAGUCAUACCUGUGCUGUCGUAGAAGUGUUUCAUAUCAAAAUUAUCAUCACGGAAGUGUCCACUUCCAUGACGAUAAAUCAUGCGUCAUAGAAUUGCUUUCAUCAAGGGUAACCGACAUGUGGCAUCCACCGCAAUGGGUCGCUGUUAAGCUAUCGGGUUACGGUUUGGAUCCGAUGACCCAUUAACAACCCGGACCAAUGGGGAUUUUCCACAUAUAAAAUUUUCAAUGGCCAAAGGAACCAUGUGUCGGCUCAACGUUGGGACAGAUUUCAUCCACUCAUUGGACCGAAGGCGCCUAUGAUACGUCGACACGUGGCACGACCCAACAGAGGCCCAUUCCUGUGAAAAGGACGACCCGUUUGACUUGGUCAAAAGGUAGCGGGCCGGCCCACAGAAAGCCUAUUAACGGUCUAUUCGCAUAUAGCCCAUUUAUAGCCCGCUAACUCAUGGCCCGUUACGGCCUAUCCGAAUUAGGCCCAGUAGCGUCAUCUGGGCUAUCCAAUAUGAUUCCAGCCCGUUGUAACUUUCGGCCCAUGUAUGGCCCAUGACAUCUUUCGUCCCAUAUGAGGCCCUUUGUAACUCUUGGCCCAUAUGAGGCCCUUUUUAACUCUUGGCCCAUUAACAACCUAUGGUGAAACUGGCCCAUAAUGAAUAGUGUAUCACUUUAUACCCAAUAACGACCCAUUAUUCUAUUGGGCCGUUUUCAGCCCGUGUUAUCUUUCGGCCUUCUCAGGGCCCAUUUAUUCUUGGGCUUAUUUCCAACAUUCGAUUACUUAUUGUGACGCCCCCGAUUCAAUCAUACACUAAUCAUAUACGCAAACGUGUACGAUCAAGAUCAGGGACUCACGGGAAGAUAUCACAACACAACUUUAAAAAUAAAAUAAGUCAUACAAGCAUCAUAUUACAAGCCAUGGGCCUCGAGGGCUCGAAUACAAGUGCUCGAUCAUAGGCGAGUCAGCGGAAGCAACAAUAUCUGAGUACAGACAUAAGUUAAACAAGUUUUCCAUAAGAUGGCUAGCACAAACUGGGAUACAAUCGAAAGAGGCGCAGGCCUCCUGCCUGGGAUCCUCCUAACUACUCCUGGUCGUCGUCAGCAGCCUGCACGUAGUAGUAGGCACCUCCGGUGUAGUCGUCAUCGUCGACGGUGGCGUCUGGCUCCUGGGCUCCAGAAUCUGGUUGCAGCAUCUGGGAAGAAGAGGAAAACGGGGGAAAAGAGGGAGCAAAGCAACCAUGAGUACUCAUCCAAAGUACUCGCAAGCAAGGAGCUACACUACAUAUGCAUGGGUAUAGGUGUAAGGAGGCCAUAUCAGUGGACUGAACUGCAGAAUGCCAGAAUAAGAGGGGGAUAGCUAGUCCUAUCGAAGACUACGCUUCUGGCAGCCUCCGUCUUGCAGCAUGUAGAAGAGAGUAGAUUGAAGUCCUCCAAGUAGCAUCGCAUAGCAUAACCCUACCCGGCGAUCCUCUCCUCGUCGCCCUGUUAGAGAGCGAUCACCGGGUUGUAUCUGGCACUUGGAAGGGUGUGUUUUAUUAAGUAUCCGGUUCUAGUUGUCAUAAGAUCAAGGUACAACUCCAAGUCGUCCUGUUACCGAAGAUCACGGCUAUUCGAAUAGAUUAACUUCCCUGCAGGGGUGCACCACAUAACCCAACACGCUCGAUCCCAUUUGGCCGGACACACUUUCCUGGGUCAUGCCCGGCCUUGGAAGAUCAACACGUCGCAGCCGCACCUAGGCACAACAGAGAGGUCAGCACGACGGUCUAAAUCCUAUGCGCGCAGGGGUCUGGGCCCAUCGCCCAUUGCACACCUGCAUGUUGCGUACAUGGCCGGUGAGCAAACCUAGCAACCUCCAUUACAAAGGAAGUUGCGUUAACGCAGUCCAACCCGGCACGCGCCGCUUAGUCGCUGAUGUCACGAAGGCUUCGGCUGAUACCACGACGUCGAGUGCCCAUAUCUUUCCCGCGUAGUUGGUUAGUGCGUAUAGGCCAGUAGCCAGACUCAGAUCAAAUACCAAGAUCUCGUUAAGCGUGUUAUUAUGAAGCAACCGCGAACGCCGACCAGGGCCAGGCCCACCUGUCUCCUAGGUGGUCUCAACCUGCCCUGUCGCUCCGCCACAAAGUAACAUUCGGGGGCCGUCGGGAACCCAGGCCCACCUCUACCGGGAUGGAGCCACCUGUCCUUUCAGCCCCCGCAUCGGAAUCACUUGCGGGUACUCAACGAGCUGACCCGACUUUAGUCACCAUUUGUAUAGUAUGUAUAUAUGUAUAGUAUAUACCCGUGAUCACCUCCCAAGUGAUCACGGCCCGAUAGUCUAGCAAGGCAGACUGACAAGAAUGUAGGGCCAAUGAUGAUAAACUAGCAUCCUAUACUAAGCAUUUAGGAUUGCGGGUAGGGUAUCAAUGACUGUAGCAACAAUGACAGGCUAUGCAAUAGAAUAGGAGUAACCGAACAGUAACAUGCUAUACUACUCUAAUGCAAGCAGUAUAGAGAAGAAUAGGCGAUAUCUGGUGAUCAGGGGGGGAGCUUGCCUGGUUGCUCUGGCAAGGAGGGGUCGUCGGUGACGUAGUCGAUCAACAGGGGCAUCAUCGGUCUCGGGGUCUACCGGAGAGAAGAGGGGGAAGAAACAGUAAAUAUAAAGCAAACAUAGCAUAACAGGACAACCAGUAGAGCUAGGCGUGUUCUAACGUGGUGCUACACGAUACCGAUGAGGGGGGAAGUCAACCGGGAAUGUUUUCCCGGUUCCGGACCUGUGUUAGACAAAUGACCGGAGGGGGAAAGUCCCACGGUCAGCAUGCUAGGGGCAUGUGACAGAUGAACGGACCGCGUAUUCGGAUUUGUUGGAUUUUUCUGAGCAACUUUCAUAUAGAAAACAUUUUCAUCCGACUUACGGGUUAAUUUCUAUGAAUUUCUAAAGAUUAAACCAUUUUUAGAAAUUAUUUAAAUUAACAGAAAUGAAUUAUGACGUCAGCAGAGUGUCAGCAUGACAUCAGCAGGUCAACAGACCCGCUGACUGGUCAAACUGGCCAAUUGGUCCCACCUGUCAUUGGCAGUGGGCUAACAACAAUUCAUUUUAAUUUAAACAGAAUAAUUAGUGAUUGGACCCCACUAGUCAGUGACUCAUUAGUUUAGCUAAUUAUGUUUAUUUAGGAAAACGUUUUAAUUAGGUUAAAAAGGCGGCGGGGGGGGGGGGUGUCAGUGGCACUGAGUGCACAGUCAGCAAAGUUGACCGGGUCAACUGGUCAACAGGAGGCCAGGGGCCCCACUGGCAGUGACCCAGGGGUGGCCCCAGGUGUGCCACGUCGAUGGUGGCCGGCGGCUAAACGCCGGCGACUGAAAAUACGGCAGAGGCGCUCGGGAUCUCGCCGGAAUCCACGUACAGGGGGCCAUUUGGCCCGUGCGUUGGCACGUUCGAACGAGUGAGCAACGCUGCAUCCAACACGGGUGGCCACGCGAGCUGUGAUGGCUGGAGCCGCCGCCGGCGACAGGGACGGCGGAGACCCGAAGCACGGCGAACUCGCGCGCGAUGAAACGGAGGCCAAAAUGGGUGGCGCGCUACUCCUACGAUGACUACUCGAAGCCACGAACGCGUUGGUGAGCUCGGCGAACCGGGACGAGCCCUACCGUGAUGGCUGCGAGCUCGAUAGCGGAGUCAGGGUGCGGCAGUGGCGGCGCAUCGUGCACAGCUUGCUACGGCACGUAAAUGGAGCUAGGACAGGGAGAGGAAAUGGGUGGAGCUCACCGAGUGGCUCACACGAUGGCCCGUGGUGGUUUAGGAGCUGCAGAGACGUCGCCGGAGCCGAGGAUGAGCGGCGGCGACCGGAGAUGUGGACGAAGGCGAACGGAGGCAGCGGGGCUCCACAUCUCCACCUGGUGGCACCAAGAGAGGUUGCCGACCGCGGUGAGGCCCGUGGACAAGGCCAGCAGGCACGGGGCCGCCGGUGGCCGUGGCAACGACGGAGGACGACGGCGAGGGCGCCCGGGCCGCGGAUCUAGAGGAGAGGAGGGGCGGAGCGAGCGAUGGCGAGGGAGGGAGAGUGGAUAGGGAUUGAGGGGAGGCCGAGGGGAAGGAGAGGUGGAUCUUUAUCCACCCGCGACGCCUGUAGCGGUGUGGUCGACGAGGUGGGUUCGGCGGCGACGGCAGGCACGCCUCGGUCGCUUGAUCAGAGAACGGGGGGGAGGAGGAGGAGGCCGUGGUGGGCUGGGUUCCAGGCACUAUGCACUUAGGCCGAGUCCUCAUCAGUAGCCUAGGCCCUUUUUUUGUAUUUAUUUGUUUUAUGUUUAUUAGUUUUCUAUUUUAUUUUCUAUAUAUUUUUGUUUUAUAAAAUAUACAAGUAGUACCUAAAUUAGUGUUACAAAAUACCCCAAUGCCACAAAAAGUUUGGUGACAAAAUAAAAUAGUUUAGUAAUUUAUUAAUUGUAAAAGGCAUUUAAUUAAUUGCUUUUGCUACUGUUUAAAUCCUUAUAAUUCAUUUAAGAAUUUUAUAAAAGCUUGGUUUCUCCACCAUAAUUGCUUACGAUUUAUUUGAAACAACCCGAACAUUUUAGUUUUAAUUUUUGAAAACUUUUGUUGUUUGCUUUUCUUUUGAAAUUGAAUUUGAAUCGGUUUCGAACUAAUGCGAGAUUAGCAAUAGUAAUCGAGGUGACGUGGCAUUAUUAGCAGAGGUUACUGUAGCUUGAUUAUCCGGGCGUCACAAUUCUCCUCCACUACAAGAAAUCUCGUCCCGAGAUUUAAGAGGGGAACUAGGGGGUAAGGUCUGGUUACGGAAUUCUAAUGAAUCUUCUCGUUCUUGGUUGCUCUUCUCGAAGUGGUCGAUCCUUUUCAUUGAUGUAUUCAUUUCUCUGCUUUAGGUCAUCAUGAUGAAGUCGGCAUCCUUUCUUCGGGAAUUCCAUCGUACUUUCAAAAGAAUAAAGGGUGGGUAUUCCGGGGGAACGAACCUCUGCAAGGUUAACUAUCUGGUCAAUAACAUCGACGGAGGUGGUGGGAAGUAACUCUCGAAUUGAAACUUAAGAAAGUAUCGAGAGCAAAGUAAGGAGGUAUCAUGGGAAGUUUCGAGCGGGCAGGCAAUCGUUUGAUGCCUGUUACAAGGCGUGAAAGGGGUUCAGAGCAACGGGAAUAAGCAGUGUGUCUGAUACCAGAAUAGAUCACUAGGAAGGUGGCUCGUGAUCUCUCAUACGAAGCCAAGCGUGAGGAUUAGCUUUAGGAACAUGGGUGUACAGGAGAGUCAGGUUUCGAUCCUGUGGAACUGUGGGUUAUGGGCCCACCAUGUGGGUUAAAAGUAUUAAGGGCGGAGACGUCUUGCUUGAUCAUGCAAGCAAGGUAUGUCAGAGGGUAGCCUAUCCGUUAUGUCGGCAACAAUAGCGAUACCAAAGGCGAGGGAUGAAGAGAACCAUUUUCCUGCUCGUUGAACGAGGCGGACCAAUAGGCAAAGUUCUCGUCCAUCGGUGGUUACCGGAAUGUCAUCAACAAUAGUAACAGGGUCUUACAGACAGAGCGGUACAACAAGGUGCUUACCUAAGCAGGGAAUUAUCUCUGCUCAGUUAAGUCAGAUUACAGGAAAGGCUAAACAAAAGAAUGGAAAGGAAAACGUGAUUAUCAGAUUAAACAGAACAAUGGAAAGAAAAAUUAUGAUUACACACAAUUAUUAGGACAAUAUCCUUUCCAUGUACAAGCAGAACAUGGCAUACAGGGUAGGAGAGCAAGUACCCAACCAUUCAGAAAAGAGGCAAGGAUUAAUCAAGAUGUUACCCAUACAACAGUGUUUGGAUAACUAGGCAAGAAACAUUUAGCUUUGGGCUUCAAAUGUUUUUGUUGAAAAUCGAAGUACCAUAGACAUGCUUCGAGAUAGCAUUGACAUGGUCUUCAAGCAAAGGUCAGACUUGGAUAUACAAAGGAUUCAUCAGGAACAACUUAUAAAAUAAGUUUCACAAUUUCCUCAUGGAAGAAUGGUUAACCUUGCUAAGAUGGAAACUAUAACAAUUGGUCCUCCGGCCAGGUGUGCUAGGCAUGACAUCACCUUACUGGGUCAUAUAAAGACCAAUGUUCUGACUCUUGGAAAAUGUUCCAACCAUCAUAUCUAACCAAGAUUCAGAUCUGAUUGGUGUCAGGAUACCUCAGACUCGGGAUGCCUGAGAAGAAAGGUGCAACACAAAUUGACGGGAUGACACUGUAAGAUUCUCAGGAAAUGAACUACGAAGUAAUUUCCGUUAACAAGAGUUCAUCAUUAACCCAAGGAGAGGACAAGGAGGUGGCUGAUGAACUCAACGACAAUUCAUCAAAAUUUCCAAAGGAUGGAUUUCCACAAUUAUGUGAACAAGGAGAUAACAUUUGUCAGAUCAAAAUGAUAUAUUGAUGUAUGAUUGAGGAAAACAUACACAAUUUAACAAUGGUUGAAAGGUGCACCCGGAAUAUGGGCCGGGUUGCACGGCCAACAUUGGAAUGGUGAUUCAAUAAUCAAUAGUCUAAGAAUGAACGGCCGACCAUUAACUUCAAAGCAAUAGGGUUGCUAAAAGGGUGGAAUCCAAACAGCACUGCUCACUUGUUGGUACCUUGGUUGGAAUCAACACGAGGACCCAAGAAAGAAUGGUGAUGGUGAGAAGUAUCACCAUACCAAGAAUUCUUAAGAGGUGGUGAAAUUCCCACGAUAUUCUUGACAUAAAAGGUGGUAAUAUUCCAAGGUAAAGAAGAACAAUGCUGGGUAGCAAGGAACUCAAGGUAUAACACAAAACACGAACAAGUUUGUGUUGGAGGGAAGGCAGUAUAGUGGUUGAUGAUAACCCAAAUCAUUGAGGCAAGGAUGUAUUUCUCAUCAUGAAUCCGAUUGAUAUCCUGGAAGAGCUCAUAAGGUCGAUGAUGAUCAUGACACAUUUGUUGAGAGGUUACACGAAGAUGUAAUUGAUCGACGAUGACAUCAAGUCAAACGAAUGAUGAAGCGAAAGGUUAUUGGAACCACGGUUAGGACACAAACCCCAAAGCAAGCUUGCUGUCCAAAGCAAAAUGAUAUGAUGAGGAAAGAUCGACGUAAGGUUAGCUCAUCGUCAAAAAUUAUGCUCUGGGAAGAGGACCAGGUAGCACAGUUAAAAUCGGCACGACAAGGAUAUAGCCAAACAGGCUAGGAAUGACGUGAUGGAAUUCAAACUCGUAAGUAAUGAAGGUUACCAAGAGUUGCUUAAUCGCGAUGCAGACUCGUGUCAGUUAUCGGUGUCUUUGAGUGUUAAAUAACUCAGAGCCCGUGAAAAAUUGGAAUCAAUGAGAAUGUAGCACUUGAUGAAGAACUCAUAAGAAGUUAUGCAGUUCCGUGAUAAUCUUGAGAUACCUAGGGGGUAAUACUCGAGGACAAAUCAAAGUAGAGGUUGGACUGGGGUAUUACUCUACAGAAGACAAGUGCUUAAACUUGCACGAGAAAUGGUAUUUAAAGAAGAACAUGGUAGGAAAUCUCGAUCAUAAAUGAUCGGACCACGGAUACAAGAUGAACUUAUAACAAGGGGGUAACUAUUUUUACGAGCAGCUUCCAUGAUAAGUUAUACAUCGUGUCCAUGGGCAUGGACUCCCACUUCUUCAAUGUAUAACCUCCCAUUCACUUCUCGCUUUGAUAAAGGCAUUAGUGUUGAAAGCUUUACCUGGUGUAAUACCAGAUGAGUAUGACUCGUGAAAACUUUCGAGUUCACACAUAUUAAGGAAGGCAUAGGUUCAACCCGUCAGGGUAUCGUGGAAACAUAUACCACAAGCUUCAAUAGUAACUAACACAAGCUCGAUAGUAGAGCAUGGUUGACAAAAACAGAGGAUACAAUUUACCUAAGGCAUUAUGUAUCAGGGAAAGAACUUCUCGAGGUUUUUGUAUACGAAGGACACUGUCGGAUGAUAUUUCAACAAAGGAUCUGACAGUCCUUAGUGAAACUGAUGUGAGUAUCGGCACACAACCAGAGGAAGAAACAAUGCGAAGGCAUUGGAUUAUAGAAGCAACUUACUAAUUCAAAGCUCACAUGUAAAGGAAUUAUGAUUACCAAAUCAAAGGAUCAGAAGCAAACGCUCUGAUUAAGGAUGGAUAAGUUGAGUAAGCUUAGGGGUAAAAUCGACAACAAUUUGAUUGGUCGAGAUCAAGCUCAUGUUUAAAGUGACGUCUGAGUCGAAAAGAUAAUUUAAAAGGAUCAACUGAUGAUUGCGUGCAUUCGUACUCAUUUUGAAUCAAUAGGAUCAAAAUGACGGUGCCUAAGGAUACUAACGAAUAUUGCCAGACAUAUGGAAAGCAUCCAAAAUGCAAGCAGACAAGUAUUGCAGAGCAAUAAGCUACUAAGGAUUUUUGGAGUAUCGAAUAGUAUUUUGAAGACCACUGUGGAACACAUGAGCAACGUUGAAAGAAUGGAUACUCGGUAAGUGUGAGGAGUUAUCCAUAGGGGGUAUUCAUGUGGCAAAGAUUUGCAAUGCAAUGGCUCAAAAGAUUCUUAAAAGUCGAAGAACAAUUCGAUGCAUCUUGUAAUAACAAGAGCAGCUAGGGAUGAAUGUAAGAAUGGAAAGGGAAAUAAGUUAUCCAUAAGGAUUUAUCAGUGGUAGGGUAUUGCAAAAGAAGUGGGCACAAAGUCUCGAGAGAACUUCAGCGAGUAUCUUCGGAAUCUUCUGAUGUAACAAACGAUUAUCGGGAGUGAGGGGCUCUUCGGGAGAAAGUAUUUUCGAGAACCUAAAGUUAGAUUUUUAGAAAAUAUUUAACCCGAAUAGAGGAGAGAUUAGAGUCCCAGAGUAUAGGUCGAGGAAUAAAAGAUCCUAAUACUACCCAAUUGGCGACGUGGGCCCAUGGGCCACACAGCCAAGUUAGUAAAACAAUUUUCAUCGACUAUACUCAACUUCGGCCAAGGAGUUGGAAAGGGGGAUUCCUACAGGCAGUCGGCUCUGAUACCAACUUGUGACGCCCCCGAUUCAAUCAUACACUAAUCAUACACGCAAACGUGUACGAUCAAGAUCAGGGACUCACGGGAAGAUAUCACAACACAACUCUAAAAAUAAAAUAAGUCAUACAAGCAUCAUAUUACAAGCCAGGGGCCUCGAGGGCUCGAAUACAAGUGCUCGAUCAUAGACGAGUCAGCAGAAGCAACAAUAUCUGAGUACAGACAUAAGUUAAACAAGUUUGCCAUAAGAUGGCUAGCACAAACUGGGAUACAAUCGAAAGAGGCGCAGGCCUCCUGCCUGGGAUCCUCCUAACUACUCCUGGUCGUCGUCAGCAGCCUGCACGUAGUAGUAGGCACCUCCAGUGUAGUCGUCAUCAUCGACGGUGGCGUCUGGCUCCUGGGCUCCAGAGUCUGGUUGCGACAUCCGGGAAGAAGAGGAAACCGGGGGAAAAGAGGGAGCAAAGCAACCGUGAGUACUCAUCCAAAGUACUCGCAAGCAAGGAGCUACACUACAUAUGCAUGGGUAUAGGUGUAAGGAGGCCAUAUCAGUGGACUGAACUGCAGAAUGCCAGAAUAAGAGGGGGAUAGCUAGUCCUAUCGAAGACUACGCUUCUGGCAGCCUCCGUCUUGCAGCAUGUAGAAGAGAGUAGAUUGAAGUCCUCCAAGUAGCAUCGCAUAGCAUAACCCUACCCGGCAACCCUCUCCUCGUCACCCUGUUAGAGAGCGAUCACCGGGUUGUAUCUGGCACUUGGAAGGGUGUGUUUUAUUAAGUAUCCGGUUCUAGUUGUCAUAAGGUCAAGGUACAACUCCAAGUCGUCCUGUUACCGAAGAUCACGGCUAUUCGAAUAGAUUAACUUCCCUGCAGGGGUGCACCACAUAACCCAACACGCUCGAUCCCAUUUGGCCGGACACACUUUCCUGGGUCAUGCCCGGCCUCGGAAGAUCAACACGUCGCAGCCGCACCUAGGCACAACAGAGAGGUCAGCACGCCGGUCUAAAUCCUAUGCGCGCAGGGGUCUGGGCCCAUCGCCCAUUGCACACCUGCAUGUUGCGUACGCGGCCGGUGAGCAAACCUAGCAACCUCCAUUACAAAGGAAGUUGCGUUAACGCAGUCCAACCCGGCGCGCGCCGCUCAGUCGCUGACGUCACGAAGGCUUCGGCUGAUACCACGACAUCGAGUGCCCAUAUCUUUCCCGCGUAGUUGGUUAGUGCGUAUAGGCCAGUAGCCAGACUCAGAUCAAAUACCAAGAUCUCGUUAAGCGUGUUAUUAUGAAGCAACCGCGAACGCCGACCAGGGCCAGGCCCACCUGUCUCCUAGGUGGUCUCAACCUGCCCUGUCGCUCCGCCACAAAGUAAUAGGUGGGGGCCGUCAGGAACCCAGGCCCACCUCUACCGGGAUGGAGCCACCUGUCCUUUCAGCCCCCACAUCGGAAUCACUUGCGGGUACUCAACGAGCUGACCCGACUUUAGUCACCAUUUGUAUAGUAUGUAUAUAUGUAUAGUAUAUACCCAUGAUCACCUCCCAAGUGAUCACGGCCCGAUAGUCUAGCAAGGCAGACUGACAAGAAUGUAGGGCCAAUGAUGAUAAACUAGCAUCCUAUACUAAGCAUUUAGGAUUGCGGGUAGGGUAUCAAUGACUGUAGCAACAAUGACAGGCUAUGCAACAGAAUAGGAGUAACCGAACAGUAACAUGCUAUACUACUCUAAUGCAAGAAGUAUAGAGAAGAAUAGGCGAUAUCUGGUGAUCAGGGGGGGGGCUUGCCUGGUUGCUCUGGCAAGGAGGGGUCGUCGGUGACGUAGUCGAUCACAGGGGCAUCAUCGGUCUCGGGGUCUACCGGAGAGAAGAGGGGGAAGAAACAGUAAAUAUAAAGCAAACAUAGCAUAACAGGACAACCAGUAGAGCUAGGCGUGUUCUAACGUGGUGCUACAUGAUACCGGCGAGGGGGGAAGUCAACCGGGAAUGUUUUCCCGGUUCCGGACCAGUGUUAGACAAAUGACUGGAGGGGGAAAGUCCCAUGUUCAGCAUGCUAGGGGCAUGUGACAGAUGAACGGACCGUGUAUUCGGAUUCGUUGGAUUUUUCUGAGAAACUUUCAUAUAGAAAACAUUUUCAUCCGACCUGCGGGUUAAUUUCUAUGAAUUUCUAAAGAUUAAACCAUUUUCAGAAAUUAUUUAAAUUAACAGAAAUGAAUUAUGACGUCAGCAGAGUGUCAGGAUGACAUCAGCAGGUCAACAGACCCGUUGACUGGUCAAACUGGCCAAUUGGUCCCACCUGUCAUUGGCAGUGGGCUAACAACAAUUCAUUUUAAUUUAAACAGAAUAUUUAGUGAUUGGACCCCACUAGUCAGUGACUCAUUAGUUUAGCUAAUUAUGUUUAUUUAGGAAAACGUUUUAAUUAGGUUAAAAAGGCGGGGGGGUGGGGGGGGGGGCGUGUGUCAGUGGCACUGAGUGCACAGUCAGCAAAGUUGACCGGGUCAACUGGUCAACAGGAGGCCAGGGGCCCCACUAGCAGUGACCCAGGGGUGGCCCCAGGUGUGCCACAUCGAUGGUGGCCGGCGGCUAAACGCCGGCGACCGAAAAUACGGCAGAGGCGCUCGGGAUCUCGCCGGAAUCCACGUACAGGGGGCCAUUUGGCCCGUGCAUUGGCACGUUCGAACGAGUGAGCAACGCCGCAUCCAACGCGGGUGGCCACGCGAGCUGUGAUGGCCGGAGCCGCCGUCAGCGACAGGGACGAUGGAGACCCGAAGCACGACGAACUCGCGCACGAUGAAACGGAGGCCAAAAUGGGCGGCGUGCUACUCCUACGGUGACUACUCGAAGCCAGGAACGCGUUGGUGAGCUCGGCGGACCGGGACGAGCCCUACCGUGACGGCUGCGAGCUCGAUAGCGGAGUCAGGGUGUGGCAGUGGCGGCGCAUCAUGCACAGCUUGCUGCGGCACGUAAACGGAGCUAGGACGGGGAGAGGAAAGGGGUGGAGCUCACCGAGUGGCUCACACGAUGGCCCGUGGUGGUUUAGGAGCUGCAGAGACGUCGUCGGAGCCGAGGAUGAGCGGCAGCGACCGGAAAUGUAGACGAAGGCGAACGGAGGCAGCGGGGCUCCACAUCUCCACCUGGUGGCACCAAGAGAGGUUGCCGACCACGGCGAGGCCCGUGGACAAGGCCAGCAGGCAUGGGGCCGCCGAUGGCCGUGGCAACGACGAAGGACGGCGGCGAGGGCGCUCGGGCCGUGGAUCUGGAGGAGAGGAGGGGCGGAGCGAGCGAUGGCGAGGGAGGAAGAGUGGAUAGGGAUUGAGGGGAGGCCGAGGGGAAGGGGAGGUGGAUCUUUAUCCACCCACGACGCCUGUAGCGGUGUGGUCGACGAGGUGGGUUCGGCGGCGACGGCGGGCACGCCUCGGUCACUUGAACAAAGAACGGGGGGGAGGAGGAGGAGGCCGUGGUGGGCUGGCUUCCAGGCACUGUGCACUUAGGCCUAGUCCUCAUCAGUAGCCUAGGCCCUUUUUUUGUAUUUAUUUGUUUUCUAUUUAUUAGUUUUCUAUUUUAUUUUCUAUAUAUUUUUGUUUUAUAAAAUAUAUAAGUAGUACCUAAAUUAGUGUUACAAAAUACCCCAAUGCCACAAAAAGUUUGGUGACAAAAUAAAAUAGUUUAGUAAUUUAUUAAUUGUAAAAGGCAUUUAAUUAAUUGCUUUUGCUACUGUUUAAAUCCUUAUAGUUCAUUUAAGCAUUUUAUAAAAGCUUGGUUUCUCCACCAUAAUUGCUUACGAUUUAUUCGAAACAACCCGAACAUUUUAGUUUUAAUUUUUGAAAACUUUUGUUGUUUGCUUUUCUUUUGAAAUUGAAUUUGAAUCGGUUUCGAACUAACGCGAGAUUAGCAACAGUAAUCGAGGUGACGUGGCAUUAUUAGCAGAGGUUACUGUAGCUUGAUUAUCCGGGCGUCACACUUAUGGCCCGUUACUGGCCUUUUCUACCCGUGGGCCAAAUUCAGCUCGUGGUUACAGUCGGCCCGUUUGUGGCCCGCUAAUCCGUUGGGCCAUUUCCAUAGUGUCAUCAAAUACGACUGAUGAACGACGACCCGUUAUGGUCGGCCCAUGAACAGACGGUUCCAACUCUAGCCUGUUUACGGCCCAUAAUGCAGUCCGUUAUUGGCCCAUGUUUGGCCAAUCGAUCAUACGGCCCGUAGAAGGCCCAUUGAUGCUACACCCCAUAGAAGGCCCAUUGUUUCUACGGCCUAUAGAAGGCCCUUGUUUCUACGGCCCGUAGGAGGUCCAUGGUCACUACAGUAAAUAUGUAGCCCAUGGUUAUUGUGGCCUAGUUUUAAAAAAAGGUUAUUGCGGCCACUAGCAAACCACAGAAAAAGAACUGCAUUGACUACAAGCAAACAAAUAAACAAGGCAACAAGGAAAUAAAUAAGCAAGCAAGUUACGCUAGGCUAUCAUGGCUAUUACACAUAUUACAUCCACUAGGCAUCAAAGUUCACCACCAGUGCAAAUAUAGGGAACAAAGCAGCAUAUCACAUACACUGGUUGUCAAAGUUGGAGAACAGUGCAAAUAAAGGCCACAACAAAACAAGUACAUAACUGAAACCACUUCAGAAGAGCUCAAGAAACAAUAUCCUGGGUACCCAUAAUGCUGGCAAGAUGCUUAGCAAGCUUAUUAGCUUUCUCUUGUUUGGCGCUUAAAUCCUCCAGCGGUUGCUGUUGCACUAGAAAGUAUGCAUCUGAAUUCUAUAGGGACUUCCCCAGUCCUUCGGCUUCUUGCCACAGCACAGCUGACUGACGCCUUUCAACUUGUAGCUGAGACUGAAUAAGCCGAAGUGAUUUAGGCAGCGAGUUCAAAGAGCUUGUGCCAGCGGUACUGGCCAGUAACUCGAACACUACAUCAACGCGGGACUUUGGGGUUGUCUCACUGUCUAGAAGAUCGUUUUUAUCACCUUUCUUGGAGACCAACAGGGUUAUCCACUAUCUUGAACCUUAUCUGCAUUACUUUCUCUACCAUUGCAUAGUGGGGUGCUCUUCUCCAAUAUCCUGUUCGCAUUAUACAAGAGAAACAAGAAGACACAUCACAGGUUUAACAUGUAGUAUACAAAACUCAUUUUGGUAAACCGGUCCAGUAGUAAGGUGGACAGGAUAACAACAUGAAACAAACAUAUAUCUAUGUACUAUGGUCACUGUAUUGUCCAUACCAUUCUAGUUUAUGUUGCCAAAUCAAGAUAGAGACACAGUUCAAAUCAUAUAUUUUUAAGACACAACAACAUAGAAAGAAUAUAAGUGUGAGAAAUUACACAACACUGGCAACACUUGUAAUGUGCAUCACGUGAGAACAUAACUGUUUAUACAACUGAAACUGAAAUCAACAUAGAGCAAGAAGUUAGAACAACAAUCCAGUUAAAGAAAUAGGUUUGAAACAUACAUGUUGCGCCAUUGGAGUUUCAAUUGGAUCCUUCAAAUUCGAAAUUAGUUGGUAUGAGUAAAUAUAGUGAUGCAAGAGCAAAGGAGUAUGGACCAUAGCUAUGGAAUCUAACCUGAGAACAGUUGCUCUUCUGCUUUAAACGUGGAGUUUGGGUUCGCUUUGGUGGUCUUCGUGCUUUGGGCACUGCAGUUGCUUUACAAACUGCUCGUGUGGGGGUACUCUGUGGUGGACAUGGUGCUGUGUCAACUAGAAGUGGGUUACUAUCCACUGGGGUUGGGGUGAGAUGGGUUGUAGGUGGUUCUCUGUCCAAUAGUGUAAGUGUGCAAUCUGGAAGACUCUUGAUUAUGCGUGGUGGGGCUAGUUCGUGGGCUAGUACAACCAUGGUUCUAUUUGCAUCGACAAGUAGCAUCGUCUUUUGUGAAGAACGGGUUUUUGCUCCCUUAGACACUUCCGUCACCCCUCCAAUUCAAAUGGCUGAUAAACAAGAAAAGAAAUUGAACGUACAGACAUUGUAUGAUAGACAGAUGUGGUAAUUCACAAAUAUGUUGUCUAACCAAACAAGAUAACAUGACACAAUUUCACAUAUAUGAUGGCUAACUAAACAUGAUAGCAUGACACAGUUUCAGAUAUAUGAUGGCUAACUAAAUAGGACAACAUGACACAAUUUCACAUAUAUGAUGGCUAACUAAACAGGAUAGCAUGACAUACUUUUCCCACCAACGAAAAUGACUUAGAGCUCCCAACACUUUCCAUGCUAGAUACAUCAUAGGCGGUUCCCAAACAGAAAAUAAUGUUUAUUCAUUUUUCCACCAUACGUCCACUUUCCAUGGCUAACCGUAUCCACGGGUGCCCUCCAUACCAACACUUUACAAGGAAUUUAUUAUUUGACAACAUAAAUUAAAUUCAUUUUUCAUUUUGGGACUAGGCAUCCCUAAUACCUUUGUCGUACUCUCGUGCAAUGACUAGUGAAUAAACACUCAUCGUGAUAAUAACACAUCUAGCAUGGAAAAUAUUGGCCACCCCUCACCACCUUGCGAGCGGUACAAGCACACAAAAGAGAAAAUUAUUUUGAAAAUUAGAGAUGGCACAUGCAAAUUUGCUUAGAACGACACAGAAAUACCACAUAUAGGUAGGUAUAGUGGACUGAUAUGGAAAAACUGGUUUAAAGAGUUUUGGAUGCACAAGUAGUGAUCAUACUUAGUGCAAAAUGAAGGCUAGCAAAAAGAUUGAUAAGCGACCAACCAAGAAACGAAAAAUCUCGUACCCAAGCAUUAAGCAUAAGUAACACCAAAUAAUGUACCACAAGUAGGAUAUAAAUUUCAUUGCAUAACUACUGAUUUUCGUGCUUGCAUAGGGAAUCACAAACUUUAACACCAAUAUUCUUACUAAAGCAUAAUUACUCAUCAACAUGACUCACAUAUCAUAUCUUCAUAUCUCAAAACCAUUACUAAGAAUCAAGUUUAUUUUGUCCAAUGAUCUUCAUGAAAGUUUUUAUUAUAUCCUUCUUGGAUAUCUAUCACUUUGGGACUAUUUUCAUAUGUUGCUUUUGAUAAGCUCAAACAAAUUUAAGUGAAGAACAUGAACAUAAUAUUUCUUUAUCUCAAAAUAAUCUAAGUGAAGCAAGAGAGAAUUUCUUCAAAAAUAACAAAGCACACCUUGCUCAAAAAGAUAUAAGUGAAGCACUAGAGCAAUUCCAUGGCUCUAAAAAUUGAAGUGAAGCAUAGGAUCAAGCAUAGCAUAAUUUUUGGAUCUCUCAAAAAGGUGUGCCCAACAAGGAUUCAAGACUUAAAAUACAAAGCGAAACAAGCAAAGACUCAAAUCAUACAAGACGCUCCAAUCAAAACUCAUAAUAUGUGACGAAUAAAAAUAUAGUUCCAAGUAAAAUAUCGAUGAUUGUUAGAAGAAAGAGGGGAUGCCACUCGGGGGCAUCCCCAAGCUUAGUUGCGUGCUACUUGGGGUGCCUCGGCCAUUCCCAAGCUUAGCCUUUUUCUAAUCCUUAUCCCUUCAUCCAUCGUAAGAUCACCCAAAACUUGAAAACUUCAAUCACACAAAACUCAACAAAACCUUCGUGAGAUCCGUUAGUAUAAGAAAGCAAACCACUACUAUAAGUACUGUUGCAACCCAUUCAUAUUUUAUUUUUGCAUUAUAUCUACUGUAUUCCAACUUUUCUGUGGUUAAAACUCUUCAAAGAAAACCAUAGAAUCAUUGAAACAAGCACACAACGCAAAGAAAAUGGAAUCUAUAAAAAACAGAACAAUCUAUAGAAAUCUGACUACUUCGAAUACUUAUAUAAAUCCCAAAAUUCUGAGAAAUUAGGACGACGUGAAUAAUUUGUUUAUUAAUCUUCUGCAAAAAGAAUCAACUCAAAAUCAAUUUUCUGGUGAAAAUGAAAAAUAAUUUCGUGAGCGUAAAAGUUUCUGUUUUUCAGCUAGAUCAAAUCAAUUCUCACCCAAAUCAUCCCAAAGGCCUUGCUUGGAAAAAACAAUGAUUUAAACCACAAAACACAUCUAAUCAGAGGCAUACUUGUGUAUUUUAUUGAAAACAGCAAGAAAACCAAAAAACAAAAAGAUACAUGUUGGGUUGCCUCCCAACGAGCGCUAUCGUUUUACGCCCCUAGCUAGGCAUAACACGAAGGAUCUAAGUUUUGUCAUCUUUAGUUCUAGAUCCAUACGAUGCCUCAUGAUUGAUUCAUAUGGUGGCCUAAUUCUCGUUCUAAGGAAGUGUUCAAUACCCUUCCUUAGUGGAAAUUGAAAUUUAACAUUGCCUUCUUUCAUAUCAAUCACGACACCAAUAGUACAUAAAAACGGUCUACCAAGUAUAAUUGGAGAAGACAGAUUGCAAUCAAUAUCAAGAACAAUAAAAUCUAUGGGCACAUAAUUUCUAUUUGCAAGAAUAAUAACAUCAUUAAUUCUUCCCAUAGGCUUUUUAAUAGUAGAAUCCGCUAAGUGCAAAUUUAAAGAGCGUUCUUCAAUAUCGGUAAGACCAAGCACAUCACAUAAAGACUUCAGAAUUGUAGAAACACUAGCACCCAAGUCACAUAAAAAAACACUCAUAAAUUUUAAUCUUGACUUUGAUGGUAGGUUCCCAUUCAUCAUGCAACUUUCUAGGAACUGAAACUUCUAAUUCCAACUUUUCUUCAAAAGAUUUCAUCAUAGCAUCAACAAUAUGUUUAGUGAAAGCUUUAUUUUGUUCAUAAGCAUGGGGUGAAUUUAUCAUGAAUUGCAACAAAUAAAUACGAUCAACCAAAGAGCAACUAUCAUAAUUAAAUUCUUUGUAAUCCAAAAUAGUGGGCACUUAUUCAAACCCACUUUUAUCAAUUUUCUCAACAAGAUUUUCACCCUCCGAAUUAUAGGGACGCCUUCUAACUAAAGUUGACUCUUCCCCAAUCCAUUUUUCAUCAAUAUUAAUUUUACUAAACAAAGAAUCAAUAGAAGAAGCACCAAUCGUUUUAAGAUCUUCAUCACUUUUAUGAAAGUAAUCACUAGAAACCGCCCUUUCUAAAAAUUCUCUUUUAGCUCUAAGCAUAGCGGUUCUUUUCUUACUUUCAUCCAUAGAAACAUAAAGAGAUUUAAUUGAUUCUUCAACUUUAGGCACAAAAUUUUUCAUCUUGAGAGUUUCUACAUCAUGAGAACUUAUAUCAAUACUUCUAGACAUAUCAUCAACUUUAUUCAACUUUUCUUCUAUCUAAGCAUUGGAAACUUUUUGAGUAUUGAUAAAUUCUUUAAUAUUAUUCUCAAGAUCAGAGGUGUUUCUAUUAUUAUUAUAAGUAGGAUUACCAUAAUUAUUAGUGGAAUUACUAGGAAAAGACCUAGGAUUAAAAUUACCUCUAUAAGCAUUGUGUAUUGAAAUUGUUUUGCGAGAUAAAAUUCACAUCUAUGGAGUCACUAUUUUGCUCAAUCAAGGUAGACAAAGGCACAUCAUUAAAAUCAAUAGGAGCACUUUUAUUAGCAACCAACUUCAUAAGAGCAUCAACCUUUUCAAUCAAAGAAUUUAUUUCUUCUACCGAAUUGACCUUUUUACUAGUAGGAGCUCUUUUGAUAUGCCAUUGUGAGUAAUUGGCCAUAAUAUUGCCUAGCAAUUUAGUAGCUUCACCCAAAGUAAUUUCCAUAAAGGUACCACCAUGGUGGAGUCCAAAAGAUUACAAGAAACAAAAUUCAACCUCGCAUAAAAUUUUUGUAUGAUCAUCCAAAGAUUCAACCCAUGAGUUGGGCAAUUCCUUAGCAUCAAUUUCAUCCUUUUCCAAGAUUGUGCAACAUGCUCAUGUUCAAGUUGCCUAAAAUUCAUGAUCUGGGUUCUAAGAGAAAUGAUUUUUGUGGGCAGAAAAUACUUAGUAAUAAAAGCAUCCUUGCACUUGUUCCAAGAAUUGAUACUAUUGCAAGGCAAAGAAGAAAACCAAAUUUUUGCGCAAUCUCGCAAAGAAAACAGAAACAAUUUCAACUUCACAACAUCAUUGUCCACAUCUUUUUUCUUUUGCAUAUCGCAUAAUUCCAUGAAUGUGUUAAGAUGGGACAAGGCAUCCUCAUUAGGACUACCGACAAAUUGAUCUUUCAUGACAAGAUUCAACAAAAAAGUAUUAAUAUCACAAGACUCCGCACUAGUGGUGGGACGAGCAAUCAGAGUGCUAAUAAAACCAUUGUUAUUGGUAUUUGAGAAAUCACACAACUUGGCGUUCUCUUGAGUCAUGAUGACUUCACAAGAAGAUUGCACUGAAAAACAGAUCUGACGAGAAAACGGCGAACGAAAAAGAGGGCGAAUAAAACGGCAAAUUUUUGUGAAGUGGGGGAGAGGAAAAUGAGAGGUAAAUGGCAAAUAAUGUAAAUUACGAGGAGAUGAGAUUUGUGAUUAGGAACCUAGUUGAUGUUGAAGAUCCUUCCCGAUAACGGCGCCAGAAAUUCCUUUUGACGCCUGCUUGAACUAUGUCGGUAUUUCCCCAAAGAGGAAGGAAUGAUGCAGCACAGGGACAGUAGGUAUUUCCCUCAGUGAUGGGACCAAGGUUAUCGAACGAGUAGGAGAACAAAUCAACACAACGUAAACAACCCCUGCACACAAGUAACGAAUAUUCGCAACCCGACGUGUUAAAGGGGUUGUCAAUCCCUUUCGGGUAACGGUGCCUCAAAUUGGCGAGAAGACAUGAUAAAGUUGUGAUAGAUAGGAUAAAUUGAUCGCAAAUAAAAUAAAGUGCAACAAGGUAUUUUUGUAUUUUUGGUUUAAUAGAUCUGAAAAUAAAAGCAAAGUAAAAUAGAUCGCAAAGGCAAAUAUGAUGAAAAGAGACCCGGGGGCCGUAUGUUUCACUAGUGGCUUCUCUCGAGAAAAAAAUAGCAAACAGUGGGAAAACAAUUACUGUUGGGCAAUUGAUAGAACUUCAAAUAAUCAUGAGGAUAUCCAUGCAAUGAUCAUUAUAUAGGCAUCAUGUCCAAGAUUAGUAGACCAACUCCUGCCUGCAUCUACUACUAUUACUCCACACAUCGACCGCUAUCCAACAUGCAUCUACUGUAUUAAGUUCAUGGGAAAACGGAGUAAUGCAAUAAGAACGAUGACAUGAUGUAGACAAGAACUAUUUAUGUAGAAAUAGACCCCCGAUGACCCACAAGUAUAGGGGAUCUAUUGUAGCCCUUUCGAUAAGUAAGAUUGUCAAACCCAACGAGGAGCAGAAGGAAAUGACAAGCGGUUUUCAGUAAGGUAUUCUUUGCAAGCACUGAAAUUAUCGGUAAUAGAUAGUUUUGUGAUUAGGUAAUCCGUAAUGGGUAACAAGUAACAAUAGUAAACAAGGUGCAGCAUGGUGGCCCAAUCCUUUUUGUAGCAAAGGACAAGCCUAGAAAAACUCUUAUAUAAAGCAAAGCGUUCCCGAGGACACAUGGGAAUUACUGUCAAGCUAGUUUUCAUCAUGCUCAUAUGAUUCACGUUCAUUACUUUGAUAAUUUGAUAUGUGGGUGGACCGGUGCUUGGUCACUGCCCUUCCUUGGACAAGCAUCCCACUUAUGAUUAACCCCUCUCGCAAGCAUCCGCAACUACGAAAGAAGAAUUAAGGUAAACCUAACCAUAUCAUGAAACAUAUGGAUCCAAUUCAGCCCCUCACGAAGCAACACAUAAACUAGGGUUUAAGCUCUGUCACUCUAGCAACCCAUCAUCUACUUAUUACUUCCCAAUGCCUUCCCCUAGGCCCAAAUCAUGGUGAAGAGUCAUGUAGUCGAUGUUCACAUAACACCACUAGAGGAGAGACAACAUACAUCUCAUCAAAAUACCGAACGAAUACCAAAUUCACAUGUUUACUUAUAACAAGACUUAUCCCAUGUCCUCAAGAUCAAACCUAACUACUCACAAAUCAUAUUCAUGUUCAUAAUCAGAGGGGUAUUAAUAUGCAUUAAGGAUCUGAACAUAUGAUCUUCCAUCAAAUAAACCAACUAGUAUCAACUAAAAGGAGUAAUCAACACUAGUAGCAACCCAUAGGUACCAAUAUGAGGUUUUGAGACAAAGAUCGUAUACAAGAGAUGAACUAGGGUUUGAGAAGAGAUGGUGCUGGUGAAGAUGUUGAUGGAGAUUGACCUCCUCUUGAUGAGAGGAUCGAUGGUGAUGAUGAUGGCGACAAUUUCCCCCUCCCGGAGGGAUGUUUCCCCGGUAGAACAGCUCCGCCGGAGCCCUAGAUUGGUCCUGCCCAGGUUCCGCCUCGAGACAACGGCGCUUCGUCUCGAAAGCUUCCUUAUGAUUUUUUCCAUGGAAAAAUACACCAUAUAGCAGAAGAUGGACGUCGGGGGCCCGCCAAGUAGCCCACGAGGCAGGGGGCAUGCCCAAGGGGGUAGGGCGCACCCUCCACCCUCGUGCCUGGUGGGUGGCCCCCUCUGGUGCUUUCUUCUCCCAAUAUUUUUAAUAUAUUCCAAAACUGACUUUCUGGAGUUUCAGGACUUUUGGAGUUGUGCAGAAUAGGUCUCUAAUAUUUGCUCCUUUUCUAGCCCAGAAUUCAAGCUACCGACAUUCUCCCUCUUCGUGUAAACCUUAUAAAAUAAGAGAGAAAAGGCAUAAGUAUUGUGACAUAAUGUGUAGUAACAACCCAUAAUGCAAUAAAUAUUGAUAUAAAGGCAUGAUGCAAAAUGGAUGUAUCAACUCCCCCAAGGUUAGACCUCGCUUGUCCUCAAGCGAAAGCCAAUAUCAAAAAAUAUGUCCACAUGUUUAGAGAUAGAGGUGUCGAUAAAAUAAAAUACGGACAUGAGGUCAUCAUGAUCAUCUUUAGAACAACAACAUAUAUAUUGUCAUAUGAUUUCUUAUGCUAAAGUACCAAUCUAUUCACAAUGUAAAGUAUGAAUCAGAAACUUCAUUGAAAACUAACAAACUAUGAUCUCGGUCAUUGAAGCAAUUGCAAUUUAUCAUAACAUCGGAAAGAGUCAAUAUAAGAGCUUUUCAACAAGUCCACAUACUCAACUAUCAUUUAGUCUUUCACAAUUGCUAACACUCACGUGAUACUUAUGGGUAUGAAGUUUCAAUCGGACACAGAGAAAGAUAGGGGCUUAUAGUUUCGCCUCCCAACCUUUUACCUCAAGGGUAAUGUCAAGAAUAAUACUUUAUGAAAACCUACAUCCAAGUGGAUAUAUAUAUCAGGAUCUUUCCAACACGUAGUGCUUGCCAAAGGAUAAAGUGUAAAAAGGAAAGGUGAAGAUCACCAUGACUCUUAUAUAAGGGUAGAUGGUAAAAAUAAAAGAUAGUCCCUUCGCAGAGGGAAGCAGAGGUUGUCAUCCACUUUUAUGGUUGGAUGCACAAAAUCUUAAUGCAAAAGAAUGUCACUUUAUAUUGCCACUUGUGAUAUGGACCUUUAUUAUGCAGUCUGUCGCUUUUAUUUCUUCCAUAUCACAAGCUCGUAUAAAACUUAUUUUCUUCACGGUAAUAGAUCAUACAUAUUUAGAGAGCAAUUUUUAUUGCUUGCACCGAUGACAACUUACUUGAAGGAUCUUACUCAAUCCAUAGGUAGGUAUGGUGGACUCUCAUGGCAAAACUGGGUUUAGGGAUGUUUGGAAGCACAAGUAGUAUCUCUACUUGGUGCAAAGAAUUUGGCUAACAUGAGGGGGAAAGGCAAGCUCAACAUGUUGGAUGAUCCAUGACAAUAUAACUUAUUAGGAUAUAAGGAAACAUAUCCCAUUACAUUUUCUUCCUUGUCCAACAUCAACUUUUUAGCAUGUCAUAUUUUAAUGAGCGCUCACAAUCAUAAAAGAUGUCCAAGAUAGUAUAUUUAUAUGUGAAAAUCUCUCUUUCUUUAUUACUUCCUAUUAAUUGCAACGAUGACCAAAACUAUGUUUGUCAACUCUCAACAACUUUUGUUCAUCAUACUCUUUAUAUGUGAAGUCAUUACUCUCCAUAAGAUCAAUAUGAUCUUUUUAUUUCUUUUUAUUCCUUCUUUUAUUCCCUCAAGAUCAUAGCAAGAUAGCAAAGCUCUCAACUCAAAACUAAUCUUUAUUAUAUAUAGCUCACGGACUCGAUUACAUAGAUAGAGAUCAAAACAAAACUCAAAGCUAGAUCAUACUAAAACUUUAUUCUAGUAGAUCAAGAUAUAACCAAAAGGAUCGAACUAAGAAAAACGGUAAAGAUAGAAGUGUGAUGGUGAUACGAUACCGGGGCGCCUCCCCGAAGCUUGGCAGUUGCCAAGGGGAGUGCCCAUUCCCAUGUGUUUAUGUCUCUUUCUUCGGAGGUGGUGAUGAUGGAGUUGUUGACCAUGUAGGCUUGUCGUCCAUCUUCCAAGGCAUAGGCUCACCAUCAUAGAAGGAUGGACGAGUCUCCGGGAUUCUCAAAUCUGCAGCCAAACUCAUCCUCUUGAAUCUAUAUUCAUACUCACAGUUUUGGUUUUGCAGGUCAUAGAUCUGGGCCUGGAGGUGCUCGAUUUUCUUGUGAAGCUUGAAGAUGGCCUCCCCGAUGUUCUUGGCAUCCAGCUUCUGGUUGUUGGUGAACUCCGCGAUCAUCAUAUGAUUGACAUUGAGUCCGCGUUCCACCAUCCCUUGGCACUUGAAAACUUGUUGCUCCAUUGCUUUGAGUCUUGUCUCCAUGCUUCCGGUCCUUCUCGGUCCCUCAACAUUGGGGAUGUGCAGCACCCCCUCACGCAUCUCAACGGUUUGAGGGUGUUGCAGCACCUCCGCGAGGUAAGGGUUGAUGACCUUCUCGAAAAACUAGUCCUUGGGGGCGUUUGGAGACAUCAUGGUGAUCUAGAUCUGUCAGAAAAACAUCUCGGAACAAAAGCAGAGGAUUUUGUCAUGGUACGGUGGUCAAAACCUUCGGGAGAUUAUAUAAUGAAUUUUUACUGACCAAAAGAAGUAUCGUGCAAGAAAACGGAGUCUGGAGGGCACAUGAGGUGGCCACGAGGCGGGGGGCAUGCCCAUGGGGGUAGGGCGCGCCCUCCACCCUCGUGGACGCCUCGUGUCUCUUUUAGACUACUUUUAAUUUUCCUAUUUUUUUAAAUAUUCCAAAAUGGCGAAAGUUGAUAUUUGAACAGUUUUGGAGUCGGUUUACUUACCAUACCACAUACCUAUUCCUUUUCGGAGUCUGAAACAUUCUGGAAAGUGUCCCUUGUGUACUCCUACGGGGUUACGGUGUCAAUGACAUUGGUUUCAACAUUUAUGGGAUUACCUGAGAUAUAAUGUUUGAUUCUUUGACUGUUUACCACCUUCGGAUUUGUGCCUUCGGCGUUGUUGAUUUUGAUGGCACCGAAACGAUAGACCUCCUCGAUAAUGUAAGGACCUUCCCAUUUAGAGAGAAGUUUUCCUGCAAAAAAUCUUAAACAAGAGUUGUAUAGCAAAACAUAAUCACCUACAUUAAACUCACGCUUUUGUAUCGUUUUGUAAUGCCAUCUUUUAACUUUUUCUUUAAACAAUUUGGCGUUCUUAUAGGCCUUGGUUCUCCAUUCAUCAAGUGAGCUAAUGUCAAAUAGCCUCUUCUCACUGGCAAGUUUGAAAUCAUAAUUGAGCUCUUUAAUGGCCCAAUAUGCCUUAUGUUCUAGUUCAAGAGGUAAGUGACAUGCUUUUCUAUAAACCAUUUUAUACGGAGACAUACCCAUAGGAUUUUUAUAUGCAGUUCUAUAAGCCCAUAAUGCAUCAUCAAGUUUAUAGGACCAAUUCUUUCUAGAUCUAUUAACAGUCUUUUCAAAAUCAAUUUAAUCUCUCUAUUACUCUAUUCUACUUGUCCACUAGACUGAGGAUGGUAUGGAGAUGCAAUUCUAUGAUUAACAUCAUACUUAGCAAGCAUUUUACGAAAAGCGCCAUGAGUAAAAUGUGAACCACCAUCAGUCAUUAAGUAUCUAGGGACUCCAAAUCUCGGAAAAAUAACUUCUUUAAGCAUCUUAAUAGAGGUGUUAUGAUCAACACUACUAGUUGGAAUAGCUUCUACCCACUUAGUAACAUAAUCAACAACAACUAAAAUAUGUGUAUACCCAUUAGAGGAAGGAAAAGGUCCCAUAUAAUCAAAGCCCCAAACAUCAAAUGGUUCAAUAACAAGUGAAUAAUUCAUAGGCAUUUCUUGUCAUCUACUAAUAUUACCAAUUCUUUGGCAUUCAUCGCAAGACAAGACAAACUUACGGGCAUCUUUGAAAAGAGUAGGCUAAUAAAAGCCGGAUUGCAAUACCUUAUGUGCAAUUCUAUCUCCAGUGUGGUAUCCUCCGUAAGCCUCAGAGUGACACUUGCGUAGGAUCUGUUCCUAUUCAUGCUCAGGUACAAAAUGUCUAAUAACACCAUAUACUCCUUUAUAAAGGUGUGGGUCAUCCCAAAAGUAAUGUCUUAAAUCAUAGAAAAACUUUUUCUUUUGCUGGUAUGUGAAACUAGGUGGUAUAAAUUUAGCAACAAUGUAAUUAGCAUAAUCAGCAUACCAUGGAGCAGUAUGAGAAGCAUUUACGACAGCUAAUUGUUCAUGAGGAAAGCUAUCAUCAAUAGGUAGUGGGUCAUCAAGAACAUUUUUUGACCUAGACAAGUUGUCUGCAACAUGAUUCUCAGCUCCCUUUCUAUCAAUAAUAAUAUGCAAAUCAAAUUCUUUUAGCAAGAGAACCCAUCUAAUAAGUCUAGGUUUAGCAUCUUUCUUUUCCAUAAGAUAUUUAAUAGCAGCAUGAUCGGUGUGAACAGUCACUUUGGAAUCAACAAUAUAAGGUCUGAACUUAUCACAAGCAAAUACGACUGCUAAAAAUUCUUUUUCAGUAGUAGCAUAAUUUCUCUGGGCACUGUCUAGAGUUUUACUAGCAUAUUGGAUAACAUUUAAUUUCUUAUCAACUCUUUGUCCUAGAACAGCACCAACAACAUAAUCACUACUAUCACACAUAAUUUCAAAGGGUAAAUUCCAAUCAGGUGGCUGAACAAUAGGUGCCGCAAUCAAGGCCUUCUUAAGUAUUUCAAAUGCUUCUACACAAUCAUCAUAAAAAACAAAAGGAACAUCUUUUUGUAAGAGAUUGGUCAGAGGCCUAGAAAUUUUAGAGAAGUCUUUAAUUAAACCUCCUAUAAAAACCAGCAUGACCAAGGAAACUUCUUAUACCUUUGAUAUCUUUAGGACACGGCAUCUUUUCAAUAGCAUCUACUUUAGCUUUAUCAACUUCAAUACCUCUUUCGGAAAUUUUAUGCCCCAAGACAAUACCUUCAUUAACCAUAAAGUGGCACUUCUCCCAAUUCAAGACAAGAUUAGUUUCUUCGCAUCUCUGCAAAACUCGAUCAAGGUUGCUUAAGAAAUCAUCAAAAGAAUUUCCGUAAACAGAGAAAUCAUCCUUGAAAACCUCAACAAUCUUUUCACAAAAGUCAGAGAAUAUAGCAGUCAUACAUCUUUGAAAGGUAGCAGGUGCAUUGCAUAAACCAAAAGGCAUAUGUCUAUAAGCAAAUGUACUAAAAGGGAAAGUAAAAGUGGUCUUUUCCUGAUCCUCUUUUGACACAGGUAUUUGGGAGAAACCAGAAUAACCAUCUAGAAAGCAAAAAUGUGUAUGUUUGGAUAAUCUUUCUAGCAUUUGAUCAAUAAAAGGUAAAGGGUAAUGAUCUUUUCUAAUAGCUUUAUUGAAUUUGCGGAAUCAAUUACUAUUCUAUAACAUGUAACAAUUGUUUGUGGGAUCAAUUCAUCCUUAUCAUUAGGAACAACAGUAAUACCUCCCUUCUUAGGGACACAAUGGACAUGACUUACCCACUGACUAUCAGCAAUAGGAUAAAUUAUACCUGCCUCUAGAAGCUUUAGUAUUUCAUUUCUUACCACUUCUUUUAUCUUAGGAUUUAACCGUCGUUGAUGAUCAACAACUGGUUCAGCAUCGUUCUCCAGUUUUAUUUUGUGCUGGCAUAGAGUGGGACUAAUGCCAUUAAGAUCAUCAAGAGUAUAUCCAAUAGCAGCAUGGUGCUUCUUCAGAGUUUUCAAUAAUUUCUCUUCUUCAUUCUCUGAAAGGUUAGCACCAAUAAUAACAGGAUAUAUCUUCUUUUCAUCAAGAUAAGCAUAUUUAAGAGUAUCGGGUAAUUGUUUAAGCUCAAACAUAGGAUCACCCUUGGGUGGAGGAGGAUCCCCUAGGAUUUCAAUAGGCAAGUUAUGUUUCAAAAUAGGUCCCUGUUUAAAGAAUACUUCGUCUAUUUCCCUUCUUUCAUUCAUAAACAUAUCAUUUUCAUGGUCUACCAAAUAUUGUUCUAUAGGAUCAUUAAGAGGCACAUCAAUAGAAGCAAGACCAAUAAUUUCAUCUUUACUAGGCAAUUCUUUAUCAUGGGGUUGUGUACGAAAUUUAGCAAAAUUAAAAUCAUGAGACAUAUCCCCUAGACCGACAGUAACAAUAUCCUUUUCGCUAUCUAUCUUAGCAUUAACAGUAUUCAAGAAGGGUCUACCAAAUAUAAUGGGACAAAAGUCAUCUUGUGGGGAACCAAGAACAAGAAAAUUAGUAGGGUAUUUAAUUUUCCCACACAAUACUUCAACAUCUCUAACAAUCCCAAUUGGUGAAAUAGUUUCUCUAUUGGCAAGCUUAAUUGUAACACCAAUACCUUCUAUUUCGACAGGUGCAAUAUCAUGCAUAAUUUCUUUGUAUAAGGAAUGAGUAUUGCACUCACACUAGCACCAAAAUACAUAAGCCAUGAUAACAAUGCUCUCCUAUUUUAACAGAAACAAUAGGCAUGCCAACAACAUGUCUAUGUUUAUUUUUAGUAUUAGGUUUGGCAAUUCUAGGAGCUUCAUCACAGAAAUAAAUAACAUGCCCAUCAAUAUUAUCGACCAAGAGAUCUUUAACCAUAGCAAUACUAGGUUCAACUUUAAUUUGCUCAGGGGGUGUAGGUUUUCUAGCAUUACUCUUACAAACCAUAGUUGAAGCUUUAGCAUGAUCCUUUAUUCUAACAGGAAAAGGUGGUUUCUCAAUAUAAGUAGUAGGAACAAUAGGAUCAACAUCAUAAGUAAUAGUUUUUUCUUCAACUUUAAUGGGUUCUACUACUUUCACUUCAAUGGGAGGAUGAUAUUUAAACUACUUCUCCUUAGGGAGAUCAACAUGAGUAGCAAAUGAUUCACAGAAAGAAGCUACUAUCUCAGAGUCAAGUCCAUAUUUAGUGCUAAAUUCACGAAAAGCAUCGGUAUCCAUAAAAGAUUUAACACAAUCAAACUUAGGGGUUAUACCUGACUCCUUACCUUCGUCGAGUUCCCAAUCUUCCGAGUUGCAUUUAUUUCUUUCCAAUAAAUCCCGUUUGAAUUCAAUAGUCUUCAUCAUAAAAGAACCAAUACAAGAAGUAUCGAGCAUGGAGCGAUCAUUAUGAGAAAGCUGAGCAUAAUUUUUUUUGAAUAAUAAUUUAUCUUGAGAGCUCAUGAUUGGGGCAUGAAUAUAACAUUGACUUAAGCCUCCCCCAAGCUUGAGUGAUACUUUCUCCUUCAUGAGGCCAAAAAUUAUAUAUAUAAUUACGAUCACGAUGAACCAGAUGCAUAGGAUAAAACUUCUGAUGAAAUUCCAAUUUCAAUCGGUUGUAGUUCCAUGAUCCAAUAUCAUCACAUAGCCUAAACCAUGUCAAUGCCUUUCCCUUCGAAGAUAAAGGGAAUACCUUCUUAUUGACAACAUCCUCGGGCAUACCUGCAAGCUUAAAUAAUCCACAAACUUCAUCCACAUAGAUUAGGUGCAUAUUGGGAUGUAAUGUUCCAUCUCCUGUAUAGGGAUUAGCUAGCAGUUUCUCUAUCAUGCCCGAAGGAAUUUCAAAGUAAAUAUUUUCAGUAGGUUCAGUAGGUUGAGGAGAAAAUCUUUGCUCUUAUGAUCAGGGUGAAGAUACCCCGAACAAGCCCCUCAAAGAUUAUUUUCCAUAGUAACAAGUGACAGUAAAUUUCAGCACACUAUAUAAUUGUUUCCUUACCAAAUUCCACCUACCAAAGGCGCUUCACUCCCCGGCAACGGCGCCAGAAAAGAGACUUGAUGACCCACAAGUAUAGGGGAUCUAUCGUAGUCCUUUCGAUAAGUAAGAGUGUCAAACCCAACGAGGAGCAGAAAGAAAUGACAAGCGGUUUUUAGUAAGGUAUUCUCUGCAAGCACUGAAAUUAUCGGUAACAGAUAGUUUUGUAAUAAGGUAAUUCGUAACGGGUAACAAGUAACAAUAGUAAAAAAGGUGCAGCAAGGUGGCCCAAUCCUUUUUGUAGCAAAUUACAAGCCUAUACAAACUCUUAUAUAAAGCAAAGCGCUCCCGAGGACACGUGGGAAUUACUGUUAAACUAGUUUUCAUCAUGCUCAUAUGGUUCGCGUUCAUUACUUUGAUAAUUUGAUACGUGGGUGGACCAGUGCUUGGGUAUUGCCCUUCCUUGGACAAGCAUCCCACUUAUGAUUAACCUCUCUCGCAAGCAUCCACAACUAUGAAAGAAGAAUUAAGGUAAACCUAACCAUAGCAUGAAACAUAUGGAUCCAAAUCAGCCCCUUACAAAGCAACACAUAAACUAGGGUUUAAGCUUCUGUCACUCUAGCAACCCAUCAUCUACUUAUUACUUCCCAAUCCUCCCCCUAGGCCCAAAUCAUGGUGAAGUGUCAUGUAGUCGACAUUCACAUAACACCACUAGAGGAGAGACAACAUACAUCUCAUCAAAAUAUCGAACGAAUACCCAAUUCACAUGAUUACUUAUAACAAGACUUCUCCCAUGUCCUCAGGAACAAAUGUAACUACUCCCAAAUCAUAUUCAUGUUCAUAAUCAGAGGGGUAUUAAUAUGCAUUAAUGAUCUGAACAUAUGAUCUUCCAUCGAAUAAACCAACUAGCAUCAACUACAAGGAGUAAUCAACACUACUAGCAACCCACAGGCACCAAUCUGAGGUUUUGAGACAAAGAUCGGAUACAAGAGAUGAACUGGGGUUUGAGAACAGAUGGUGCUGGUGAAUAUGUUGAUGGAGAUUGACCCCCUUCGUGAGGCACCAAUGGACCCAUAGGUCUACAAAGAACUACUCACGCAUCAUCGAAGAGGCACCAAUGGACAUGAUGAACCCCUUCGUGAUGGUGUCUAGAUUGGAUCUGGUGUUCCUGGAACUGGAGGCGGCUGGAAUUGAUUUUCGUCGACUCUCCUAGUGUUCUGGAAUAUUGGGGUAUUUAUAGAGCAAAGAGGCGGUGCUGGAGGCCACCAUGGUGGGCGUAACCCACCGGGGCACGCCUAGGCCUCUAGGUGUGCCCUGGUGUCUUGUGCUCACCAAGGGACGACCCUCUUAUACUUCUUUGGCCCACUGGAUGUAUUUUGGUCCAAAAAAAAUCCACAAAAAGUUUUGCUGGCGUUUGGACUCUAUUUGGUAUUGAUUUCAUGCGAUGUAAAAAACAAGCAGAAAACAACAACUGGCACUGGGCACUAUGUCAAUAGAUUAGUACCAAAAAAUGAUAUAAAAUGAUUGUAAAACAUCCAAGAAUGAUAAUAUAACAACAUGGAAAAAUCAGAAAUUAUAGAUACAUUGGGGACGUAUCAAGAGGUUAGCACACUAUACCCACACCACGGAACCCAUGGCCUCGCACUCCCAUUCGGGUGGACCAAUGACGUUCUGACAAAACUGAUCUAUUGCCCAUGACACUCUCCUAGCCACUCCGACUAACUCACCUCUAGGCUAGGUCUUGGGUGGCCCCGAUGUCAACCAAUGACAUCCAACGGCCACCAUUGUGGCAAAACAUAAGCGGUCCCAAUCAGGGACAAGAGAUCUCAAUACCAACUACGGGCACACAAGGUUAUGUCUGCUUACAGGGCCAGGCUAACGCACGCCCAUAACCUUCCCUCACUGAGGCACCGAUGAGAGACAUGACAAUAGACCGCAUUAGGGCCUUCCCAUAAAGGCAAAUGUGGUUGCAUAGGAAAAGCCUAGUUCAGUGGCGCCUGACCAACUUAAUGAGAAAAUUUAUCCCUAAAAUAUAACUGAUACUCCAAUAUCAUAUAUCCACCAGUAAACCAAGUCAUAAAAAUAUCCAACACACAAUCCAGAGAAUAAUAUAGACAUAACCUAAUACUCCGAAGGUAGCAUAAACACUAAGAGCAUGCUGAAUCCAAGAACGAUAAUACUACUAAUCCCAUAGCAAGAACGAGCUAUCCAGCUAAGAUCCACAUGCAAGAAUCAUCUACGAAAAUAAUACUCCAAAGCAACAUACCAACUACCAUCAUGAUAAUAAUCAUACUAGCCACUAAUAAUCCAAUGGCAACAUAUCAUCCAUCAACUGCAAGCAUAUAUCCUAGUAAUCCAAACAGUAGCAUGGCAAUAGCAAGAUUAAAAACAACUCUGAGAAAUGCCAUGCACACAGUCAUGUCGCUAAAGCAAUAUUUUAAACAAGUUCAAAUAAGUAAACCAUGUCACUGCAUUGCAAUCAUGUAAAUGGAGGUUGUGGCUUGCCUGGGAGGGGUGGAAUCACUGGAAAGAAGUGCGAGUAACUUGCGGAAAGAAUUGCCGGAAAAGUUUCUCUCUCGAAAAGGAUGAAUAAGGGCAAGGGCAAAAUGGUCAUUUUCAGAAUGUUAAAACAUGGUGAAAAUGAUUCCAUCGUAACGGGCUUGACAAAAUGAAGAAGUGGGCUUUGGAAUCACCUUAUCUGGAGUUAUGGUUGAAGAGUUAUGAUUGUUUUUCUACCAGGGACCUAUUUUAAUAAAAUCCUCACAAACAUGCCCUUGACUGAAAAAACAGAAAGGACACUAUCACAGAAUACGCUUUUAGAGAAUUGAAAACACAUUGCUGGCCAAAGGAGAUCAUUUCGGGAAAGGGAGACGUAUUCGGGCGAAUACGACUCCACUUAUCCACGCUGGUAGGGAGGGGUCAACGCCCGUGCAACUGCUAGGUGGGGUCUGCGGGAGGUGGGAUCCUCCUGUCAUCGGCUUCUACCUCUGUCGCCCGCGUGCGGCCGGGGGAGCAGCGGGCUCUGGUGAGGCUAGCCGGCGACUCCGGUCACCGCUCGUGAAGCACGGCCUACUAGCAUGCUCAAGGGGCGAGCCGCACCCGCCUGUGGGUAGUACGGGCGCUGGGGAGGUUGGAGGCGAGCAUGACUUCUACGCUGGCGGACGACAAUGUUGGGCGUCGGCUGUCUUGGCGCUCCGGUCCUCCAGCGAAGAGGGCGAAGAGAAGGGGAGGCUCAGCAUGCUCCGGGCGGUCGUCUGGCGGUGGAGAGAAGGAAGGAGGAGCUCGGCGUCGAGCCAAUUUAGGCCAAGGUUGAGGCGGGCACGACGAACAUGGGGGAGGAAGAUGGGACUCCGGCAAGGAUUUGCUGGGUUUGGGAGGUGUAGAAGGGAGUGGGGAGGCUGAUGGCAAAGGGAAACGACACCGGGGUGGCCUUAUAUAGCCAGAGCAAGGUGGUGCCGCACUGGCGUCGCCGUGGACACGUGGCCGGCGCCGCAGACGCGUGGGCACGCAUGUGAGUUCGGCGGUUGGCAAUGAGAGGGAACAGGGAGGAGCUCACGGGGUAGAGGGGGCCAAGGGACACGGGGAGGAAGAUGCCAUGGCGAGCUCAAAGCCAAACCGAGCACAGUGCGCCCGUGGUGCUCGGCGGAUAGCUCCGACAAGGAAGCGGAUGGAGGGGGAGAGGGGUCCAGGGGGGCGGCGACGAGGAGGAGAAGAUAUUGGACAUGGUCACACGUGCGAAGACGACGAGAGGAAGAGAGGCCGGAGAUAGGCGACAUCUUGGACGCAGCCACAACGAGCAGAGCACGUGAAUUGGCAUGCCACCUGCAUGGUCACCAUGCGAUACGGCAAAGAGAGGUCACGAGAGGAGGGGAAACCGUGUCUAGCAUUAUGUUCUUCCAAGAUGGAACAUUAAUGAGUCUAUGGCUGGGUCUGAGGUGAUCUGGUUAAAUGGUAGUCAUUGUCUAAAGUUUGAUGUAACAAACUUGGCUGUGCACUGGUGAUCAACAGGGAAUAGAUAAGGGCCAAAUAAGUUGUCUGGGGUGAUUAUCUAAGGAAAGACUACGAUCUUGGAGGUUUUGAGGAUAAUUGGAUCACAAAUGAACAAGAUUGCUUUGCAAGUGCAUAAUUGGUCCAGAAAAUGAGAUUUGGUUGAUGCACUUACAUAGAGAAGCAACUUGGGCUGAAAUUUGGCAAGGCAGGGUUAUUUGGCCAUAUGAAGAUGCUUUAAAAAUCUCAUACCAAAUGGACUUGUCAAAAUGGUACUUGUUUCACAAACAUCUCCUCCGUCCAGAAACUUGCAAUAAUUUUGGGGGCAAAAUGGCUUAAUGAAAUGGCCUCAAACUAGGUGGAGAGAUGUUAUAUAGAUAAGAGCAUGAUCUGGUAAUUUUUCAGAAUUAAUGAAGCAAUAUAAAUUAUACUUGCUUCACAACCUGAAAAUAUCAACAUAAUCAAAGAUUUGAAGUUGUGCUCACAUAAGUGAUUGUAUGGGGCUAAAAAUUGGAGGAGGGUAAUGAUAUGAGCACAUGAAGAGGCAAGCACAGUUUCAACUCAUUUGGAUACUCCUAGCUUGUAGUUCCUUCACAAUGGCUUCUGUUUGACAAAAACUUUGAAAAAUCACUAAGGAAGAUUUACUAGGCAAAUAAAGUGGAAUUUUGGCACGAGGCAAUUAUUUGGUCAUGAAAGAAUUCCCAAAAAGUUUGGGGGCAAACAAGAUAGGAUAAAUGGCACUUCCUUCACAAAAUGCCAUUCAGGAUAGAAUGGAAGCAUGAAUAUUGGAGGAAUAUUUUUGAACUGGCCAAGGAAGGAUUUGGGCAUAUUUGAGCAAUAUAUGACCCAAAGAAAUUAUGAGAAUUAUUUGGGAAUUUUUGGAUGGACAGAAAUAUAGGUUGCUUCACAACCUAGGGCAAAUAGGAGAAUUCCUUUAAUAGAAAAGGAAUAUUCCCAAUAAAGGAAUAUUGGGAUUUGGGCUAGGAUGGAAAUGGCAUGGUCUUGGGAUGAUUUUGAGAAUGAUGAACCACUUGGGAGAAGAGGAAAUGAUGAUCUCCCAGGUUUCAAGUCCACAGAUCCACUCCAAAAGAAAAACAGAGCAAAACCAAAUAAACCAAAAAGAAAAAAGAAAGGGGCCAAAAACCAGGUUGUCACAAACCUCCCCCCCUUAAAGAAAUCUCAUCCUUGAGAUUUGGUUGCCCAGGGAACAAAUAUAAACAUACCUUAAGGAAACUGUUUCCAACUCGGGUAUCCUUUUCCUUUGUUUGUUGUUCCCCUAAGAAUUUAUUAAGAUCUGCUUACUCUGCUCUGGGAUGGUUUGCUUCACCUUUCCCAAAUUUUGACGGGUCUUUCCUCAUAUACCAAAGUCUUAUGCUGAACUUGACACUCUCUUAUCUACGGGUGAUAUUUUGAGCAUGACUUUCAUUUGGUCAGGAAAAACCUUUUACAUAGGCCAUUAGGUUGUCCAAACAAUCACAUGCCUUCUGGGUUCAAACAAUACUCUUAAACCUUACGUUGUUGCAGGUCCUCUCAUAAAUAAAUCAAGCAGGCCGGCUGGCAAUCGGGUAGAUCCAUAUGUUCUAAGGGGGGGGGCUUUCUCCUCCUCAGUAGGUGCAAACCCUGGUUCUGUAAAUGAUUAUAACUGCCUUGGAGCUAGAUAAGCAAACCUUAUUCUGUUUGAGUAUGAUGGAUGUUACACACACUGCCAGAUACAAGCAAAAGCUUUCCAGCUAAGCUAGGAGUCAGAACGAACUCAUGAAGCUAUCCUUCUUCUUGCAUCUCAAGAUUCAAAUGGAAUUUUAUGCUGGGAAAUAAACUACCAAUUAGGGAAUGCGCAUCUCUAUUUCUGGAAUUCUUUGGUCUAGGCAAUCCAAAAGCGUGAAUCAUGGCCACUCUUCUGACGAGAUCCGACUGCCCAACAGAGAUACCGACUCUUGAUUUGCUACUUUGGCUUGAGCAUGAGAUAUUUACCAAAGUUUCGACUACCUUUAGUCACGGGUAAUACAAUGGAGUAUGGGCUUAUAGUUGUAUCAUACCUCAAACUAUAGCAUCUUGAGACUCGCCUGAUAGGGUGCUGGCUGGAAGAUACUUUUCAUGGCAGGUUGUUUGUGUACUUGAUUCUGUCAAUGAGUAUACUGGGUCUGGGCUGAUUGUUUUGGCUUUUGAUUUACCCAUGUUGUCGGUACACUCAUUUGUGGUAAUAAGCUGUGAGAUGCUUCAACACUGGCAUUGAAUUCAAACUAUUGAGGUUGCAAAGAAAUCUUGGAUCUGACUGAACAGACUUGGAUAUUCCACACUAACCAUUUUGGGUAGGUGCCAUGGGACAAGCAGGUCGGCGGAAUAUGAAGUCCUUGUACAACAGUAGGCUUUGGAGGGUAUGUCUUUGUGGAUCCAUAUGGAAUAAUGGCCCUCAACUGACUUGGGUAUCCAAACCCUGAUGGUAGUGAGAAAAUAAUUAUACCCUUGCUGUCAGUCUCAUCCUUUGACUGUCAUGAUUUUCUUUGUUAGUAUACCUUACUGAAAUAGUUUGGCCACAUAUGUUCUCGAUUCCUCGUAUGAGCAUGAAUGUGGUUAGUGCAAUAUUUUUGGAAUUAUUCCCUGUGCCUACUUUAUGACCUGGGUCCGCGCAUAUAUGAUAGGUGCUUGGGGCUUGUAGCUAUAUAGAGCUCAUUAUUGAGGCCAUUCAUACAAGAGGGUGACAAGGUUUCAUAAGAUUUCCUUGUCAGGUGCGGGGAUAAUGACCUUGGAAGUCGGUGUCCAGACUGUUGAUGUUGCGUUAUUGGCCUUGGCACUCGUCGAUUCUUGCACCACAUGAGGUGUAUCUCUGCUCAUCUUCAUUGGGAAUGACUCAUGAGUUUGUUGGAUCCUUACCUAUCUUAGGUAUAUCUGCUUGAUCAUUGUCGUAUCUCGUAUGAGUGACUAUUGUGACCGGGGUUGCAUGCUCACCAUAUGUAGGAACAAUAUGCCACCGAACACUCGAUUCUUGCGGUAGGCAUAUGUCUUGACUGAUUUGUACUUCUGACAGAAAUAUUGUUGAUCUGAUUCUUGAGAUGCACCGUCAUAUACUGCCAACUCACCGUAUAAUCUCUGAGGACGGUGCAAUAGUGUGGUACUGACGUGGACCGAGUGGCUUACAAGAGAAGCCAUUCGAGUAGCUUGCUGAGGAAGUCUCGAUUGCUUUUGCUCGAAGAUUUGGUCUGCGUAGCAUGCAGAAGAAGCUUGAUAGCUUAUAGAGGAAUCUUAACCUUUGUAUCGUGCUGGAGAUGUCUGGGUUCCGUACUCGAGAAGCUUCUCCUCAGGUUGCUUGUUGAGGAAGAAUUAGUUCCUUACAUCAGAAACUUUUACCGAGGUAUCUUGCAUUGGAAGACUAGGUAUCUUGGACAAGAAGCAAUCCAUGUAUCGUACUGAAAAAUCUUGAGGAGCCUUGCAUCAUAAGUUGCUUCCGAAAGCAUGUGGAGGAAGACUGAGUUUCUCAUAUCCAACUUUUCAUACUGUGAUAUACUGACUAAGAACCAUACACCCACCCAUAAUAUUCCGUGUUGGGUUACUUGCAUGAUAAAAUUAUUUGAUUGUCUUCCUUGAUCAUAGCUCAUUCUGGCUUUCCUUCUGAAAUAUAGCAUAGUUCCAAUUGCAUUCAUAGAUGAAUCAGACUUUGUAUAUAAAUCAUACCUUUGACUGGGAAUAUUCCAUUGGUCUUGUGCUUGCCUUAUCUUCUUGCUGUUUUGAUCAUUAUUUCUACGAAAGGGGCAUAACAGUAUGCAGACUUGCUCUUGAUAUUCGAUUAGGGAAACCAUUUAUAUACUGAGCAGAUAUUCCCAACAUAAUGCAGUCAACUUAGAAUCCCAUACUGUUUAGCUGAGCUUCCAUAUCUUUUCUAUCUUUGCUGCUUCUUCGAGUUCAGCGUCGGUUGAUGAACAACUCUUUAUAGGGAAAAAAUAAUGUAACACUGGGGCCCAAAAAGAAGCAAAUAAAACAAUUCAACUAAACAAAGGGGUAAAAAGGCAUACAAACCACACACAAACAAUAUCACAUGUAUGCUAUCCACACAAUAUGCACACCUACUUAAGCACACAAAUCUCGUGAAGUCUCCGGUACUGCAAUCUAACAUGCUAUGGCGAUGUGCACGAGGACAAAACAAUGUGUGGAAAAGUUGGUGUAAACAUUGCUACACCAAGUGUUAGCUUAGCCAGGUAACAACCUUGACUAGCUCGGAGGCGAGGACGUACUCGGUAACCAUAUAGCGGAACACGAAUGUCGCAACCACAUUAUUAUCAAGCAGACGGAAGGGAUUCAUACUCGUCCACGGAAUAGGACAGCAAGGAAAGUUGAGUCGGCUGACAUUGCCCUUUAAUGAUGACGAAGAUCAUUAAGGGUUGCCAACGCGACAAAGAGGCAUGUUUCGGGGCAGCAGCCUGUCUACCACCGAAACAAUAGGGAUAGCUGGAAGGAAGAGAUCGGUGUGAUACCUGAGCACCAUUUUCUGCAAACAGUGUCAGGAUCACUUGGCAUCACUCUAUUGGGACAGAAAUGACAUCAAACACCCAAGAAAAAGGGAAACUCGAGGAAUGCAGAAGCUGAGCUAUAGUGGAUCAAGAUCUGAUGCCAGCUACACUCACCAGAUAAAACCGUUAGCAGCAAAUACUAAGGCUAUAUGCAUGCUAUGCAACAACCAAAUGCAACAAACAAGGCAGACUCUAUACUGCCGAUUACUACCGCUCGCACUAACUAGGGCAUCCUACAACCACACCUGCUUUGAUACAAAGCCUAUGGCAUAAUGCCUGCUUGAACUAUGUCGGUAUUUCCCCAAAGAGGAAGGGAUGAUGCAUCACAGUGACGGUAGGUAUUUCCCUUAGUGAUGAGACCAAGGUUAUCGAACUAGUAGGAGAACCAAGCAACAUAACGUAAACAUCCCCUGCACACAAAUAACAAAUACUCGCAACCCGGCGUGUUAAAGGGGUUGUCAAUCCCUUUCGGGUAAUAGUGCCUCAAAUUGGCGAGAAGAUGUGAUAAAGUUGUGAUAGAUAGGAAAAAUAGAUCACAAACAAAAUAAAGUGCAACAAGGUACUUUUGUAUUUUUGGUUUAAUAGAUCUGAAAAUAAAAGCAAAGGAAAAAGAUUGCAAAGGCAAAUAUGAUGAGAAGAGACACGGGGCCCGUAGGUUUCACUAGUGGCUUCUCUCGAGAACAAUAUCAAACGGUGGGAAAACAAUUACUGUUGGGCAAUUGAUAGAACUUCAAAUAAUCAUGACGAUAUCCAGGCAAUGAUCAUCAUAUAGGCAUCACAUCCAAGAUUAGUAGACCGACUCCUGCCUGCAUCUACUACUAUUACUCCACACAUCGACCGCAACCCAGCAUGCAUCUAGUGUAUUAAGUUCAUGGAAAAACGUAGUAAUGCAAUAAGAACGAUUACAUGAUGUAGACAAGAUCUAUUUAUGUAGAAAUAGACCCCAUCUUGUUAUCCUUAAUAGCAAAAAUACAUACGUGUCGUUUCCCCUUCUGUCACUGGGAUCAAGCACCGUAAGAUCGAAACCAUCACAAAUCACCUUUUCCCAUUGCAAGAUAAAUAGAUCAAGUUGGCCAAACAAAACCCAAAUAUCGGAGAAGAAAUAUGAGGCUAUAAGCAAUCAUGCAUAUAAGAGAUCAAAGAAUACUCAAAUAAACUCAAAUAACUUUCAUGGAUAAAAACAUAGAUCUGAUCAUAAAAUCAAAGUUCAUCGGAUCCCAACAAACACACCGCAAAAAGACUUACAUCAUAUGGAUCUCCAAGAGACCAUUGUAUUGAGAAUCAAGAGAGAGAGAGAGAGGAAGCCAUCUAGCUACUAACUACAGACCCAUAGGUCUAUAAAGAACUACUCACGCAUCAUCGGAGAGGCACCAAUGGACAUGAUGAACCCCUCUGAGAUGGUGUCUAGAUUGGAUAUGGUGUUUCUGGAACUUGUGGCAGCUGGAAUUGAUUUUCGUCGACUCCCCUAGGGUUUCUGGAAUAUUGGGGUAUUUAUAGAGCAAAGAGGCGGUGCAGGAGGCCAUUGAGGUGGGCACAACCUACCUAGGCACGCCUAGGCAGGCGCGCCCAGGUGGGUUGUGCUCCCUCAGAGCUCCCCUCAGGUACUUUCUUGGCCCACUGGAUUUCUUCUGGUCCAAAAAAGUCCACAAAAAAUAUCGUUGCGUUUGGACUCCGUUUGAUAUUGAUUUCAUGCAAUGUAAAAAACAAGCAGAAAACAGCAACAAGCACUGGGCACUAUGUCAAUAGGUUAGUACCAAAAAAUGAUAUAAAAUGACUAUAAAAUGAUUGUAAAACAUCCAAGAAUGAUAAUAUAACAACAUGGAACAAUAAAAAAUUAUAGAUACGUUGGAGACGUAUUAACAUCCCCAAACUUAAUUCCUGCUCGUCCUCGAGUAGGUAAAUGAUAAAAGCAGAUUUUUUGAUGUGGAAUGCUGCCUAACAUGUUCAUCACAUAAUCUUUCCUUUGUAGCAUGGACAUUUGUACAUUUAUAUGGUUCAAAGCAAUAGUCUAGUUUCAACAUGAAGACUUUAAUACUCAAGCACACCAACAAGCAACCAUGUCUUUCAAGAUAUCAACACUAAAACAAGUUAUCCCUAGCCCAUUAUGCUCAACCAUUGAUCCAUUCAUGAAACACACUCGAAUAUUAGCUACACCCAAUGCUCAAAUAUGAUCAUAGUGCCCCUUAGUUGGUGCUUUAUAAGAGAAGAUGAAGACUCAAAUUCAAAAUAAAAAUUGCAUAAAGUAAAAGAAAGGCCCUUCGCAGAGGGAAGUAGGGAUUUGUAGAGGUGCCAGAGCUCAAUGCGAAAAUUGAGAGAUAAAAACAUUUUGGGAGGCAUACUUUUCCCACCUACGAAAACGGCUUAGAGCUCCCAACACUUUCCAUGCUAGAUACAUCAUAGGCGGUUCCCAAACAAAAAAUAAAGUUUAUUCCUUUUUCCAUCAUACUUUCACUUUCCAUGGCUAACCGUAUCUAUGGGUGCCCUCCAUACCAACACUUCCCAAGGAAUUUAUUAUUUGACAACAUAAAGUAAAUUCAUUUUUCAUUUCGGGACUGGGCAUCCCUAAUACCUUUGCCGUACUCUUGUGCAAUGACAAGUGAAUAAACACUCAUCAUGAGAAUAACACAUCUAGCAUGGAAAAUAUUGGCCACCCCUCACCGCCUCGUGAGCGGUACGAGCACACAAAAGAGAAAUUUAUUUUGAAAAUUAGAGAUGGCACAUGCAAUUUUUCUUAAAACGGCACGAAAAUACCACAUAUAGGUAGGUAUAGUGGACUCAUAUGGCAAAACUAGUUUAAAAGGUUUUGGAUGCACAAGUAGUGAUCAUAUUUAGUGCAAAACGAAGGCUAGCAAAAAGAUUGAGAAGCGACCAACCAAGAAACGAAAAAUCUCGUACCCAAGCAUUAAGCAUAACUAACACCGAAUAAUGCACCACAAGUAGGAUAUAAAUUUCAUUGCAUAACUAUUGACUUUCGUGCUUGCAUAAGGAAAUCACAAACCUUAACACCAAUAUUCUAACUAAAGCACAAUUACUCAUCAACAUGACUCACAUAUCAUAUCGUCAUAUCUCAAAACCAUUACUAAGCAUCAAGUUUAUUUUGUCCAAUGAUCAUCAUGAAAGUUUUUAUUAUAUCCUCCUUGGAUAUCUAUCACUUCGGGACUAGUUUCAUAUGUUGCCUUUGAUAAGCUCAAACAAAUAUAAGUGAAGAACAUGAGCAUAAUAUUUCUUUCUCUCAAGAUAAUCUAAGUGAAGCAAGAGAGUAUUUCUUAAAAAAAUUACUAACUCCCAAAUAAAUCUAAGUGAAGCAUAAGAGCAUUUCUUCAAAAAUAACAAAGCACAUCGUGCUCAAAAAUAGGAAGCCAUCUAGCUACUAACUACGAACCCGUAGGUCUACAAAGAACUACUCACUGGAGAGGCACCAAUGGACAUGAUGAACCCCUCUGAGAUGGUGUCUAGAUUGGAUCUGGUGUUUCUGGAACUUGCGGCGGCUGGAUUUUCGUCGACUCUCCUAGGGUUUCUGGUAUAUUGGGGUAUUUAUAGAGCAAAGAGGCGGUGUGGGAGGCCACCGAGGUGGGCACAACCCACCUGGGCGCGCCUGGGCCUCCGGGCAUGCCCUGGUGGGUUGUGCUCCCCUCGGAGCUCCCCUCAAGUACUUUCUUGGCCCACUGGAUGUCUUCUGGUCCAAAAAAAUCCACAAAAAGUUUCGCUGCAUGUGAACUCCGUUUGAUAUUGAUUUCCUGCGAUGUAAAAAACAAGGGUCUUUUACAUCUGUGUCCCUAACUUGAACCCACUACUCACAUUUGCCCCUAAUUCGAAAGCCUGCUCAAAAAUGCCCCUCCGCCAUUAGGUGCCCUUACAGAAAUAUCCUUCCGCUCCGUUUUCGUCUGGUCAAAGGGGUUUGACCGUUUACGGGGCGUUUACUGGACAUUUUGCCCCUCUAUUCACUUGUCACUUACACAUGGGACCUGCCCUAGGAAAAAAACUCUAGCUUAUCCCCUCUCUCUCACUUACUAAAAAAACUCUCUCACUCCUUGACAUGUGGGCCAGGGACCCACUUGCAUGGUCAACAUGCUCCGAAGCGAGGCUAGGCUCGGCUCGCGUGGAUCAGCCGGUGGCCGUCGCCGGCGAGAGGCGGCGCGCCUGCAAGUGAAGACCAAGGGGACGGGCUCCGGGUGGUCUGUCGAAGGAUUUGCAGGUGGUGGUCAAGAUGGAUGUCGGCGGGCAGCGAAGGCAUGCACGGGAGUGCCUGAGACAUUCUGCGGAGGACGCCGUCGCCGCCGUCGCGGUCAGAGGCUAGAUCGAGACCAAAGAGCAUGCCCUUGAACCCUGCUGGACGCCUCGCCUCUGCCCAGCACGGUGAAUCGGGCCUAUGGUCGCGUGUAGAUGAUGGCAGAGACUCCGAUCUCCGCCACAGAUGCGCCCUUGGCCUCCUAAAUCCGACUGCCCCGAGCCACCAUUGACCUUCCCGACGUCCGUGUCAUUGUCCCUGAAAUCACGCGGCCCUACUCCUCUCUUCCCCCGCUCGAUUUUGUUCCCGGAGCGCCCUGUCCGAAGCCGGCCGCCAUGACCGACCUCGACUGGCUUGGUCGUGUGCACGCGCCCACCUACCUACCUGUGCGGCGGCUCCACCCCUCCGUCGGACGACCCCGAGCCUCCCACCAUGGCCCUCACACACCGGCGCACUAUCCUUCGCCGACGGCGACCACCGGCCGAUCCGCCAAGCCUCGCCGUGACCACGAGCAAACAAGAGUUGACCCUGACAGUGGGUCCAAUGGCCCACAUGUCAGGGAGAGAGAGGGGGGGUUAUGAGAGAGGUAGACAAUUUUUUUUAAUAUUGGUGGGCUCCACGUGUAAGUCAGAGAUGGGAUGAGGGAGAGGGAGUUUUUUUUCUUUUCUUUUCCUAGGUAGGUGCCACGUGUAACUGGGAUGUGCACAGAGGGGCAAAAAUGUCGAGAAAACGUGAGGAAAACGGUCAAAGGCCUUUGACCUGACGGAAAUGGCAUGGAGGGGCAUUUCUGUAAGGGCACAUAACGGCGGAGGGGCAUUUUUGAGCAGGCUUUGGAAUUAGGGGUAUAUCUGAUUAGGUGGUUCGAGUUAGGGACAGAAAUGCAAAUGGCCCAAAAAACAAGUAGAAAACAACAACUGGCACUGGGCACUAUGUCAAUAGCUUAGUACCAAAAAAUGAUAUAUAAUGACUAUAAAAUGAUUGUAAAACAUCCAAGAAUGAUAAUAUAAUAGCAUGGAACAAUAAAAAAUUAUAGAUACAUUGGAGACGUAUCAUGGCACCCCGGCUCAGAGAGACCGGAAAGCCCCGUAUUCCAGCCCAGCGAUCAAGGAGAAGUCUUUUGGAAUACGACACUGCUUGACAUAGAACAAAUCAGGUCUUAUACAAAGGAUAAAUACAAGGGUCUGAUGUUACAAAGGAUCACAUCAGCGCGGCGACACUACCCCCAUGAUACUACACUUGCUCUAUGCUAGAAGCAAAACAACUCGUAGCAGCGGAAAUCUUCUAGCAGCGAAACAACGACGAAGGUGGUGAACUCCACCCCGCAGGGACUCUGGCUGGGACGCGAUCUAGCUCGCACAAUCGGUAACCUUGACAAGCAAUCAAUCAAUCAUGGCAUCACCUGCAAUAUGGCAUGACAUGCCAGGUCAGUACAUUGAAUGUACUUGCAAGCUCACAACAACCAAAAGCAUCAAGGCAAAACAACAUAGCAUUUAACACGUUAAUUAAUUAACUACUACCAGAAUGUGGAAACAAUAACUAAGCAUGAUAUACAACUACUAGAAUACAGAUGAAUCACCAUAUCAGAUCUCAACACCCAUCUCACUCUUGGCUAUCCGGCCAAGCAAUAUCCCAUCUCGAUCACCUCAUGAUCCACAUGAUCACCCCGUGAUAAAAACAUCCACAUGAUCACCUCGCGAUCAAAACAUCCACAUGAUCACCUCGUGAUCAAAACAUCCACAUGAUUGAUACGACUCCAACGUAUCUACUUUUCCAAACUCUUUUGCCCUUGUUUUGGACUCUAAUUUGCAUGAUUUGAAUGGAACUAACCCGUACUGAUGCUGUUUUCAGCAGAAUUGCCAUGGUGUUAUUUCUGUACAGAAAUAAAAGUUCUCGGAAUGACCUGAAACUUCACAGAGACACUUUUUGGAAUUAAUAAAAAUACUGGUGAAAGAAUUAGCUGAAGGGAUCCCACACCCUGGCCACGAGGGUGGGGGCGCGCCCUACCCCCCUGGGCGUGCCCGCUACCUCGUGCCCCCCUGGACCUCUACUGACCUCCACUCCAACUCCAUAUUUUCAUGUUCAGGGAGAAAAAAAACCAGGGAGAAGGAUUCAUCGUGUUUUAUGAUACGGAGCCGCCGCCAAGCCCUGUUCUUUCUUGCGAGGGCUGAUCUGGAGUCCGUUCGGGGCUCUGGAGAGGGGAAUCCGUCGCCAUCGUCAUCGUCAACCAUCCUCCAUCACUAAUUUCAUGAUGCUCACCACCGUGCGUGUGUAAUCCCAUUGUAGGCUUGCUAGACGGUGAUGGAUUGGAUGGGAUUUACCAUGUAAUCGAGUUAGUUUUGUUAGGGUUUGGUCCCUAGUAUCCAUUAUGUUCUAAGAUUGAUGUUGCUAUGACUUUGCCAUGCUUAAUGCUUGUCACUAGGGCCUGAGUGCCAUGAUUUCAGAUCUGAACCUAUUAUGUUUUCAUGAAUAUAUGAGUGUUCUUGAUCCUAUCUUGCAAGUUGUAGUGACCUACUACAUGUUAUGAUCCGACAACCCCGGAGUGACAAUAGUCGGGACACUUCCCGGUGAUUACCGUAGUUUGAGGAGUUCAUGUAUUCACUAAGUGGUAAUGCUUUGGUCCGGUUCUCUAUUAAAAGGAGGCCUUAAUAUCCCUUAGUUUCGAAUAGGACCCCACUGCCACGGGAGGGUAGGACAAAAGAUGUCAUGCAAGUUCUUUUCCAUAAGCGCGUAUGACUAUAUUUGGAAUACAUGCCUACAUUAUAUUGAUGAAAUGGAGCUAGUUUUGUGUCACCCUAUGUUAUAACUGUUGCAUGAUGAAUACCAUCCGACAUAAUUAUCCAUCAUUGAUCCAUUGCCUACGAGCUCGUUUCAUAUUGGUCUUUGCUAAGUAAGUUCUCCGUUGCCACUGUUACGAUUGCUACAAAACUGCUGAAAGAUCGUGGAUGUCGCCUAGAGGGGGGGAGGGUGAAUAGGCGCUUUAAAAUAAUUACGGUUUAGGCUUGAACAAAUGCGGAAUAAACCUAGCGGUUAAUUUGUCAAGCACAAAACCUACAACAACUAAGCUCACCUAUGUGCACCAACAACUUAUACUAAGGAAGAUAAACAACUAAGUGAUAGCAAGGUAUAUGAUAGGAAACAAUAUGGCUAUCACAAAGUAAAGUGCAUAAGUAAAGGGCUCGGGUAAGAGAUAACCGAGGCACGCGGAGACGAUGAUGUAUCCCGAAGUUCGCACCCUUGCGGAUGCUAAUCUCUGUUUGGAGCGGUGUGGAGGCACAAUGCUCCCCAAGAAGCCACUAGGGCCACCGUAAUCUCCUCACGCCCUCGCACAAUGCAAGAUGCCGUGAUUCCACUAAGGGACCCUUGAGGGCGGUCACCGAACCCGUACAAAUGGCAACCCUUGGGGGCGGUCACCAAACCCGUACACUUUGGUAACCCUUGGGGGCGGUCACCGGUACCCGUCAAAUUGCUCGGGACGAUCUCCACAACCUAAUUGGAGACCCCGACGCUUUCCCAGAGCUUUACACCACAAUGAUUGAGCUCCAAACAACACCAACCGUCUAGGGCGCCAAGGCACCCAAGAGGAACAAGCUCUAGGGUGCCCAAACACCCAAGAGUAAUAAGCUUCUUAAACUUCACUUCCACGUAUCACUGUGGAGAACUCAAAUCGAUGCACCAAAUGCAAUGGCAAGGGCACACAGAGUGCCCAAGUCCUUCUCUCCCAAAUCCCACCAAAGCAACUAAUGCUAGGGAGAAAAAUGAGAGGAAGAACAAAAGAAGAACACGAAGAACUCCAAGAUCUAGAUCCAAGGGUUCCCCUCACUUAGAGGAGAAAGUGAUUGGUUGGAAUGUGGAUCUAGAUCUCCUCUCUCUUUUCCCCCCAAAACUAGCAAGAAUCCAUGGAGGGAUUGAGAGAUAGCAGGCUCGAAGAAGGUCAACAAUGGGGGAAGAACACAAUCUCAAAGGAUAAGGUUCAUUGGGGAAGAAGACCCCCUUUUAUAGGAGGGGGAAAAUCCAACCGUUAUGCUCACAACCCGCAUAGAGCGGUACUACUGCUCCUACGAGCGGUACUACCGCUAGGGCGGCAGACGCCCAAUGAAACAACACUGCAGAGGGACGGUACUACUGCAGGAGUGGUACUACCGCCUGCCCUUGUAGUACUACCACGCGACUACGGAAGAAAAAUAAUAACUACCGCGCCUACAACUGCUGGAGCUAGCUACAAGAAAAAGUCGGCGCAGUACUACCGCUCACAGGGAGCGGUACUACCGCGUAGGGGCGGAUGUAAAAAAUUACAUCCAUGCCUACUACUGCACGAAACAGCGCCAGGGCACGAGGCAACGGUACUACCGAUCACCAGGAGCGGUACUACCGCGUAGGGUGCGGAAGUAAAAAAUUACUUCCGCGCCUACUUCUGUGCGCGCCAGCGUUCUGGGCUAGAGGCAGCGAUACUACCACUGGCCCCUGUGGUACUACUGCUCCCUUGAGCAGUACUACCGCACGCCAUAGAGGCUUUAGCACUUGGAUACCUUCAAAAUGCAGCUAAAGACAACAGAUGGAUCCAAUAAAAACAGAACUGCCAUUACUUCUGCAAAUGAGCUCCGAAUUGAGCAUACUCAAGCUUGUUGGAUACAAGACAACGAGUAGCAUCAAAACAUCAUAGAAGAAGCAUGUGAACUCCGUUUUCGAUGAACUCGAGCUUGUCAUCAAGAUGACCAUAAGCUCCAAAUCUCACAAAGAGAACCAAACAAGAAUCAAGAAAGAUGAUGCAAGGAUGCAAUGGUUUGAGCUCUCUACGAACAAUAUGAUCAAGCUACUCAUCGAGAGCCCCCCUUGAUAGUACAACCAUCAAUCCUAUAAGCCGGUCUCCCAACUACCACCAUGAGACCGGUAAAAUAGAAAGCCUAUCAAGGGCAAACCUUUUCCUUGCACAUGGUCCACUUGAGCUAGAUGAUGAUGAUCUUGACUCCCUCAAGUUGGACCACCUUUCUUGAUUGUGUUGGGUCGAGGAAGACUAGAUGAUUGCUCCCCCAUACUCCACUAUGGGUGAGCCACUCUUUGACACAUCUUCACAAGUCCACUGACACCAAAAUGGACGGCAAACUUCAAGCAUUUGAUCUCUUCGUGAUGCUCCACUCAAACUUGCACACCGCAACCUAACCCCACAAAGAAUUCUCACAAAGACCACGGGUUAGUACACAAAGCAUAAUUGACAGUGCUUACCAUACCAUGGUAUCACUUGAUCCCUCUUGGUACAUCUUCUAUGCUUUGUGUGUUGAUCAACUUGAUUCACUCUUUGACUUAGUCUUGAUCAACCUCUCACAAGACCAAUCUUUAGGUAAUUCCUUGAAUAGCACCUUGGUCGACACAAACUCUCCUUGAAACCAACACAUGUACUCCAAGAAAAGCCUAUGGACAAAACCUUCAAAUAUAACUCAAGGCAACCAUUAGUCCAUAGAGAUUGUCAUCAAUUACCAAAACCAAACAUGGGGGCAUCGCAUGUUCUUUCAACUGCUACUGUUACUUUUACCACCGUUACCGUUACUUCCAUACUACUUUGCUACUAAAUACUUUGCUACAGAUAUUAAGUCUUUCAGGUGUGGUUGAAUUGACAAGUCAACUGCUAAAACUUGAGAAUAUUCUCUGGCUCCCCUUGUGUUGAAUCAAUAAAUUUGGGUUGAAUACUCUAACCUCGAAAUUUUUUGCGAUCCCCUAUACUUGUGGUUUAUCAAGACCUUUUUCUGGCGCCGUUGCCGGGGAGCAUAGCUCUAUUAUCCGAGUCACGUGGGAUUUAUACCUGUUGAUCACUAUGAGGAAUCUAAAAUACAACAAAACCAAGAUAUAUCCUUCAACUACGAGGGGAGGUAAGGAACUGCCAUCUAGCUCUGCACUUGAUUCACCGUCUGCUUUGAGUAAACUUGCGACACCUACACAUACUAUUGAUUCUGAUAUGUCGCAUGUUAUUGAUGAUGCCACUUCUGCUAUGCAUGAUGCUUAUGAUGAUACUACUUCUAUGCUUGAUAAUAAUGUGCCACUAGGUGAAUUUCUCUAUGAACAACUUGCUAGGGUUAGAGAGAAUGAAAUUACUGAAAUUGAUGAUAUUAGUGAAAGUGAUGAUGAAGAUUAUCCCUCUAGAUAUGAAUUGCCUAUUAUACCUGAGGGUUAUGUUGUGGAUGAGGAAACUGCUAGAGACUUUUUUGCUUGCAAUGAUAGAUAUGAUCUUAAAAAACUGUUAGCUAAGCUGAAAGAAAAGUUUUUGAAUGCUAGAAUGAAAUAUGAUCCUGCGUUUGCUACUUCACCUAUCUGUGUUACUGAUAAGGAUUAUGAAUUCUCUGUUGAUCAUGAGUUAAUCACUUUGGUUCAAAUCUGAUCCUUUCUAUGGCUAUGAAUCUGAAACUGUUGUGGCGCAUCUUACUAAAUUGAAUGAUAUAACUACCCUAUUUACUCAUGAGGAAAAAAUUCGCUAUUACUAUAUUCUUAAAUUGUUUCCUUUCUCGUUAAAGGAUGAUGCUAAGAUAUGGUUUAAUUCUAUUGCUCCUGGUUGUGUUCGUAGUCCCCAGGAUAUGAUUUAUUACUUCUCUGCAAAAUAUUUUCCCUCUCAUAAGAAACAAGCUGCCUUAAGGGAAAUAUUUAAUUUUGUGCAAAUUAAAGAAGAGAGUCUCCCACAAACUUGGGGGAUGCUUCUCCGAUUACUUAAUGCUUUGCCUGAUCAUCCUCUCAAGAAAAAUGAAAUACUUGAUAUCUUUUAUAAUGGAAUAACUGAUGCUUCUAGAGACCACCUAGAUAGUUGUGCUGGUUGUGUUUUCAGGGAAAGAACUGUUGAGCAAGCUGAAUUGCCAUUGAAUAAUAUAUCGAGUAAUGAUAAUGAUUGGGCACUUCCUGAACCAACUCCUAAGCCAACUCCGAAGAAAAGGGGUAUUCUAUUUCUCGGUCCUGAAGAUAUGCAAGAGGCAAAGAAAUCUAUGAAAUAAAAAGGUAUUAAAGCUGAAGAUAUUAAUAAUUUACCGCCUAUCGAAGAAAUACAUGGUCUUGAUAACCCGACACAGAUAGUAAAGGUAAAUUUUCUCUAUAGAUUUGAUGGAGGCAAUAUUCCUCAUAAUAAGUCUGCUAGUCAAUGCUUGGAUGAGUUUGAUAUUUUUAUUGUUAAACAAGAAAACUUCAAUGCUUAUGUUGGUAGACAAUUGAAACGUAAUGCUUAUAUGGUUGAACACUUGAGUGAUUAUAUGUCUAGAGUUAAAAGUGAUCUUAAGCUUAUUAGUAAACAUGCUUCCAUGGUUACGUUUCAAGUAGAACAAGUACUUAAGGCCCAAGAUGAUUUGCUCAAUGAGUUGAAUAAUAAGAAAAAUGAUAAUGCUGUUAGAGUUAUGACUAGAGGUGGUAAAAUGACCCAAGAACCUUUGUAUCCUGAGGGCCAUCCUAAGAGAGCUGAGCAAGACUCUCAGAGAAUUAAUACUGAUACACCUGGUCCUUCUAAUAAAAGAAAAAGAAUAAUGAUAGGACAUUGCAUGCUUCUAGUGAACCUGUUAUUGACGCACCUGAGAAUACGAAUGAUAUUUCUAUUUCUGAUGCUAAAACACAAUCUGGUGAUGAACAUAAACCUAGUGAUAAUGUUAAUGAUAAUGUUCAUGUUGAUGCUCAACCUAGUAAUAAUAAUGAUGUAGAGAUUGAACUUGCUGUUGAUCUUGAUAACCCAUAAUCAAAGAAUCAACGUUAUGAUAAGAGAGACUUUGUUGCUAGGAAGCACGCUAAAGAAAGAGAACCAUGAGUUCAGAAACCCAUGCCUUUUCCUCCUAAGCCAUCCAAGAAAAAGGAUGAUGAGGAUUUUGAGCGCUUUGCCGAAAUGAUUAGACCUAUGUUUUUGCGUAUGCGUUUGACUGAUAUGCUUAAAAUGCCUCCUUAUGCUAAGUAUAUGAAAGAUAUUGUUACAAAUAAAAUAAAGAUACCGGAAGCUGAAAUUUCCACCAUGCUUUCUAAUUGUACUUUUAAGGGUGGAAUACCAAAGAAACUAGGAGAUCCAGGAAUACCAACUAUACCAUGCUCCGUUAAAAGAAAUUAUGUUAGAACUGCUUUAUGUGAUCUUGGAGCUGGUGCUAGUGUUAUGCCUUUCUCUUUAUAUCGUAGACUUGAUUUGAAUAAGUUGACAACUACUGAAAUCUCUUUGCAAAUGGUUGAUAAAUCAACUGCUAUACCCAUUGGUAUUUGUGAGGAUGUGCCUGUUGUGGUUGCAAACGUUACUAUGUUAACGGACUUUGUUAUUCUUGAUAUUCCCGAGGACGACAGCAUGUCGAUCAUCCUUGGUAGACCCUUUUUGAAUACUGUAGGGGUUGUUAUUGAUUGCAACAAAAGCAAUGUCACUUUUCAUGUUAAUGGUAAUCAGUAUACGGUACACUUUCUGAAGAAACAACCUCAAGUUCAUAGUAUCAAUUCUAUUGGAAAAAUUACAACUAUUACUAUUGGAGGUUUUGAAUUCCCUCUUCCUACUGUCAAAAAGAAAUAUGAUAUUCUUAUUUUUGGGGACAUGCAUAUCCCCGUUGAGGUAACCUAGUGUUAUUCGAAAAUUCUCUAGUUUCAUGUCAUUCGGAAGAAAUUAGUUAACAAAACUUGAUCAACCUUGUUAGUGGAUUCCUUUUGAUGAGCAUGAGAUGGAUGAAUUUAGAAGGCACAACUUUCUAUACCCUCCUUUUACUUUCUGUUAUUUAGAUUAAAUGAAGCAAAAACAAUAUUUUCUAUCUGUUUUCUGAAUUAUCCAUGCAAUAAAAAAUACCCAAAAAUAAAAGUUCUCCAAUUGCCCUGAAAAUUUUGUAUGAUUUUUUAUAGAAUAUUUGAGAAUUUCUGGCAUUGAGAACACACGAGGGGGAUGCAACAGUGAGCCACGAGGGUGGAGGGAGCGCCCUACCCCUUGGGCAUGCCCCCUGCCUCAUGGGCCCCACGUGCCCCCUCCACUUAUUCCAGCACCCAUUUACUUCGUCUUCCUCCAGAAAAAAUCAUCCUGUAGCUCAAACUCGUGUUCUUGCUCAUUUUGCUGCCAUUUUUGAUCUCCUUGCUCAAAGCUCCAUUCACAAAACUACUUUGGGGGAUUGUUUGGUAUGUGACUCCUCCAAUGGUCCAAUUAGUUUUUGUUCUAGUGCUUUAUUUAUUUCAAAUUUUUGCUCCUGAGGUGACCCUGUUCUUGAGCUUGCAUGUCAAAUUUAUAUGGUGAAAGUAGUUUUGUUGCAUGAUUUAGCUUCUAGACACUUGUGGGAGUAGUUGCUAUCAAUCUUGUUGAGUUUGGAUCACCUUUAUUUUGAGUCACUAUUUCAGAAUUUUUCAGAGGAAGAAAAUGUUGAGGAGAUUGUUGAGAGGCUCCUUGAGCUGGGGUUCGAAGGAAAAGGAGAAUGAAGAGAAUGAAAAGUGCAAGUACAACCUUCCUCGCACCAUGGAGGUCUGCUCGUGUGAAUGGCCUUGUGAUGCAUUCUUAAAGGCCGCUGGAAUUUAUGAAGACUUCUAUUACUUGGCUGAGAAUGCAGGCAUCACCGACUUCAUCCAUGAUAAGUGUCAUCAGUAUCUCCUACUCACUAAUAUUUUCAUGCAAAAUUUUCAUUUUCAUGCUAGGAGAUCACUGAUGUCUACUACGCAACCUUCUUCUUAUAGACGUUGUUGGGCCUCCAAGUGCAGAGGUUUGUAGGACAGUAACAAAUUUCCAUCAAGUGGAUGACCUAAGGUUUAUCAAUCCGUGGGAGGCGUAGGAUGAAGAUGGUCUCUCUCAAACAACCCCGCAACCAAAUAACAAAGAGUCUCUUGUGUCCCCAACACACCCAAUACAAUGGUAAAUUGUAUAGGUGCACUAGUUCAGUGAAGAGAUGGUGAUACAAGUGCAAUAUGGAUGGUAGAUAUAGGUUUUUGUAAUCAGACAGCAAGGUAACUAAUGAUAAAUGUGAGCAAAAACAGUAUUGCAAUGCUUCGAAACAAGGCCUAGGGUUCAUACUUUCACUCGUUCAAGUUCUCUCAACAAUAAUAACAUAAUUGGAUCAUAUAACUAUCCCUCAACAUGCAACAAAGAGUCACUCCAAAUUCACUAAUAGAGGAGAAGAAACGAAGAGAUUAUUGUAGGGUACUAAACCACCUCAAAGUUAUUCUUUCCGAGCAAUCCAUUGGGCUAUUCCUAUAGGUGUCACAAACAGCCCUAGAGUUCAUAGUAAAAUAACACCUUAAGACAGAAAUCAACCAAAACCCUAAUGUCACCUAGAUACUCCAAUGUCACCUCAAGUAUCCGUUGGUAUGAUUAUACGAUAUGCAUCACACAAUCUCAGAUUCAUCUAUUCAAACCAACACAAUGAACUUGAAAGAGUGUCCCAAAGUUUCUACUCGAGAGUCAAGAUGAAAACGUGUGCCAAUCCCUAUGCAUAGACUCCCAAGGUCACGGAACCCGCAAGUUGAUCACCAAAACAUACAUCAAGUGAAUCAAUAGAAUACCCCAUUGUCACCACGGGUAUCCCACACAAGACAUACAUAAAGUGUUCUCAAAUCCUUAAAGACUCAAUCCAAUAAGAUAACUUUAUAGGGAAAACUCAAUCCAUUACAAGAGAGUAGAGGGGGAGAAACAUCAUAAGAUCGAACUAUAAUAGCAAAGCUCGCAGUACAUCAAGAUCAUGCCAAAUCAAGAACACGAGAGAGAGAGAUCAAACACAUAGCUACUGGUACAUACCCUCAGUCCUAAGGGUGAACUACUCCCUCCUCGUCAUGGAGAGCGCCGAGAUGAUGAAGAUGGCCACCGGUGAUGAUUUCCCCCUUCGGCAAGGUACCGGAACAGGCUCCUGAUUGGUUUUUGGUGGCUAUAGAGGCUUGCGACGGCGGAACUCCCGAUCUAGGUUUCUUUUCGGGAGUUUCUGUAUUUAUAGGAAUUUUUAGCGUCAGUCUCACGUCAGGGGGGGUCCCCGAGUCAUCCACAAGGCAAGGGGGCGCGCCCUCCACCCUCCUGGAUGGCUCGGGACUCUUCUGGCCCAACUCUUUACUUCAGGGGAUUCUUUUGGUCCAUAAAAAAUCAUCAAAAAUUGGCAUGUCAAUUGGACUCCAUUUGGUAUUCCUUUUCUGUAAAACUCAAAAACAAGGAAAAAAUAGAAACUGACACUGGGCUCUAGGUUAAUAGGUUAGUCCCAAAAAUCAUAUAAAUAGCAUAUAAAUCAUAUAAAACAUCCAAGAUCGAUAAUAUAAUAGCAUGGAACAAUCAAAAAUUAUAGAUACGUUGGAGACGUAUCAAGCAUCCCCAAGCUUAAUUCCAGCUCGUCCUCGAGUUGAUAAAUGAUAAAAACAGAAUUUUUGAUGUGGAAUGCUACCUAACAUAUUUAUCAAUGUAAUCUUCUUCAUUGUGGCAAGAAUAUUCAGAUCCAUAAGAUUCAAAACAAAAGUUUAAUAUUGACAUAAAAAUAAUAAUUCUUCAAGCAUACUGACAAAGCAAUCAUGUCUUCUCAAAAUAACAUGGCGAAAGAAAGUUAUCCCUACAAAAUCAUAUAGUCUGGCUUUGCUAUAUUUUCAUCACACAAAAAUUUUAAAUCAUGCACAACCCCGAUUACAAGCCAAGCAAUUGUUUUAUACUUUUGAUGUUCUCAAACUUUUUCAAUCUUCACGCAAUACGUGAGCGUGAGCCAUGGAUAUAGCACUAUAGGUGGAAUAGAAUGGUGGUUGUGGAGAAGACAAAAGGGAGAAGAUAGUCUCACAUCAACUAGGCGUACCAACGGGCUAAGGAGAUGCCCAUCAAUAGAUAUCAAUGUGAGUGAGUAGGGUUUGCCAUGCAACGAAUGCACUAGAGCUAUAAGUGUAUGAAAGCUAAAAAAGAAACUAAGUGGGUGUGCAUCCAACUCGCUUGCUCACGAAGACCUAGGGCGUUUGAGGAAGCCCAUCAUUGAAAUAUACAAGCCAAGUUUUAUAAUGAAAAAUUCCCACUAGUAUAUGAAAGUGACAACAUAGGAGACUCUCUAUCAUGAAGAUCAUGGUGCUACUUUGAAGCACAAGUGUGGUAAAAGGAUAGUAACAUUGUCCCUUCUCUCUUUUUCUCUCAUUUAUUUUGUUUUCUCCUUUUUUGUUGGGCCUUCUUUUUUUGGCCUCUUUUUUUUCGUCCGGAGUCUCAUUCCGACUUGUGGGGGAAUCAUAGUCUCCAUCAUCCUUUCCUCACUGGGACAAUGCUCUAAUAAUGAUGAUCAUCACACUUUUAUUUACUUACAACUCAAGAAUUACAACUAGAUACUUAGAACAAAAUAUGACUCUAUAUGAAUUCCUCCGGCGGUGUACCGGGAAGUGCAAUGAUUCAAGAGUGAGAGUGAGAUGUAUGAAAGAAUUAUGAAUGGUGGCUUUGCCACAAAUACAAUGUCAACUACAUGAUCAUGCAAAGCAAUAUGACAAUGAUGAAGCGUGUCAUAAUAAAUGGAAUGGUGGAAAGUUGCAUGGCAAUAUAUCUCGGAAUGGCUAUGGAAAUUCCAUAAUAGGUAGGUAUGAUGGCUGUUUUUAGGAAGGUUAUGGUGGGUGUAUGGUACUGGCAAAAGUUGCGCGGUACUAGAGAGGCUAGCAAUGGUGGAAGGGUGAGAGUGCGUAUAAUCCAUGGACUCAACUUUAGUCAUAAAGAACUCACAUACUUAUUGCAAAACUCUAUUAGUUAUCGAAACGAAGUACUACAUGCAUGCUCCUAGGGGGAUAGAUUUGUAGGAAAAUACCAUCGCUUGUCCCCGACCGCCACUCAUAAGUAAGACAAUCAAUAAAUAAAUCAUGCUCCGAUUUCAUCACAUAACAGUUCACCAUACAUGCAUGCUAAGGGAAUCACAAACUUCGACACAAGUAUUUCUACAAUCCACAAUUACUCACUAGCAUGACUCUAAUAUCACCAUCCUCAUAUCUCAAAACAAUCGUAAGGAAUCAACCUUCUCAUAGUAUUCAAUGCACUUUAUAUGAAAGUUUUUAUUAUAUCCCUCUUGGAUGCCUAUCAUAUUAGGACUAAAUUCAUAACCUAAGCAAAUUACCAUGUUGUUUAAGACUCUAAAAAGAAUAUAAGUGAAGCAUAAGAUUUCAUCAAUUUCUUCAAAAUAAAACUACUACCGUGCUCUAAAAAGAUAUAAGCGAAGCACUAGAUGAAAUGACAAACUACUCUGAAAGAUAUAAGUGAAGAUCAAUGAGUAGUCGAAUAAUUAUGUAACUAUGUGAAGACUCUCUAAGAUUUAAGAAUUUCAGAUCUUGGGAUAUUAUUCAAACAGCAAGCAAAACAAAAUAAAACAAAAUGACGCUCCAAGCAAAACACAUAUCAUGUGGUGAAUAAAAAUAUAGCUCCAAGUAAAGUUACCGAUGAACAAAGAUGAAAGAGGGGAUGCCUUCCGGGGCAUCCCCAAGCUUAGGCUCUUGGUUCUCCUUGAAUAUUAUCUUGGGGUGCCUUGGGCAUCCCCAAGCUUAGGCUUUGCCACUCCUUGUUCCAUAGUCCAUCGAAUCUUUACCCAAAACUUGAAAACUUCACAACACAAAACUCAACAGAAAACUCGUAAGCUCAGUUAGUAUAAGAAAAUAAAUCACCACUUUUGUUACUGUUGUGAACUCAUUAUAGAUUCAUAUUGGUGUUAUAUCUACUGUAUUACAACUUAUCCAUGGUUCAUACCCUCCGAUACUACUCAUAGAUUCAUCAAAAUAAGCAAACAACACAUAGAAAACAGAAUCUGUCAAAAACAGAAUAGUCUGUAGUAAUCUGUAAUUCUCGAAUACUUAUGUAACUUUUAAAAUCCUAAAAAAUUAGUAAAACCUGAUAAAUUUGUGUACCAAUCCAUAGAAAAAAUAAUCUGACCAAAAGCACGUUUCUGCGAAUUAUAAAAACUAAUUUACUGGGUGCAAAAGUUUCUGAUUUUCAGCAGGAUCAACACAACCAUCACCCAAGUCUUCCCAAAGGCUCUACUUGGCACUUUAUUGAAACAAAAGCUAUAAAACAUGAUUACUACAGUAGCUUAAUCAUGUGGACACACAAAAACAGUAGGGGUAAAUGUUGGGUUGUCUCCCAACAAGCGCUUUUCUUUAAUGCCUUUUUAGCUAGGCAUGAUGAUGACAAUGAUGCUCACAUAAAAAGAUAAGAAUUGAAACAUAAUGGGAGCAUCAUGAAGCAUAUGACUAACACAUUUAAGUCUAACCCACUUCCUAUGCAUAGGGAUUUUGUGAGCAAACAACCUAUGGGAACAAGAAUCAACUAGCAUAGGAAAGCAAAACAAGCAUAGCUUCAUGAUUUUGAGCACAACGAGAGGAAACUUAAUAUUAUUGCAAUUCCUACAAGCAUAUAUUCCUCCCUCAUAAUAAUUUUCAGUAGCAUCAUGAAUGAAUUCAACAAUAUAACCAUCACAUAAAGCAUUAUUUUCAUGAUCCCCAAGCACAUACAUUUUAUUACUCUCCACAUAAGCGAAAUUCUUCUCAUUCGGAAUAGUGGGAGAAUCAUAAGAAACUCGAAUACUAUAAAUUGUUUCCACAUUAAAAGAGUAAUGUUUAGACAAAGGGUAAUCAUAAUCAUGACAAGUUUUAUAAAUAUAAUCAUCACUACUUUUUAUAGCAUAAGUAUCAUCACGAUAAUCAUCAUAAGUAGCAACCUUGUUCUCAUCAUAAUCGAUUGAAACCUCUUCCGAAAUAGUGGAUUCAUCACUAAAUAAAGUCAUGACCUCUCCAAAUCCACUUUCAUAAUUAUCACAAUAAGAUUCAACACCCUCCAAAAUAGUGGGAUCAUUACUUCCUAAAUUUGACAUUCUUCCAAACCCACUUUCAUCAAUAUAAUCAUCAUAAAUAGGAGGCAUGCUAUCGUCAUUUUUUUUGCAUAUCAAAGCUUGGGAGACUAAAAAUAUCAUCUUCAUAGCAUACCAAAGCUUGGGACAAACAUUAAUUGCAGCAAAUAAAUUCUCAAAUAUGUCAUUCUCAUCAAACAUAGCAUCCCCAAGCUUGGGCCUUUGCACAUCAUAAGCAUGAUCACUCUCAUCAUUAAUAGUAUGGAUAGCACCAAUAGUAUAACAAUUAUCAUCAUCACAAUGAGUAAUAGGAGCAACAUCAUUUGGGAGGGAUACCUUUUUACCUUUGCUUCUCUGUCUUCUAUUUUUCUUCUUCAAAUUAUGUGUGGGUUUAAUCCUCUUUUUGGAGCUCCUUAUUAAUGAGAUUGGUUGAAUAGAAAGCUCCUCCUCGUUACCUGAUUCAUCAUAAGAAAGAAUAGGAGGAUAUUGGGAAAUCUCUUCCCUUUCAUUAGUAUUAUCUUCAUAUUAUAUUUGUUUUCUUGUCUUUAUGUAAUUGGCAAUAUAAGGAUUUUCAAUGCAAUUCACCGCACAAUACAUAUAAAUUUCCUCUAGAUCAAUAUCAAGAAAUUUCUCAAGGUUAUAUUAUGGAAUAUCCAUAGUUAUACGUUUCAUUUCUUCAUAACCCAAAAGCAAACUAAGUUCAUUAUGAUGUGCAAGGGAAAUCAAGUCAUCACAAUUUCUGGACACGAUUUGUUCAUGAAACAAUUCGCAUUGGAGAUUUAAAUGAUCACGUUCAUUGCAAAGUUCACAAGAGUGGAAAAGAAAUUUUAAAUUUUCAACACAAACAUCUAGCCUCUCUUGCAACCACUUAGUUUCUAAAUACUUAUGCCUCUUGCAAAAUCUAUCUUCCGUAUUUGGUGUGUACUUGCAAACUCUAUGCACUCCACAAAAGUUGACAUGCUUAUAAGAUACAUUUCUAUCAUGACUAGUGAAAUCAUCAUUAGUACUAUGUAUAUUCAAUGAGUUCAUACUAACAACAUUACAAUCAUGCUCAACAUUCAAAGAUCUAGUGCCAAACAUUUUAUUGCAUUCUUCUUCUAACACUUUGGCACAAUUAUCAGAAUCCUUAUUUUCACGGAAGACAUUCAAAAGAUGAAGCAUAUGAGGCACCCUCAAUUCCAUUUUUUUGUAGUUUUCUUUUAUAUAAUAAACUAGUGAUAAAAUAAGAAACUAAAAGAUUCGAUUACAAGAUCUAAAGAUAUACCUUAAAGCACUAACCUCCCCGGCAACGGUGCCAGAAAAGAGCUUAGUUGACGGGGUGUUAGUGUCGCUUACCUAGCCUCCCCUGCAACGGCGCCAGAAAAGAGCUUAAUGUCUACUACACAACCUUCAUCUUGUAGACGUUGUUGGGCCUCCAAGUGCAGAGGUUUGUAGGACAGUAGCAAAUUUCCCUCAAGUGGAUGACCUAAGGUUUAUCAAUCCGUGGGAGGCGUAGGAUGAAGAUGGUCUCUCUCAAACAACCCUGCAACCAAAUAACAAAGAGUCUCUUGUGUCCUCAACACACCCAAUACAAUGGUAAGUUGUAUAUGUGCACUAGUUCGGCGAAGAGAUGGUGAUACAAGUGCAAUAUGGGUGGUAGAUAUAGGUUUUUUGUAAUCUGAAAUUAUAAAACAGCAAGGUAAUUAAUGAUAAAAGUGAACGAAAACGGUAUUGCAAUGCUUCAAAACAAGGCCUAGGGUUCAUACUUUCACUAGUGCAAGUUCUUUCAACAAUAAAAACAUAAUUGGAUCAUAUAACUAUACCUCAACAUGCAACAAAGAGUCACUCCAAAGUCACUAAUAGCGGAGAACAAAGGAAGAGAUUAUUGUAGGGUACGAAACCACCUCAAAGUUAUUCUUUCCGAUCAAUCCAUUAGCCUAUUCCUAUAGGUGUCAGAAACAGCCCUAGAGUUCGUAGUAAAAUAAGACCUUAAGACACAAAUCAACCAAAACCCUAAUGUCACCUAGAUACUCCAAUGUCACCUCAAGUAUCCGCGGGUAUGAUUAUACGAUAUGCAUCACACAAUCUCAGAUUCAUCUAUUCAAACCAACACAAAGAACUUCAAAGAGUGCCCCAAAGUUUCUACCGGAGAGUCAAGACGAAAACAUGUGCCAACCCCUAUGCAUAGAUUACCAAGGUUACGGAACCUGCAAGUUGAUCACCAAAACAUACAUCAAGUGAAUCAAUAGAAUACCUCAUUUUCACCACACGUAUCCCACGCAAGACAUACAUAAAGUAUUCUCAAAUCCUUAAAGACUCAAUCCGAUAAGAUAACUUCAAAGGGAAAACUCAAUCCAUUACAAGAGAGUAGAGGGGGAGAAACAUCAUAAGAUCCAACUAUAAUAGCAAAGAUCGCGGUACAUCAAGAUCGUGCCAAAUCAAGAACACGAGAGAUAGAGAGAGAUCAAACACGUAGCUACUGGUACAUACCCUCAGCCCCGAGGGUGAACUACUCCCUCCUCAUCAUGGAGAGCGUCGGGAUGUUGAAGAUGGCCACCGGUGAUGACUUACCCCUCCAGCAGGGUGUCUGAACAGGGUCCCAAUUGGCUUUUUGUGGCUACAGAGGCUUGCGGUGGCGGAAUUCCCGAUCUAGGCUUCUUUUCGGGGGUUUCAGUAUUUAUAGGAAUUUUUGGCAUCGAUCUGACGUCAGGGGGGGUCUCUGAGUCAUCCACGAGGCAGGGGGCGCCUCCAGGGGGGUAGGGCACACCCUCCACCCUCGUGGAUGGCUCGGGACUCUUCUAGGCCAACUCUUUUACUUCAGGGGCUUCUUUUGGUCCAUAAAAAAUCAUCAAAAAUUGGCACGUCAAUUGGACUCCGUUUGGUAUUCCUUUUCUGUAGUACUCAAAAACAAGGAAAAACACAAACUGGCGGGCUCUAGGUUAAUAGGUUAGUCCCAAAAAUCAUAUAAAAUAGCAUAUAAAUGCAUAUAAAACAUCCAAGAUUGAUAAUAUAAUAGCAUGGAACAAUAAAAAAUUAUAGAUACAUUGGAGACGUAUCAAUCACCACCUUCGGUAGAAUUUUAUUUAUAUGAUGAGUUUAAGGAGAUGUCACUCUAUGAUUUUUGUGAGGUUUGCAAAUUGCCUUUUGAGGGCAGCAUCAAGGAACCACAUCCUAGUGAUGUGGGAGAUUUUAUAGAUAAAAUUACUGUAGGGGAAAGGAGAAGAGUGUCGGAUGCAAGAACUACUAGUAUACAUUUUCCCGUUCUACUUUACUAUGCAAUAUUUGCUAGUAGAUGUUUAAUUGGUCGCGGGAACAGUUGGGGCCUCAGUGCUCCCGACCUUGCCAUUUUGCGCCAUGCUUUACUUCGUGAUAAAACUUUCAGUUUAGGCGCUAUGGUUGCUAAAUGGUUGAGUCUAAACCGUACGAAGGGCCCCAUUUUUAGAGGUAUGUAUGCUUCUCGUCUUGCUAAAUAUUUUGAGAUACCUAUUAGACACUAUGAGAAAGAAGAAAAGGUGUUGCCCACUGUUUACUUAGAUUAUAAAAGUAUGGUAGCACAUGAUUUUCUUUGUUUUGACAAGGAAAAUAGACUCAUUUAUAACCUGGUAUUUAGUGAAGAUACUUGUCAAUUAUUACCUUGCCUGCACCUUCUUUGUUUAAUAUUCAUUCAGCCACAUACCUUAUCAUGCCCGCGGACAUUCAUGCAUACUGCGAGCGGACGCGAUCCCCAGAUCCUGAGCCAAUGCCAUCACCUGAUCCAUAUCAGGAGUCUAUUUAUCAGUGGGAUCCGUAGGAGCUCGCUAACCAGUGGAAUCCCGAGGAUUCUCCUCAGUACACCGAAGAGCACUACUUUGAUCCAUGGGUGUAGACCAACUUAGGCCAAAAGCCUAAGCUUGGGGGAGUACGCAUUUCUCACCGACAUUACAUUCAUGUUCACACACUCAUUCUACUUCUCGGUGUUCAUACUUUUUCAUUGUAUUAUCCAUGCUAGUUUAUUUUCUUUUCCUGCUUUCUUCGUGUGUGUUUGAAAAACUUUGAGAAAAACCAAAAAAAUUAGUUGUAGCCUUUAGCUAGUUUACUUUCCAUGCUUGUAGUGGUAGUAAUUAAAUAAGAAAUCCAAAAAUAUUUCUCGUUCUUCUUUUGCUUGUUGGGAGCUUUCCCAUGUAAAUAGUUUUCCUAGUUCUUUGAAAUUCUUUUCUUUUCUUUGGGGGUCGAGAGGAGAAUACCACGAUGAAAUGAUGAGUGGCUCUCGUAUGCAUUAUUAUUGAUAAAACAAAGAGCCCAUAUUACCUUGUCUUCUCCUUUGAAUUAAAUGUUUGUAAAUUCCAGCUUAGUCCAAUGCAUGUGCACUAUCAUUAUUAUCGACACCGUUCAGUCGUGCAAGUGAAAGGCAAUAAUGAUGAUAUAUGAUGAAAUGAUUGAGAUGAGUAAAAGCUGGUAUGAACUCGACCUAUCUUGUUUUUGUAAAUAUGAUUAGUUCAUCGUUCUUGAUUCAGCCUAUUAUGAAUGAAACAUGUUUGCAAUGACAAUUAGAGAUCAUAGUUACUCAUGUGAUGCUUAAUUAGCUAAGAGUUUAUAAUGGUUUACCUUGCGUGCCAACAUGCUAUUAAAAUGGUUGUGAUGUAGUAUGAUAGGAUGGUAUCCUCCUUUGAAUGAUUCGAGUGGCUUGACUUGGCACAUGUUCAUGCAUGUAGUUGAAAAAAAUCAACAUAGCCUCCACGAUAUCUAUGUUCAUGGUGAUUUAUAUCCUACUUAUGCUUGCACUCAUUGUUGGUUAAUCUUAAUGCAUGAUUAUGACUGUGUUUCUCUCUAGUUGGUCGCUUUGCAGUCUCUUGCUAGCCUUCACUUGUACUAAGCGGGAAUACUGCUUGUACAUCCACUUCCAUAAAGCCCAAAGUUGUUCCAUAUGAGUCCACCAUACCUACCUAUAUGCGUUAUUUACCUGCCGUUCCAAGUAAAUUUGCAUGUGCCAAACUCUAAACCUUCAAAUGAAAUUCUGUUUUGUAUGCUCGAAUCGCUCAUGUAUCAACUAGGGUUGUCUAUAUCUUCCAUGCUAGGUGGGUUAUUCUCACGAUGAGUGGACUCCGCUCAUCAUUCACGAGAAAAUGGCCGGUAACCGGGAUGCCCAGUCCCAUGCUAAAAUCAAAUCAAAAUAAUUGCAAACAAAACUCCCCUGGGAUUGUUGUUAGUUGGACGGUAAUUGUUGUUUCGGACCAGCCGUGUAUGUGCUUGUUGGUGGUGGGGGAGUAUAAAGUUUACCAUUCUAUUUGAGAACCGCCUAUAAUGUAUAUAGCAUGGAAGAUAUAGAGAUCUCUUGGUUGUUAUGUUCACAAUGAAAGUAUGCCGCUUAUGUCAGGACCCCGACUCGAUGUCACAUCGAUCUAGCCGGUAACACCUCAUAUCACUUUGCGGCCUCACGCACGGUAUUCCCACGGGUGUCGCCUUACCUUUGCCCGGGACCGUUUGCGCCUUUUGGCUCACGUAUAUGAUAGUGUCGCUAGCAUCCAUAUGAUAAGGAGCCCGGGCUGACAUGACUAGUCGUAAACCCAAAGUGGCACAGACUUACAGGGACAGGCAUCCAUGACCCAGCUUCGAACGUGUCGGUCAACAGCAAGUGGGUCCGGGCUGUAGCACUGGGCUAGCAGGACUCCGGUAAACCGGGCUGUAGCGGGCUAACAGGACUCCGGUACUCAAUGCGUGACAUUUCCCCGAAGGGACAGACACAGGAACGAAGAAGGACACAUGCCGGCCAGCCUAAGUGUUCCAGAGCAGUAGCAAGCUACCAUGGCUCAGCGGUAACACUAGGAGACAUUUCCCGGUAAGAGAGGCUACUAAAGAUAAACAACUAGAUAGUCAGAUCCCACACAUACCAAGCAUUUCAAUCAUACACACACUAUGCUCGAUAUGGGCAAAUACAACGAAGCAUCACAACAUGACUCUAUGACACAAGUACUUUAUUUA
This 125423-nucleotide long non-coding RNA is filed under the name Triticum aestivum (bread wheat). Its description in RNAcentral is "long non-coding RNA (TAES_LNC022114)". The stretch from base 52205 to 52319 matches the Rfam family "MIR1120/MIR1122 microRNA precursor family". Lineage: Eukaryota; Viridiplantae; Streptophyta; Magnoliopsida; Poales; Poaceae. The record is from RNAcentral.